This 155358-nucleotide long non-coding RNA is filed under the name Vitis vinifera (wine grape). RNAcentral describes it as "long non-coding RNA (VVIN_LNC006323)". Lineage: Eukaryota; Viridiplantae; Streptophyta; Magnoliopsida; Vitales; Vitaceae. The record is from RNAcentral.
UAGCUUUGACCCAUGUAGAAUUAGCUUCUCUAAGGAGCAUAAACCUGACAAAGAAAGCAAUUGGCAACAUGUUGAAUUUAAGCCACAAGCACGGAGAUGCUUCAAGCUUUGCAGCCUCCCCAGGUUUUGUGGCAAUUUGUGGAGUUUUGAACAGUAACCGACAUCGAGAACUUCAAGAAAGCAUAAAUCACAAAUGCUUUCUGGAAGAGUCACAAGGUUUUUGCAGCCGUUCAGAUUCAAAACUUCAAGCCUAUUCAAAUGUUUGAUUGAUGAUGGGAGCUCUUUUAUAGCCGUUUUGUUCAAAUGAAGCACCCUUAAGUUUUCCAUAUUCUCCAAGAUUUCUGGAAAGUACUGUAAUUGUGAACAGUGAGAGCAAAAGAGAGAUUUUAGGGAUUUGAACUCCCAAAUGCUUGUUGGCAGACUCUCAAGGUUUUUGCACUCUCGCAAACAUAAGGUAUCAAAUUCAGAGGCACGCUCAAUGGGUAGUAGGCUUAUUGUCUGACCCUUUAAACAAAGCUUUCGGUGUUCCACGUUCCUCUGACAUUCCAAGCAGCUAGCAUCCACAUCCCCAGUCUGUACUAUUGGAUCUUGGGCGUAUAUAGGUUGGAGCCCACACUUAAGCACCUUAAAAUGAUUGCCAGAGUCCUUAAAUAGAGCCCCAAGAAACAUGAAUGGAUUGGUGUGACAGCUCUCCAGAAUAGCAGCCUUGGGAUAGAAUAUCACCCACAUUUGUUCUGAUACACCUCCAUCGUGGUAGCAUUUACAAGUAGUGCGAAAACUGAGAUGUCGCACACACAUGGAAGAAAAUUUAUUUCUAUCAUACAAUGACAAUUGACAUUCUAACUCAGUGGAGAUUGAAGAUUCAGCUUCAAGUAAAUCAUCAGAUUCAUUCAGGGCUUCGUCGCCAGAUUCAUUCUCCGAUGCAUGUGCAAAAUCAUUUUCACAUUCAUCGAGUGGAGCAUAAACGAAGCAUAUAGCAAUUCCCAAGAAGUCAUCAUUUUCAUAACAAUUCUGAGGAAGCUCUAUUGUGAUGUGAUGUCUUUCUCUCUGAUUCCUUAUCCAUUUGGGAAUUCCAUUGCUUCCCGGAACAACAAUACAGACUCCAUCGCCAAUGUAGUUGGAAUUAGCGAGAAAUACUCCAUUUGAACUCUUCUUGUGUUUCAAAUCCUGCACAAAUGGACAAUGUAAAUCUAGUGAGUCUGUGUCAUUAUGUGAGUUUUUAUGAGAGAGUUUGUUAUCAAUUUUCGAUAAAUUGAUUCCCAGUUUUAACUUUCUUUGAUCUAUGCUCCUGAAUCUACUUAAUAUCCCUUUUAGAUGACGGAUAUGUUAGAAUUCAUGAGAGUUUGUCUUUGAAAAUGUCUUAGUUAGACUCAGUCUCUGUUUUGCUCCAUAAUUUUCAGUUUUUCUGUUAGUAGAAGUAGUUAUAGCAGCUGAGAGUUUUUAGCAUUUUCAGUUUGGUUGUAAGCCUAUAAAUAGGCAUUCUCAUUGGUGAAAUAUUGUCUCUUUCUCCAACUCAAUACUCUAAUAUUUUCUGCAAGUUUUAGUUCCUUAUUUUUCUCUAGAUUUUAACCGUGGUAUCAGAGCAUUAUUCCUACGGGCUGUGAGGCAAAGUUUUUUUUAGUAUUAAACACAGUGAGGUUGAGUGCAAACACUAGUGAGGUUGAGUGAUCUAUUUUUUUUUAAGCAACUGUGGUGCAAACAUGUCUCCUUCUAGCAAUACUUCCUCUGUAAUUCUAGUGUUUAAUGGUGAACACUAUCACAUUUGGGCUGUCAAGAUGAGGUUUUAUUUAAGGUCUCAAGGUUUGUGGAAUGUUGUGAUGUUUGAAGCUGAUCCACCACCAUUGGGAGCAAAUCCUAUAGUUGCUCAGAUGAAAGCAUAUGACGAAGAAAAACUAAAGAAAGACAAAGCCAUCACCUGCCUACAUUCAGGACUUGCAGACCACAUCUUCACCAAAAUCAUGAACUUGGAAACACCUAAACUGGUAUGGGACAAGCUCCAAGGUGAAUUUGAGGGCAGUGAAAGAGUCAAAACUGUUAGACUCUUCACAUUGAAGAGAGAGUUUGAGUUGAUGAAGAUGAAAGACGACGAAUCUAUCAAAGAUUAUUCUGGCAGGUUAAUGGAUGUUGUAAACCAAAUGCGGCUUCUUGGUGAGGCAUUUACAGAUCAAAAGGUGGUAGAAAAGAUCAUGGUUUCAAUGCCUCAAAAGUUUGAAGCCAAGAUUUCUGCAAUUGAAGAGUCUUGUGACUUGCAAACUCUCACAAUUGUAGAGUUAACUAGCAAGCUUCAUGCACAGGAGCAAAGGGUCUUAAUGAGAGGUGAUGAAGCUACUGAAGGUGCUUUUCAAGCAAAUCACAAGGGAAAGAAUUCUGGAAACUUGCAAGGAAAGAAGUUCUUCAAGAACAACAAAGGGAAAGCUGAAGGGUCUUCAAGAAAAGGAAAAUUUCCGUCUUGCUCUCAUUGUAGAAGAACCAACCAUGCUAAGAAAGAUUGUUGGCACAAAGGUAAACCUCUCUUUAAUUGUAAUUUCUGCAAUAAACUUGGCCACAGUGAGAAGUAUUGCAGAGCCAAGAAAAAACAAUCUCAACAACAACCAGAACAAAAUGCAAGUGUGACUGAAGAAGACAAAAAUGAUGAUGAGCAUUUAUUUAUGGCAUCACAAGCACUCAGUUCUCAUGAACUGAAUACUUGGCUCAUUGAAAGUGGCUGCACGAGUCACAUGACCAAAUAUCUGUCAAUAUUUACCUCCAUUGAUAGAUCAAUUCAACCAAAGGUCAAGUUGGGAAAUGGUGAAGUUGUGCAGGCCAAAGGAAAAGGGACAAUUGCUAUCAUCACCAAGAGAGGUACAAAAAUUGUCACUAAUGUUCUUUACAUUCCAGAUUUAGAUCAGAAUCUUCUUAGUGUUGCACAAAUGCUAAGAAAUGGAUAUGCAGUCUCUUUCAAAGAAAAUUUUUGUUUUAUCACUAAUGUACACGGAAAAGAGAUAGAAAAAAUUAAAAUGAAUGGAAAUAGCUUUUAUUUGAAGCUUGAUUUAGUUGAAGGUCAUGUCUUUAGUGCCAAGAUUGAUGAGAGUGUUGUUUAGCACAAAAGAUAUGGUCAUUUCAAUUUGAAGUCACUGAGGUUCAUGCAAGAAGCUGGUAUGGUUGAAGACAUGCCUGAAAUCUCAGUUAAUGCUCAAACUUAUGAAAGUUGUGAGCUAGGGAAGCAACAACAACAACCAUUCCCUCAAAAUAUGUCCAAGAGAGCUACUCACAAGCUGGAAUUAAUUCAUUCAGAUAUUUGUGGACCAAUGAGCAUAGCCUCAUUGAGCAACAAUGUGUAUUUUGCAUUAUUUAUUGAUGAUCUCAAUAGAAUGACUUGGGUUUAUUUUCUAAAAACCAAGUCACAAGUGCUCUCUGUGUUCAAAAGCUUCAAGAAAAUGGUUGAAACUCAAAGUGGCCAGAACGUUAAGGUGCUCAGAACUGAUAAUGGAGGUGAGUAUAUCUCAAAAGAGUUCAAUGUCUUUUGUCAAGAAGCUGGAAUUGUACACCAGCUAACAGCUCCAUACUCACCACAGCAGAAUGGAGUCUCUGAGAGGAAGAACAUAACCGUGAUGGAGAUGGCAAGGUGCAUGCUAUUUGAGAAGAAGCUACCAAAACUUCUAUGGGCUGAAGCAAUCAACACCUCAGUAUAUUUGCUUAACAGACUACCAACUAAGUCUGUUCAGAGCAAAACACCAAUAGAGGCAUGGUCUGGUGUAAAACCUUCUGUCAAGCACCUGAAAGUUUUUGGCUCAUUUUGUUAUCUUCAUGUGCCAUUUGUCAAGAGAGGGAAGCUUGAUGAAAGAGCUGAGAAAGGUGUUUUUGUUGGGUAUGUAGUUGAAUCAAAAGGUUACAGAAUUUAUAGCUUGAGUAAAAUGAAAAUUGUGAUAAGUAGAGAUGUGCACUUUGAUGAAAACUCCUACUGGAAUUGGGACUUGAAGAAAGUUCAUAAAUGUGAUCAAACCACUCCAUCUAUUCUUGAACCAGCAAUAGAAAGUACAAUCAUUGAAGGUCCACUUGAUGUUGAAGCAACUUCAGACACACCCGUGCUUAAGAUGAGGCCAUUAUCUGAUGUGUAUGAGAGGUGCAAUCUUGUACAUGCUGAGCUUACAUGUUACAUGGAAGCUGCAAGAUUUCUAUAAGGCUACUACUUGCACUUGCUGGUCAAAUGGGAUGGAAAGUGUACCAUUUAGAUGUCAAGUCAGCUUUUCUAAAUGGUAUACUUCUUGAAGAAAUUUAUGUUCAACAACCAGAAGGCUUUGAGGUUAUUGGCCAUGAACGUAAAGUGUACAAGCUACAUAAGGCUCUCUAUGGUUUGAAGCAAGCACCAAGGGCCUGGUAUAGCAGAAUUGAUUCUCAUCUGAUCCAACUUGGAUUUAGGAGGAGUGAAUAUGAAGCUACUUUGUAUUUGAAACAAAAUGAUGAUGGUUUGCAACUGGUAGUAUCACUUUAUGUUGAUGACAUGCUAGUGAUUGGAAGCAAUGUAAAAUUGCUAGCUGAUUUCAAAAUGGAAAUGCAGGAUGUAUUUGAGAUGUCUGACCUUGGCAUCAUGAACUACUUCCUUGGAAUGGAAAUAUACCAAUGCAGCUGGGGUAUCUUCAUUUCACAAAGAAAAUAUGCUAUGGAUAUUCUCAAGAAAUUCAAGCUAGAAUCAUGCAAAGAAGUAGCAACUCCACUGGCACAAAAUGAGAAAAUUUCAAAGAAUGAUGGUGAGAAACUUGAGGAACCCUCUGCAUAUAGAAGCUUGGUGGGCAGCCUACUAUACUUGAUAGUAACCAGACCUGACUUGAUGUUUCCAGCUAGUUUGCUUUCAAGGUUCUUGAGUUCACCUAGAAAUGUUCACAUGGGAGUUGCAAAGAGGGUGCUAAAGUAUGUUAAAGGUACAACAAACCUUGGCAUUUGGUAUUUAAAGACAGGAGGAGUUAAGCUAGAUGGUUAUGCUGAUAGUGAUUGGGUAGGAAGUGUUGAUUAUAUGAAGAGCACUUCAGGUUAUGUAUUUACAAUCGGUUCAGGUGUCAUAUGCUGGAAUUCAAGAAAGCAAGAAGUAGUGGCACAAUCAACUACAGAAGCUGAGUAUAUCUCCUUAGCAGCUGCUGCAAAUCAAGCAAUAUGGUUGAGAAAAUUGCUUGCUGAUUUAGGCCAGGAACAAAGCUCACCAACUGAGCUUUGCUGUGACAAUAAGUCAGCCAUUUCCAUUACUCAAAAUUCUGUCCAACAUGGCAGAACCAAGCACAUAAAUGUAAAAUUCCACUCCAUUAGGGAAGCUGGAAAGAAUUCACUUGUUAAGCUGCAUUAUUACUCAACUGAUGAGCAACUUGCUGACAUAAUGACUAAAGGACUUCCUAAAUCAAGGCUGGAGUUCCUAAGGUUGAAGCUUGGUAUGCCCAAGGCAAAUCUCAAGGAGGAGUGUUAGAAUUCAUGAGAGUUUGCCUUUGAAAAUGUCUUAGUUAGACUCAGUCUCUGUUUUGCUCCGUAAUUUUCAGUUUUUCUGUUAGUAGAAGUAGUCAUAGCAGUUGAGAGUUUUUAGCAUUUUCAGUUUGGUUGUAAGCCUAUAAAUAGGCAUUCUCAUUGGUGAAAUAUUGUGUGCCUUUCUCCAACUCAAUACUCUAAUAUUUUUUGCAAGUUUUAGUUCCUUAUUUUUCUCCAGAUUUUAACAGGAUAAUCAAUCAACAUGAAAGUGAGUGACAAGAUUAAGUGUGGAAACUGGAAGUGAGUAGAAUAAGCAGAUCUCUUCUUCACUUGCAGUAACUUCUUCUCCAUUCAGAUUCAGAGAUCUUAGAAUUGUAGCUUCAACUUAACUCUCAGAAUCUUAAAGACAAAGUUUGCUCAAGUUUCAAAAACUCACAGAAAAAUUUCUCCACCUGUUUCUCUUAAUCCCAUGAGGCGAGAGACAUGAAGCACACACUUAUUGGCUUUUUUCCAUGCAAGUUUCAAGGUGGAGCAUCAAAUGAACUAAAACAUUCCCUCAAAUCCUAGUGGAAAUUCACACUAGAAAUUUCAGAAUUUGCUAAAGAAAAGUUUAAUUCAUUUUCUCCAUGAAUAAAAAAGCAUGUGAGGGCAUUUUAACUUCCUAAUAAUUAUUAUAGUAAACUAUAAUUCUCAUUAUUUAAACUCAUGAUCCUUAAUUUUAUCAUCACAUUUUGAAAAGACUUUCGUCAUCCCUUCCAUGAAUUAAUUGAUGUUUAAGGAGGUAUAAUAAACUUUUAAUUGAAUUUAACAUUAUUUCUAUUCUUAGACUCAUCUUAAACUCUUAUUUUUUUAUACUCUUAUCAAAACAAAAAAAAACUUAACAAAAAAAAAAAGAUUUCAAUUACUCCGUGUUCAUAAGGAAAAAUGGCUGAAUGUUAUGAAAAUCAUACCUCAAUUGUUGAUUUAAAGCAUUUGAACAGAGAAACACCAAGUAGACUCGAUGGACUUGAUAAAGAUUCCAAACAUGUGCAACUGUGGACAUCUAGAACUCGUAAACUUGGUGGAAGCUCUGGAACUUGUAGAAGCCCCUGGCAGUGACUCAAUUCAAGGACUCUCAGUUUAGAAAGUUGAAUGAUGCCUGCAAGUAUGCUACUAAAACAGUCCAUGCUUAGAUUUAGACCUGAAGCGUGCAAACCCUCUAAACAUUGCAAACUCCUCAGGUUCUCGGGAAAUUUCUCAAGUUUUGUACAGAAACUGACAUUUAGAAUUUUGAGAGAACUCAAAUUACAAAUGCUUUCUGGAAGACUCACAAGGUUGGUGCAUUCUGCAAGAUUCAAAUAUUGAAGCCCUCUUAAAUAUUGAAUUGAUGUUGGUAGUUCUUCUAUAGCAGUUCCAUCUAAAUGAAGCUCUCUUAAAUUUUCCACAUCCUCAAUGAUUUCCGGAAAGCUCCUUAAUCGUAAACAGCCUGAGCAGAAGAGAGUUGUAAGGGAUUUCAACUCACAAAUGCUACUGGGAAGACGCUCAAGGUUUUUGCAUUCUCGCAAACAUAAGCUAUUAAGUUUAGGGGGACACUCAAUAGUGGGCAGUUCAUUGAUGGCAUUUCCCUUUAAACAAAGCUUCCGUCGGGAUUGCACAUCCUCUUGACAUUCCCGGCAAAUGGUGGGUAUCAUUGCUUUACCAUUGUUCUUUUCAUGAUCAUGGGCAUAUAUAAGAUGGAUCCCACACUCUUCCACUUUCAUUGCUUUACCACGUGAGAAGCCACAAAAUGAAGCUGUCAACUGCCUCCAUUUAUUUGAGGGGUACUUCUUCACAAUCUCCACCUUCGGAUAAUAAGUCAUCCACAUUUUUCGUAGAACAUCAUAGCAUUGACACGAGGGAUAAAACGAGAGUUUAUCCACAAACUGAAUUUUAUGACCACACAAAGUCAAACCAUACUCGAAGUAAGUUGCUUCAUUCUCCAGUGUCUCCUCAGAUUCAUUAUCAAGUGGAUCAUAGAGAGAGUACAAAACAAAACCCAACAAGUCGUUAUUUUUAUACCAAUUUUGAGGAAGCUUUGCUACUACUUUAGCUCCCUUUUUGCGAUGGCUUAUCCAUUUUGGCAUUCCACAACUUACUGAAAUAAUAAGAUUUACUCGGGUAAAACGUUUUUCUCUAGGAUAAAUCUCGCAUUCAAAAUCCUGCACGAAAUUUAAUCAACACGUAAAUCCCUAUGUCUCCACAAAAAAAGUUUUGUUCUAUGAAUAUCAUACCUGAAUCACUGAUUUGAAGCAGUUGAAUAGAGAAGACCAGAGUAGACCUGAAGAAGUUUCCAGCCGUGUGCACUCAUGUACAUCUAAGACACGCAAACUGGAUGGAAGCGCUGGAAUUUGUCGAAGCUCUUGACAGUGACCCAAGUCAAGGAGUCUCAGCAUAGAAAGUUGAUUGACCCCAGCAGGUAUGCUCCUAAAAAGAUUCCCGAAUAGCAGUAAUUGUCGCAGAGACGAUAGGUGGCAAAUUUCGGUGGGGAUUCCUCCUUCAUCUAUACUGCAGAAAGAUAGAUCUAACGCUUUCAACGAGUACAAGCAGCAAAUAUCACUCAGGAUUUCUCCUUGCAUUAGCUUUGACCCAUGUAGAAUUAACUUCUCUAAGGAGCAUAAACCUGACAAAGAAAGCAAUUGGCAACAUGUUGAAUUUAAGCCACAAGCAUGGAGAUGCUUCAAGCUUUGCAGCCUCCCCAGGUUUUGUGGCAAUUUGUGGAGUUUUGAACAGUAACUGACAUCGAGAACUUCAAGAAAGCAUAAAUUAGAAAUGCUUUCUGGAAGAGUCACAAGGUUUUUGCAGCCAUCCAGAUUCAAAACUUCAAGCCUAUUCAAAUGUUCGAUUGAUGAUGGUAGCUCUUUUAUAGCCGUUUCAUUCAAGUGAAGCUCCCUUAAGUUUUCUAUAUUCUCCAAGACUUCUGGAAAGUAUUGUAAUUGUGAACAGUGAGAGCAAAAGAGAGAUUUAAGGGAUUUGAACUCCCAAAUGCUUGUUGGCAGACUCUCAAGGUUUUUGCACUCUCGCAAACAUAAGGUAUCAAAUUCAGAGGCACGCUCAAUGGGUAGUAGGCUGAUUGUCUGACCCUUUAAACAAAGCCGUCGGUGUUCCACGUUCCUCUGACAUUCCAAGCAGCUAGCAUCCACAUCCCCAGUCUGUACUAUUGGAUCUUGGGCGUAUAUAGGUUGGAGCCCACACUUGACCACCUUAAAAUGAUUGCGAGAGCCCAUAAAUAGAGCCUCAAGACACAUGAAUCGAUUGGUGUGACAGCUCUCCAGAAUAGCAGCCUUGGGAUAGAAUAUCACCCACAUUUGUUCUGAUACACCUCCAUUAUGGUAGCAUUUACAAGCAGUGCGAAAACUGAGAUGUCGCACACGUAGGGAAGAAAAUCCAUGUACUUCACUCAAUGACAAUUGACAUUUUAACUCAGUGGAGAUUGAAGAUUCAGCUUCAAGUAAAUCAUCAUAUUCAUUUAGGGCUUCGUCACCAGAUUCAUUCUCGGAUGUAUGUGCCAAAUCAUUUUCUGGUAUGUCCUCACAUUCAUCAAGUGGAGCAUAAACAAAGCAUAUAGCAAUUCCCAAGAAGUCAUCAUUUUCAUUACAAUUCAGAGGAAGCUCCAUUGUGGUCUGAUAUCCCUCUCUCUGAUUCCUUAUCCACUUGGGAAUUCCACUGCUUCCCGGAACAACAAUACAGAUUCCAUGGUCAUUGUAGUGAGAAUCAGCGAGAAAUACUCCAUUUGAAUUGCUCUCGUGUUUCAAAUCCUGCACAAAAGGUCAAUGAAAAUCCAGUGGGUCUGCCAUUAUGUGAGUUUUUAUGAGAGAGUUUGUUAUCAGUUUUCGAUAAAUUGAUUCCCAGUAUUAACUUUCUUUGAUCUAUGCUCCUGAAUCUACUUAAUAUCCCUUUUAGAUGACGGAUAAUCAAUCAACAUGAAAGUGAAUGCCAAGAUUAAGUCUGGAAACUGGAAGUGAGUGGAAACUGAAACCGAAAGUGAGUAGAAUAAGCAGAUCUCUUCUUCACUUGCAGUAGCUUCUUCUCCAUACAGAUUCAUAGAUCUUAGAAUUGUAGCUUCAACUUAACUCUCAAAAUCUUGAAGACAAAGUUCGCUCAAGUUUUAAAAACUCACAGAAAAAUUUCUCCUCAUGUUUCUCUUAAUCCCAUGAGGUGAGAUACAUGUAGCACACACUUAUUGGCUUUUUUCCAUGCAAGUUUCAAGGUGGAGCGUCUAAUGAACUAAAACAUUCCCUCAAAUCCUAGUGGAAAUUCACACUAGAAAUUUCAGAAUUUGCUAAAGAAAGGUUAAUUCAUUUUAUCCAUGAAUAAAAAAAGCAUGUGAGGACAUUUUAACUUCCUAAUAAUUAUUAUAUUAAACUAUAAUUCUCAUUAUUUAAACUUAUGAUCCUUAACUUUAUCAUCACAAUUUGAAGAGACAUUCGUCAUCUCUUCCAUGAAUUAAUUGAUGUUUAAGGAGGUAUAAUAAACUUUUAAUUGAAUUUAUAAACUAUUAUUAUUUUUUUAUACUCUUAUCAAAAUAAAUAAAAACUUAACAAAAAAAAAAAAAAUCAAAACAAACUUUGUAAAGUUAUCAACACUUAUUUACAUCCUUCUUUUUUUUUAAAAAAAAAUUAUAAUUAAAAAAAAUGUAAUUUAAAAAUUAUAAAGAAUAAAAUAUUUAGAAAAAUGUACUAGUUAUUUGAAAUAAAAUAUAAGGGAAAUCAAAAUUCUUAGUAAAUGAAUCGUCAAAACAACUAUAAUAGCUAUACAAAUGAGAAAAAAAAAUUAAAAGUAAAAAAAAAUUAUGAAUGUCAAGAAUGAGAAACAAUUUUUUUCUUUUUUUUUUUUGUAAAUUAUUUUUAUUCUUAUUUUAUGUAUUCAUUACAAUUUUUAAAUUAAUAAAUAAAGUUUUUAUCACAAAAUUUUAAAAUGGUAUGUAUGCUUUAAAAUUUAUAUGUUGUUCUUAGAUUUUUAUAAAUUUCGUUUAUAUCUUUCAAAUUAGAAUUAUUAAACUCACAUUUUAAAAUAAGAUAUCAAAUAGUUAUUUUUUCAUCCUUUAGCAAUAUCAAAUGUUUUUUGUACUUUAAUAAAAAAAAACUAUUUUUCUCUAAUUAAUGACUAUUUUGUAUAGUAUUUGGAUAAAUUAUUUAAUAUAUAAGUAUUACUUAUUUAAUAGUUUAUUUUUUUAAUUUAUUAGAGAAAGAGUGGUGCAUAUAUAAUUCAAAUAAAAGGUAAUUUCGUAUUGCAAGAAAGUUUGUGGAAAAAGGAAAUUUGAACAAGGAUUGAAAUUUAUAGGAACCAUAUUGGACACCUAGUUUUAGGUUUGUUCCAUUCGAACAAUCAUGACUUGAUAGUAGCCUAAUCUCAAAUCUAACUUUGUCAAGCCCUUCCUUUACUAAGUUGAUCAAACAAGUUGUUAACAAGCAGAAUAAGAUAUUUUUCACUUUCACCUUGUUGAGUCUUCAAUAAUCGAUACACAUUCAGAGGGAUCCAUUAUGUUUCUUUUAGAAUAAUAUUGGUGUGACAUGUGAAGCUUUAGUUUGUUGGAUGUAUCCCAUGUUAAGCAACUCUGUAAGUUGUUUCCUUAGUUCUUCUAAAUUAGGCAGUGCCAUCCUAUGGGACCCCUAUGGCAAGGGGCUUAGCUUCUGGCUCUAAGUCAAUUUUGUGCUCCCAUUCCCUUAUUUAUGUGAGUUUCUUAUGUAACUUUAAUAGCAUCUAAGGAUGGCAAAGUUUGAUACAAUUUGUCAACCAGACUUGAACCUGAGGCAUUUUUAGUGGGUUUGGGUUGAGUAUAAUCAUGUUUAGGUCAAAUUUGUGUAAACCUAAAUAACUUGUUUAAUAAAUAGGUUGUUUUUUUUAGUCAAACUACAUAAUACAAAUUUCACCUAAAUUGAGUUGUGUAAUAAUGAUGUUAAUUAACUAGAUUAUAACCAUAACCUAUUUAACCCACAUUUGACUCAUUUAAAACUUGAUUUUGAAUAAGUAGGUUAAUUAAGUCAUAAACAUGUCAGAUUGGGAAGUUAAUCAUAUUAACUUAAACAAGAUCUAACUUGACAUUAUUAUUAAAUAGGACAUUAUUAUUAAAUGGACUAUAUGACAUGUUACUUAUUUAAUAAUUAGGUUAUGCCCGAGUUCAUUCUUUUAACCUAAUUAUUAUUUUUGUGUCAUGUUUGAAUUGAUUUAUUUAAUCAAGUGUCUUUGCUUUGACACAUUGUGAACAUGAUCCACCAACAUGAAUUGUCACUUCUAGUGGCAUCACAUACUAGAACUCUUCAAGUACCACCUCAAUUACCUUGUGAAUGAGUUCCCUUAUUGUAUCAUUCUUUUCCUCCUUUAAUAUAGCCAAGUAGGUCAUUUGCUUAUUCUUCAAUACCUUCUUUACUUGCAUAGUUGAUAGCAAGAGGAUCUCAAGUGUACCUCAAUAGCUAAUGUCAUGAUUCAUUGUAAAUUUUGUCUAAUGUGUAAUCAUAUAUACAAAUGCACUCACCUUAAAAACCUCAUCCCAAUGACUAAGACAAGUCAUCCCUCCAAUUAGAAGGUAGUGUAUUAUAAUCUCAAAUGGAUUGUCUAAAUCCAUCAACCAACCAUGAACAAAUCAUAAAUCUUGCAAGGAACCCAUGACUUAAAUCUUCCGCGUAACUCCUAAUGCAUUUUAGUCAUGUACAAUACCACUAAUGCAUGCAUGCAUACUCAAAUCAAUAUCAAUGUGAACAAAGAUAAAUUAGUGGAAACUCAAGCCUAAAUUUGUUACAUCAUGUCUUGCUUGCAAGGGCUAUAUUUUAACACAAAUAACCAAAUAGGUUCUUGAAAUACAAUAUAAUAUGUGCUAUCUCUCAGAGCACUUUAUUUUUUGUUUCAAUAACUUCAUUUUUCUAUGAAGUUUUAGAUGUUGAAAGCUCUUCUUUAAUUUCCUUCUCCUCACAAAAACUCUAGAAGUCAGAAUUAUAAACUCCUUUCCUCUAUUAUUUCUUAUUGAAAAUCCAUUUUUAUUCAUCAUUUGAAAGCAUAACACUUUGAAUCUUAGGAUGUACUUCUUUCUUCCUAGGCAUUGCACUCUCAUAGGACCCAUUAAAUCCACAUGCAACAUCUUUAAGAUCCUAGAAGAAGAGAAAAUCGUCUUUUUCUCUCACUCAUCUGAAUUCAUUUUCCUAGAUAGAAUAAAUAGGAUUUUUAGGCUUUCCUAAAUGGGACUUGCUUUAAUUAGUUCUUUAUUUGUAAUCCUAGACAAAUCAUUAGAGUUUAAAUGCACUAUCAUAUAAUGCUAUAUGUCUUUGGAUGUAAAUUUCACAUUUUACAACUAUGUGCACUAGAUGAUGAGGAAGAAGUAGAGAGGCGUACAAAGGCAUAACAAACAAUAUAAAAAAUUCUAUUUCUUACCAACACACAUCCUUGAAUAGACACUAAUUUUGAGUAAAAUGAACAAAGCACAUACAAUCACAAAUUUAACUUGCGUUAAUUAAGUUUGCUUUCAAUCCCUCAAUAUAUAGUAACUCCUUGAGCAUAGGUAAAUUUGGACCUUCUAUGGUACCUUUUGGUUUCAAGUUGGUUAUAUGUAAUCCAACCAUCCCCAAAUACAACCAAACUUCCCUUUAUAGGUUCAAACGUGGAGAAAGACUCUAAGUUCAUUGUUGCUUUUACCUUUCCCAAAUACAACCAACUCCUUCUAUGAGUCCAAAAGUCAAGGAAGAUCUAAGUUCUAUGUCAUACAACUAGAGUAGCCACUCUCAAAAUCCAAAACGUGUUUUUCUCUAGCUCUUAGGCCCUAUGGUUAACUAAGGCUUUUUGGUUCUCCUUCUUUACCCAAUUUAUCUUUCCAAUGGGAAAUUUAAAGCCUAUUUAAGAAUUAUUUUUAAAAUUAAUUUUCCAGUUCUUAAAAAUAGAAACCUAUUUUCUAGACUAAAGCCAUGUUUGGUAACUUUUUGACAUAUUAUAGUUUUUUGAGAACUUGUUAUGAAAAUAAGGUAUCUCCUAAUAACAUAUUUUAAUUGCUUUCAAGUGUUUUCAUUUAUUUUGUAGGGUUGUUUUAAGAAAAUAAUGGUAAAAAUAUAAAGAAUGAUGAAAAAUAAAGAACUAAAAAUAAAAGUUAUUUUUAAGAAAUAUUUGGAAAUACAAAAAAUAUAUUAAAAACGUUCUAAGUUUCUAAAUAGACUUUUAUUUUAGAAAACAUUAGACCAACUAUUUUUGAAAACUUUUUUCAAUAAUGGUUUUGUAAGAAUUAUUUUUUAAAAAAAAAAAAAUCCUAAACAAAGCCUUAACCUUUGAGGAUCUAAAACUUUGCACUAAGUUUGGUGUUUUAUUGUUGGAUUUUCUUAGUCUUGCAAGCUUUAUGAUGAUCUUGCAAUAUUUUCUUUAAUUUACAUUUCAUGUUACCUGAGCAUUCAGUUUGGCUAAGUAUUGAAGAAUAACUUUGGCUUACAUUCAACUUUUUUUAUGGACAAAGGAAUGGAGCUAGAUCAGAUUUCUUUCAAUUUAGUCAAUUUUGAUUUACAUGGCUCAUAAUCAGAUUGUAAGACAUUCAAAUUUUUUAACAAGGUACCGUGCUCAUUUUCAAGGUAAGAGAUUUUUUUAAAGCAAGGAAGUCUUCUCUCAUACUUCUUUUAUUCUCAUCCAACUUUCACAAUUUUCAUCUUAAGGCACUGAUCAUACAAGGCUUCCUUGGCAAUCUCAAAUGACAACUUUUCUUCCAAAUAUGUUGUAUCAUGAGACGAACCUUCAAAAUUUUCAUAUUCAAGAUCAAUUUCAAAUUUAACAUUUUUCUUUUCAUUGAAAAGUGAUAUAGAAGGUAGCAAGUAUAUCAACAAUUUCCUCAGGCUUAUCAUGCUCAAAAGACACAAAUAUCAUCAACGUCAUGUGAUAAUAAAUCAUAAUUAUGUUUAUGCAUGUUUCCAGCAAAUUAAUGCAAUAAAAUUUCUACAUUCUUCAUCAAAAUCAUACCAAAUUACUUCUAUGACCUUAUCCUUUUGACAUUCAAGAAAGUGACCUUUCUUGACAUAGUAGAAGAAACUUUGAAUCAACUAGAUCUUUUUAGUGCUUUUUAUCUUUUUAUCACAUUUCUUUUCCCUUGUUUAUGGUCUCGAAGAGGUUAUCCUUUGUUUCUUGAAGCUUUUUGAACUUUUUGAAAGGUUAUCAAACCUAUAAAUUUCAAAUAUUGCUCAUUUUUUAUUCCUAUUCUGAUUCAGAUGCAUGUUUAAUUUUUUUGAUAGAUAACACAAAUAUAUUAAAGGGCAAAGGCCACCAAGCAUACAGGAAGUAUAGAAAUCAGCCUCAAAACGAGAGCACAAAAAAACAAGCACCCUUACCCUCCUUUAAGUGGCCGCUAGCCACUUCAAAAAACCUAAGAGUGAAGAGGACUCCUCUCCAAUAUACACCCUAGCCCAACUCCACAAGGUACAAACAAAAGAAUUUUUGAGUUUUUUUAUAUUUAACACCCCUCCCUUAAAAGCUAAUCUAUUCAUUUCCUUCCAUAUCAUUCAAAAAAUACACAACGGGAUAGAAUUCCAAAUUUUUUUCCUUUUUUUCCCCACAAAGGGACCCCUCCAACUGAAUAACACCUCCUUCACUAACUCUGGGAACACCCACUGAACCCCCACAUGGGCAAAAACGAUUUCCCAUAAGGCCCUUACCACUAUACAAUGUAAUAGAAUGUGAUUUACACUUUCCUCUUCACAGCCACACAAAAAACAACAGUUAGGAAACUGCCAACCCCUUUUUUGAAGCCUAUCCAAGGUGAGAAUCUUCCCUCACGCCACUUCCCAAGCAAAAAAUGCCGCUUUGGUUGGGACCUUGUCCACCCAAACGCAUCUAUACGGAAAGUCGCAAGCAUUGAUAACAACCAGCCCGUUGUAGGCACCCUUCACCCCAUACUUACCAUGGCCUCCCCUUUCCAAAGCACCACGUCCUCCUUUGAAGAUAUCUUGAAGUCCCUGAGCAUAUUAAGCAAUCCUCUAAUCAAGUCCAGCUCCCAAUCAUUGAAGUCUCUAUGAAAUCUAAGAUUCCAACCUCCUUGACCACUGCUAUGAUCCCACAUCUCAUUAACCGUUGCAUUCUUAUUGACCACCAUCUCAAAAAGCUGGGGAAAAGAAUGGGACAACAUCUCAUUCCCACACCACUGGUCAGUCCAGAAUUUUACUCUAGUCCCUUUCCCUACCUUAAACUUUAUGUUAUCCCAACACCACUUAGCUUCCUUCAUAAUCUCCUUCCAAACCCCCACUCCAUAAGUACCACGGGCUUCUUUAGUUCUCCACCCAAACUCUUCCUGACCAUAUUUCACCCUAAUCAUUAACCUCCAGAGGUUAUCCUUUUCAACGGCAAAUCUUCAUAACCAUUUACCCAACAAAGCUUUGUUUAGAGAGUCAAUCUUCCGAAUGCCAAGGCCACCUUUCUCCCUUUAAGUGCACACCACCUCCCAUUUAAUUAAGUGGACUUUCCUCUCCAAGCUACCCCUUCCCCAAAGAAAGUCUCUUUGUAAUUUUUCGAGUUUAUUUACAACACUCUUCGGCAUUCGAAAAAGGGACAUAUUGUAAAUAGGAAGGCUGGCCAUAGUAUUCUUGAUUAAGGUGAUACGCCCUCCCUUCGAAAUAUAGUCUUUUCCACUAGGCUAAUCUUUUCCUCAUUCUCUCUUCCACCCCAUCCCAAAUAGAGACAGCUUUGUGGUGAGCUCCAAGGGGCAGCCCCAAGUAAACAGUGGGCAGCAAUCCCACUUUACAACCAAGCUCCACAGCCAUCUCCUCAAUAUCUUCCACCUCACCAACCGGAAUUAAAACGCUUUUAUCUAGAUUAAUUCUGAGACCGGAAGCCGCCUCAAACCAAGCCAAAAUCCAACUUAGAGCGGACAGUUGCUCUUUGCUAGCUUCACAAAAGAUGAUCGUGUCAUCAGCAAAGAGAAGAUGGGAAACUAUCAUCUCCUCUUCCUCUCUCCCCCAAAUUCUACAACCUGACAAGAAGCCCCCAUCAACCGCCCUUCUAAUAAGAUUACUAAGUACUUCUAUACCCAACACAAAAAGAUACGGGGAGAGGGGAUCUCCUUGUCUUAGCCCCUUGGAAUUCGAGAAGAAACCAACCGGCACCCCAUUGAUCAUGACUGAAAAUUUGGCGGUUGAGAUGCACCACCAAAUCCACUCCAUCCACCGCGACCCAAAGCCCAUUUUAAGUAGAACUUUUAUGAGAAAGUUCCAAUUAAUUCUGUCAUAGGCUUUCUCAAUGUCCAAUUUACAGAUCAGCCCUUUCUCGUUCCUCUUGUGCCAAAAAUCGAUCACCUCAUUGGCAAUAAGAGACGCAUCCAAGAUCUGUUUGCCCCUCACAAAGGCGUUUUGGUCCCCGGACACCACCUUAUCUAACACCUUCUUUAGCCUAUUUGCCAACACCUUAGCCAAAAGCUUGUACAAACCCCCUAACAAGCUAAUUGGCUGGAAAUCACCCAAGUCUUCAGUCCCUCAUUUCUUAGGAAUGAGGACUAUAAAAGUGGAAUUAAGGCUUUUGGCAAAAGAACACUGGUCAUAGAAUUCUCUAAACAAUUCCAUAAUCUCCUCCUUCACUAGCUCCCAGCUUGAUUGCCAAAAAGCAAUUGUGAAACCAUCUGGGCCCAGAGCUUUAUCCCCAUUCAUACCUAUUAGGGCAGCAAAAAUUUCCUCUUCAGUAAACUGCACCUCCAAGGCUUCAGCUUCACAUGAAUUUAGACGCUUAAGGUGCAGUCCCUCAAUAUCCGCCCUCCAGUCUGGUUCUUUUGAAGGCACCUGCUGAAAAGCACUCACUAUUCCCUCUCUCAUCUCCUGUUCCUCAGUCAUCCAAACUCCAUUAAUUUUUAUUCUAGCCAGAGAGUUAUUCCUUCGGUGAGCAUUAGCCAUCCUAUGGAAGAAUCCAGUGUUUCUAUCUCCCUCCUUAAGCCACAAUUCCCUUGACAAUUAUCUCCAGUGGGUCUCCUCCAAUAAGACCCAUUUUUUAAAGGAAUCCUUGGCUUCUUUUUUCAGUUCAGUUUCACCUUCAGACAAGCUCCUUUCCCUUUCCACCCUGUCCCAAAACUCCACUUGUUGAAGGGUUGAGUUCUUAUUGGCUUCCAGUCUACCAAACACCUCCCUAUUCCACACUUUAAUCUUUUGUUUCAGCACCUUCAUUUUAGUGGCUAGUCUGACACUGACCCUCCUUCUUACCUCAACUUCCUGCCACCAACCCCUAAAAAGAUCCGUGAAGCCAUCAACUUUAAGCCACAUAUUUUUAAACCUAAACGGGGACGGACCUCUCCUUAACCCACCCCCCAUCAACACGAUAGGAAAGUGAUAUGAGGUAGGUCUGGGCAGCCUACAUUGCAUGACCUCAUUGAAAUGGUCAAGCCAACUCUGGGUCACCAGGAACCUAUCCAACCUGGCCCAAGCCUGAUUAUUUCUCCCCCUACUCCAAGAAAGCACCCCUCCUUGCAAUGGAAGAUCAAUGAGUUCUAGCUUAUCAGCAACCUGAGCAAACCUUCUCAUUGCACUCGUUAGUCUUCCCUGAUUGCUUCUUUCCCUCAGUGACAGGAUAACAUUGAAGUCACCCCUUAGACACCAAGGAUCCUCCCAAAUGCCUCUAAUUGCUCCUAUCUCCUCCCACAUCCACUCCCUUUCCUCUCUAGAGAAGGGCCCAUACACCCCAGUAAACAUCCAAACUAGCCCAUCUUCCACGUUCCUCAUCCUACAAGAAAUUGAGAAGUUUUCCACUUCCAUUUCCAUUACUUCCAAGGUCCUCUUAUCCUAGCAAAUCAGUAUCCCUCCCGCAGACCCAUGGGCAUCCAGAGUACCCCAAUUAAGAAACCUACCAAUGCCUAAGCUUCUCACCAGGCCCUCUGUCAUUGCCUGAAUCUUGGUCUCCUGGAGACAGAACAGAUCCACUCUUUGACUCUUGAUCAUGACCUUAAUCACCUUUCUUUUUGAGCUAUCGUUAGCUCCCUGAACAUUCCAACUCAAGAUUCUUAGCUUCAUUUAACCACCAUAAUCUGACACCCUCUUACUAGCAUUCCACUCUUCUGCUUCUUCCCCCCCUCGUAGUUAAUAGAGCAUUCCAACCUUUUCAAUUCCCUUUCAAACUUGGAUUUUUUUAGAAGGUUUUUGUUGUGGACUUUUUCCCUUCUUUUUUGGAUUUUAAUCAGAAAAUCCAAAAUUUCUUUCUCCAAACCUUCUGUUGAAAAUCCCAAGAACUUACUGAAUUUGGCCAACUCACUCUCCUCCCAACUUUCCUUCUCCCAUCCCUUUCCAUCUCGUGGCAUAGAUUGGGCUAACCUCAAUUCCUUUCCACAGCUAUCCUUGCAGUCGCUUGGGCCCUCCAUCAAAUCCUAGCGGCUUGCAUUCUCCUCUUCUUGGGAUCCCAGGGGAAGAAGCAUGCGUAAGGGGGUUUAUCUCAGGUGAGUCACCCUAUCAUCCCCAGAAAGGUCGCAAAACUCCCCCAAAGGAGUCCGACCAAAAAAGAAAAGAGAAGAAGGAGAGGGUCCAGACGCCAUCAAACCACAAGGGAUAGGAGCACACCCGUACCUCGACGCUUCUUCAAUUAGGGCACAGUCGGUCCUUAACUUCUCCGCGAGAAAGAGCUCCACCUCAACUUGCCUCCGCCUGCCAUCAUAAUCCCAGAAAGGGAAGCAUUCAACAUCUGGCUCCCUCAGAUGACUUGGACCAGCCCACACAAGAGGCAAAGCCACUCCAGAGCAGCCCACCAAGGACUGGGCUGGAUCACGACAAUCUUCCCUCCCCGUCAGCCCGCACAUNNNNNNNNNNNNNNNNNNNNNNNNNNNNNNNNNNNNNNNNNNNNNNNNNNNNNNNNNNNNNNNNNNNNNNNNNNNNNNNNNNNNNNNNNNNNNNNNNNNNAAAGGGAAGCCUUCAGCAUAUGGCUCCUUCAGAUGACUUGGACCAGCCCACACAAGAGGCAAAGCCACUCCCAGAGUAGCCCACCAAGGACUGGGCUGGAUCACGGUAGUCUUUCCUCCCAGUUAGCCCACACGUCCUAGUGGACUCCACUGGUCUAAGGCCCUCUAAUGACGAAGGCCCUACAGAUGACGAAGGCCCAAUAGGAUGCGGCCCGGUCUUAGGUGAAGAAUCGAGCCCAUCGGACCCAACACCCAAGGCCCUAUGCAAGCCUUCUAGGUCCCCUAGUAAUGACCCAAUUGGGCCUCGAGACCGAGCCUAAAGGGACCCCGACCCACCUGUUUGCUCCCUUGUCCCAUCAGCAAACUGCAGGUGGGUCUCGAGCCUCGCGCCGUCCACCACUUCCAUCACGCGCUUGCCCGCGCAUGUAGAGACAUCACCUUCAACCUCUCCUUCAACACCGCUGUUCUUUCCCCUCCUUUCUGCCGGCAGCACUCUCAUUACCGGCCUUAACUCCCACCAUAGGACAAGCAAAUAACACACCCCUUUGACCCCAAUUUCUAUCAUGCUAGGGAUCUCCUCGCCGGAUAAUUUCACCAAGAUUCUUGCCCACUGCAACUCUUCCAACCUCUCCGUCUGAGUAUCAAUCGCUAAGAGCCCCCCGCAUUUCUCCCUUACCUUUCUNNNNNNNNNNNNNNNNNNNNNNNNNNNNNNNNNNNNNNNNNNNNNNNNNNNNNNNNNNNNNNNNNNNNNNNNNNNNNNNNNNNNNNNNNNNNNNNNNNNNNNNNNNNNNNNNNNNNNNNNNNNNNNNNNNNNNNNNNNNNNNNNNNNNNNNNNNNNNNNNNNNNNNNNNNNNNNNNNNNNNNNNNNNNNNNNNNNNNNNNNNNNNNNNNNNNNNNNNNNNNNNNNNNNNNNNNNNNNNNNNNNNNNNNNNNNNNNNNNNNNNNNNNNNNNNNNNNNNNNNNNNNNNNNNNNNNNNNNNNNNNNNNNNNNNNNNNNNNNNNNNNNNNNNNNNNNNNNNNNNNNNNNNNNNNNNNNNNNNNNNNNNNNNNNNNNNNNNNNNNNNNNNNNNNNNNNNNNNNNNNNNNNNNNNNNNNNNNNNNNNNNNNNNNNNNNNNNNNNNNNNNNNNNNNNNNNNNNNNNNNNNNNNNNNNNNNNNNNNNNNNNNNNNNNNNNNNNNNNNNNNNNNNNNNNNNNNNNNNNNNNNNNNNNNNNNNNNNNNNNNNNNNNNNNNNNNNNNNNNNNNNNNNNNUAUCCUGAUUCAGAUGCAUGUUCAUCUACUUUUAGUGCAAUGUUAAUGUUUCUUCUUCUUAGGAACACUUAGGGUCAUCUCCAAUUGAAGGGAGCCAACUAUCUCAUCUAGCUUAAUUGAAUCAACAGUGUUCCAUUCCUCUAGUGUUAUGACCUCAGGUCUAAAACGAUCAGAGGGGAUCUUAACAGUUUUCAGGUAACCUUGGAAUCAAGUAUAUUCAGGGAUCUUACAUAGAUUGAAAAUCAGCAUUCACAAUGUCUAUGAUUUCAAUAAUAUAUUCAGAAAAUGUUUUUGUUGUGAUCAUUUGAAAUUCAUUCCUUCACCUAUCCCAACUAUACAUAGUUUUUCCUACCCUAGUGGAUAUAUAUCCCAUCUCUAUCUAGCACCAUAUCAGGAUAUCAACCAAAUUGAACAGAACUCCAAUCUCUAUCAGACUUCAUUUUCAGGAAGUACAUCUGUUUUACCUUGGAAUGAGCAUAAUUAUCUCCUUUGAAGUAUGGAGGUCUACCUAUAGAGGUUCCUUCUCGGUGAAUUUCCAUCUUAAGAGAAUAUAGUUUAUCCAUAUUGAGAGCAUGAGUAAACAUGUUUUGAUAUGAUUUAUGAGUUUUUAAGAGAGUAUGCUAUGAACUUGAGAUCUUUUUUAGAUGAUCAAAUAACAUAUGCACAUGAAUGUGAUUAAGUGAUUAGCACAAGGUCAUACGCUAAAAUGUCUCUAAUGAAAUCUCAGCAAACAAGCACACAAAUAUUGCACAAGAUAUAACAUAAAAAAUCUCUAAGGGGAGAAAGGAAAUAAAUAAAUAAAUAACAAUGGGUGCCUUUGUUGUUGCAAAUCCACUAUGAAUAUAAAUCCAGUUUUGCCUACAAGUCCUCCCAGAUCAAUCACCAAUCCCCUUAAGGAAUCCUCAGAGUGAUUAUUUCUUCAAUCCACACCUCUUUUUUAUAUGCUUCAAUAUGGCUCAUCAUGUGCUCACCACCAAUCUCUCGACAUAGCCUCCUUCAACUAUCUUCAAUUACCACGAUUUCUCUUCUCCUCCACUAAUUACAUUACAACAGAAUCACCUUCACUAUCUCAUUGAAGUGAUCUCCAAAAACUAUAAAACAAAAAUUCUAUUUGCAAAGCAACUUCUUCUUCAUAUAGAUUCAGAGAACCAAAAUAAGAAGAUGUUUUCACCUGUAGCAAAAUCUUCAUGUAGAUUUAGAGAACUGAAAUUGUAACUUCAAAUUCACUCUUAGAAUCUCAAUUAAGGUAAAGCUCUCUCACAUUUCAAAAUCCCCCACCAAGAGUUUCGCUUACUCUUCAUUUUGGAAAUGAGAGUAGAACCAACUUAGUGCCGAGGGACAUAAGGCACACCCUUAUGGGCCUAUUGUCAUGCAAAUUUUAAGGUGGAGCAUCCAACUAACUCAACAAAUGUUUUUUUGCUUCCAGCCAUUUGUUUCCAUGGUCUAGAAAAAUAUGUCCUAGAUGAUUCCCAUUGUUUCAACUCUUUCAUGAAAAAUGCUUCUCAAAUCACUCCGGUCUUUCACUCACAUUACAUGUGAACUCCAAUCUACAGUAGUGAAAUCCUAUUAACGAGCAACCUGGAACAAUUAGCUUAUCCUUUCAAUCCCAUUUUCAAGCUCAAUUCCCUCCACCAGUGAAAACAAAUGGUCUUAUAUGAUCAACUCCAUUCACUCCAGGGCUAUAAAGGAAACACUUGUGAGCUGGCAGGCAGUAGCUCCUCCCGACUCACCAUNNNNNNNNNNNNNNNNNNNNNNNNNNNNNNNNNNNNNNNNNNNNNNNNNNNNNNNNNNNNNNNNNNNNNNNNNNNNNNNNNNNNNNNNNGCAAUUCACCAAAGAAUGCAUAGGUGGCAAUGAGGUCCCAAUGGAGCUGUGCAUAUCUAACAGUCGCAGACUUGAAGGAAGCUCUGGAAUUUGUGAAAGCUUCAUGCAGUGACUCAAGUCAAGGGCUCUAAGGUUAGAGAGUUGACUGAUACCCACAAGUAUGUCACUGAGGGUUCCUCCUUCCUCUGGAUUGGACCGACUUAGAUCUAAUACUUCCAGUGAGGAUAGAUGGAAAAUACAAUGGAAGACUCCUCCAUUUAGAUUGCAGUUUCUUAGCCUUAAUUCUUUCAAUGCGUUCAAGCAGUUAUCACUCUUUAUUACUCCUGGUGUUAGAUUGCAUUGAUCUAAAUAUAGUUCCCUUAAGAGAGAUAAACCUGACAAAGAAGGCAAUUGACAACUGAGCGAAUUUAAAGAAAGAACCUCUAGACAUGGCAUUCUCUCCAGGUCCUCUGGCAAUCUGUCAAGUUUUGAGCAGCCUUCAAGACUUAGAACUUCAAGAAAUCUCAAAUUACAAAUGCUGUUCGGGAGACCCUCAAGGUUUUUACAAUUGUCCAAAUACAAGUUGCGAAGACCUUCUAGAAGUUCAAUCGAUGAUGGUAGCUCUUUAAUAGCUGUUUCAUCUAAACUAAGCACCUCUAGUUUUCCAAUGUUGCACUUGAUUUUUGGAAAACUAGUUAGUUUUGAACAGCCACUGCAAUGAAGAGUUAAAAGGUGCUUCAACUUAUGAAUGUCCCCAGGAAGACUCUCGAGGCUUACACACCCUAUAAAAUUCAAGGAAAAAAAAAGUUAGUUUUAUGACACUCUUAUAUGUGUGUGAACCUUAAGUAAAAUUAUACAACCUGAAAGAAUAAGUUCCUCCAAAUUUGGCACGUUUGAGAAAUUUGGUAAUUCAAUAAGCUGUUGUGAAUGACUGAGAUCGAUGUACCUUAAAUUUCUAAGACACUGGAACAAAAUAGAAUUUCUAUUAAUAAAUCAAUUUUAAAAAAUUUAAAAAUAUUAUGAAACAAAAGCAUAAAUAAAUAAUAAUCAUACCAUGUUUCCUUUCCAAAGUAGUUUUAUGUUACUAUUGCUCAAUUUGAGGAGAGCAAGAUCAUUUGGAUGAAAGUUUGAUGGUAGAGAUUCUAAAGAAUAUCCAUCCCAACUGAGACAUGUCAAGUCAUCAGACGAAAAUACAAAAUCUUCAGGAAGUUGUAUGCGAUUGUGGGAGACGACAAGCAAUCUAAGUCUAUUCAUCCUUUCGAAAGCUUUGCAUGUAAACUGUAUCUGUUCUGAUUUGUCCACAUCAAGGAAUAUCCCUUCAAUUUUUUCAGUCCCCUAGAUAAUAAGAGUAUAAAAUUAGAAAAGCACAAUACAUAUAAAUCCUUACUAAGGUGAUAAAGAUAAAUAACUUCUUGAACAAAACAUAUUUUCUAUAUAUAUAUAUCUUACCGUAUUUCUUUUUAAUACUCGAUAAAUAUCUGUAUGCCUCCAUAAUCUGCUCCUCUCUCCUGGCUCAUUAGGACAUUCUUCAUCAACAAUGCCCUUGCCCAUUUGGGCUAACAAAUCAUGCAUCUCUAUUGUCUUGUCCUUUGAAAUGGUUAUGAAACACCUAUCAACGAGAGCAUUUAUUCCACUUUCCGCAUUGAAUUCGGAACCAUCCAAUAUUCUUGAAACUAUUUCCACAUCACCUCCUUUAAAGAAACAUGCAAUGUCGAGAAAUAUCAUCCUUUGUGUAUAAUCCAAUCCAUCAAAACUUAUUUUAAGCACAUUUACAAUUUCCAUGUUAGGCACCUUUUCCAGCUUCCGCAAUUCGCUUUUCCAAUUUGGUAGUCUCUUUCCAAAUAAUAGAGAACCCAAAACUUUAAGUGCUAAUGGAAGACCAUCAGCAUAUCGUACUACUUGAUGAGAGAGAUCUGCAUAACCUUCCUUCAGAUGAUGUUGUUUAAAGGCAUAACGACAAAAAAGUUGAAGAGCUUCGUGAAAAUUUAAUUUCUUAACUUCAUAUAUAUCAUUCACUUCAUGCCUAGUUAGCAAAUCUUUUUUCCUAGUAGUAAUGAUGAUUCUACUUCCUGGACCAAACCAAUUAUGCUUUCCAAUCAAGUGUUCUAAUUGUGUCAGCUCAUCUACAUCAUCCAAAAAAACAAGAACCUUUUUUGAGGAAAGCUUAUCCCUUAUUAUUUUGAUACCUUCAUAAACAUUCUUUAAAACUAUUUGCCCCUUUGUCCUUAGAGUAUCAUCAAGAAGCUUUUGUUGUAACUUAAGAAGACCAGAAUUUUUUGUGGAUUCUUUCCUGACAUUUGUGAGCAAGCUAACACUUUCGAAUUGAUGUGAGAUUUGGUUAUAAAGAGCAUUGAUGAUGGUAGUCUUACCGAUUCCACCAAGACCAUAAACCCCGACCAUGCGAACAUCAUUCGACUCAAUCUUUAACAAUGAUAUUAGUUUUUCCAAACGAGAAUCCAUUCCAACAAUGUUCUCGUUAACACCUAAAAUCUUAGGUAAGUUUCCAUGAACGUUCUCAAUAAUUUCAUCAAUAAGCGUUGACUCAUACCUGCCAAUUGCAAAGCAUAAUAGAUCAUGUACUCAUGCAAUAGAAUGAGUAGCAAAAGACAAUAAAUUAUAUGAAAUAAAUUUAAUGAUGCCUACUUUUCCAACUAUAACUUAGCAGGGCUAAAAAUAAUUUAAAUUAAAAUAAAAUAAACCACAUCUAUCAAACUACUUAUGGGUACGAUUGCAUUAUUCUAUACAGUUGCUCGUGUGAUAGAAAUGAGGGAAGAAAAUGCAGAAUAUGAUUUGCAUUAUCAAAAGUGGAAAAAAGAAAUUGAAAUAUUUUUGUGUUAACUUGUCUACUCAAUCUUUUGGAAGGCUCAAAAUGAAGUUGACUUGUUUGGAAUAUUACUACCCUAUUUUGAUAAGGGAUUCCAUCACAGAAUCAACCACUAUUCUGCAUCCAAGCUUUUACGAUCAACGUUACCAUCUUUUGUACUUGCAUAACUUUCUCUCACCAUUCAUUUAGAUAAUGGUUCCCCUAGCUGUUCUUUAUUAUUAUUAUUAUUAUUUAUAAAUUUUUAUAAAAUUUUUUGAAAACCCUUUAAUCAAAAUAUAACUUUUAUAAAUUAAUUGAACAUAUUUUAUUUAUAAUUUUAAUUAUUUUGUCCGAAGGAAUUAAAAAAAUAUAUUUUAAAAGAAUAUCAAUUUUAACUUAAAAUAAUUUAGUAUAUUCUUUAUCAAGUGUAAAAUUUUAAUGAACAGAUUUUUAUUUUAUAAAAAAUAAAAAAUUUUAAAAUUUUAAAACUCACAUAGCUUUAAAUAUUUUUUAUAUCAGCAGACAGAGAAAAGGAGAGUACUUCAAGUGAAAAAUGAAAAGAAGUUACAAUUACCUGUUCUCCGCAACAUGUCCGGCUAGAUUGCCUGCUUGCUCCAUGGCAGUCCUCCAUUUCCUUAUCUUUUCCUUUCUCUCCUCGUCUGCAUUUUCCUCAUGACGGGUAAAUGCUUCUCCACAAAUCCCAGUUUGCUUCCGAACUUCAGACGGAUCCACAUUAUAGAAAAUUGGGAUAACUAUUUGUCCCCUUUCCUCUUUGCAUUCCAUGAUCUUGACAAGCUCGUCCAGACACCAUUUGGAAUGAGCAUAGGUUUUUGAGAAAACAAUAAUGGCAAUCCUUGAUUCUUCAAUAGCUUUUAAGAGCUCUGGUGCAAUCUCUUCUCCCCUUGGAAGCUCUUCAUCAUCUCUGAAGGUAUGAAUAUUGUUACGAAUCAAAGCCGAGUAGAGGUGAUCAGUAAAGCUUUUGCGAGUAUCUUCACCUCUAAAACUCAAAAACACAUCGUAGCUCCACUGAGAGUGAGAAGUGGAAGAAGAAGAGGGUCUCUGGAUGCUGGGGGAAGCCAUGGUUGAACAGAAAUUGGAGGAAAAAUAAGGGUCUUCGGGUACUGAGUAACUCAUUCCCCUAGCCUUACGUGAAGUUUGGAUGUUGGUGGUGGGAUGCGCUUUUUCUUUCUUAAUUAUUUCUCCCUAGCUGUAUCCCUCUAGCUUUGAAUGAUAGUGUGGUUCACAUGGUCAAGACCGCACUUCAAUCAUUUCCCUUCACUCUUUUCUUUUACAUUUUACUCACUUUUCUGAGUUUUCUCUUUUUGUCAGUCAACAAUGGCCGACAGUCUUGUCUCUGCCGUUUACAGCUGCUCUUUUCUUUUAUUCUAAAAUAAAAAAAAUAAAAAAUGAUCAAAUGGUCUUUGCUUAGCUCAUAAGAUCGUGUGAACGCACAUUAAAUUAAAGUUAUUCAAUUAAGUUUUGUCUUUUCCAUAGUGAGCAAUAUUAUAGUAGAAAAUAAAGGUUUAUUAAGUUGAUAUGUCAAGUAAAGCUAACAACUUUGGUAUUAUAAGCUUCAUUUUUGUAGAUAAAAAAUAUGAUAAUUCAUAUGACAAAAGGUAAAGAAAAUUUUGAUCUUGAAGAGUAGAAAGAAGCACAAAACCUUCAUGAAAUUUUAGGGAAGAAAGACCAUGCCCAAAACUCGAAAUUUAAAUUUUCACAGCCUUUUCACAUUUUGUAGUUGGCUUUAUUAUUAAUAGAAGCACAUAAAUAAAUAUUGUACUUAACCAUGUUACUUCUAAAAUUAAAUCCCAUUAAUUUAUAGGUCAUAAUGGCUUGUAUAGGUCAUCAUAGUAAUGAGUGUGAAGGUGGGUACUUCUAUAAAUAAUAGAUGAGAUUAAACCAAUUACCCUAAAAUUCAAAAGCACCUUUAUCAUAAAAGUCAUUGUCGUCGUAAUGGUAAUGAGGUUGGAGUAUUGGAUUAAAAUAACUUAUUUAUUAAAAAAAAUAUAAUAUUUAACAAAUUUUCGAAACUUAUGUUCAAAUUGAUUUUUUUUUUUAUACCAUGUAGGUGUCAUGUCAUUAAAAUUUAUUUAUUUUUAAUCAUUUUAGUUAAAAUCUCAGUUAGUAAAUCAUUUUAAUUAAAAUCUCAAUUAGUAACUAAGGCUUCAAUUUUUAACUAAAGUCGGUAAUUGUCAAUUAAGGCUUCAUUUUUUAAAUUGAAGCCUCAAUUGACAACUAAAGUUUCAUUUUUGAAUUAAAACCUCAAUUGGCAACUGAAUCUUCAAUUUUGAACUAAAACCACAGUUCCCAACUGAAGCUUUAAUUAUUUUUUUUAAAUAAAAUUUAUUAAAUUAUAAUUUAUGAUUGAAAUUUUAAAAAUAUACUUAAAUAAUAAAUUAUUUAUAUUUAAACUUAAGAAUCUAGUAUUACUUCAACAAACAUAAAUUGAUAAAUAGAAGAUAUUAUAAAUGAAUAUUUUAUUUAUUAAUAAAUUAAUAAUCUUAAAAUAAUAAAUUUACAUAACAUAUAAAUAAUAUAUAAAAUUGUAUAAUUUAUUAAUUUAAGAUAUUUAAUUUGUCGUUUUUUAAGAUAUUAAUUUAUUUGUAUUAUGACAAAUUUAUUUUUAUCGAAAUAAUAAUAUACUUUUAAGUCAUAGUUGCUAACUGAGAUUUCAAUUAUAAUUUUUUUUUUACUUUCAAAUUUAAUUAAAAACUAUUAAAUUAUAAUUUAUUAUUGAAAUUAAAAAUAUAUACUUUAAUAAUAAAUUAUUUAUAUUUAAACUUAAAAAUAUAGUAUUACUUCAACAAACAUAAAUUGAUAAAUAAAAUAUAUUAUAAAUAAAUAUUUUAUUUAUUAAUAAAUUAAUAAUCUUAAAAUAAUAAAUUUAUAUAACAUAUAAAUAAUAUAUAAAAUUGUAUAAUUUAUUAAUUUAAGAUAUUAAUUUAUUUUUAUAAUUUAAUAAUUUUUAAUUUAAAAAAAAUUAACUAGGACCUCAGUUGGAAAUUGAGACUUCAAUUUUAAAAUUUUAGUUUAAAAAUGAAACCUCAAUUGAUAACUGAGGUUUUAGUUCAAAAAUGAAGUCUCAGUUAUCAAUUGAGACUUUAACUAAAAUUAUGAAGAAAAAAAAAUUUAAUGAUAUGACACCUACAUGACACAAAGAGACCAAUUUGAACAUAAAUUUCAAAAAGUAAUUAAAUGUUUUUUUUUUUUUAAUAAAUUGACCAUUUUGACCCGAUACUCAAUGAGGUUAGGUAUAUUUUGAAAGAAUAGAAAACCCUAAAUUUCAAAAGAAUGUUUGAUUCUUGACAAUUUAUCCCCAAGAGCCUUAUUUUUUUACUUUUUAUCUUUUUAUUAUUAUUAUUAUCGUGAGGAUGGUUAAAGAUGAUAUAGAAGUCUUUCAAUGGUUUAAAAAAGAAAAAUGUGAGUGUUAAGUUGACAUUUUUGCCAUUUUAGAAAAUACUUAAUUUUAAGAUCAUUAAUAGGAAGAAAUAAAGAGUUCACAAAAAAUAAAGACAUUUUUAUUGAUUGAUCUAGGUAAUUGUGGACCCCGCAUUUCGGCUCAAUACGUUUUCCACUAGAUGGCGAGCUCGAUUUUGAUUUGAAAAAUGAUUUUUAUUGGUUAAAAGAAUGACUUGGAGUCGCCACUUAUUUUUGUUUUAUUUUUAAAGGGUAAACAAAAUAAGAAAGAAAAACCCUAAGUGUGACUCCUUGUUUUGGAAAAGGUGGUCUGUGAAAAACCGGAUCGGGUUCGGGGGUCAGGUUACUUAUUGGGAAGGUACGGUAGAGACCGUAGCACCCCUCUAAGUCCCUAAAGUCGGGUCUCUACUAAUAAAGUGAAACUGACGUGACAAUCGAAUAAGAAAGUCAAUGGAUACUCACAUCAAUCAUGCAUAUAUGAGAAUCAGAAUAUGUAUAGUGAAUGAUCAGAAUGAGUGAAUGCAUACCUGGGCAGCAAACAGCAACGCGCUAUCAAGAAACGGGAUUAGUGCACAAUUAAUGAAUACAAAACAUAGCUCAUACAUAUCGGAGUGCAAAGCGAAGCUCAAACAAAAUACAGUAAGCACGAAAAUUGACAGUCAAAAGGGGUCAAACAUAGGGCCCCCAACAAAGCCCGAUUUAUUGUUCAUGAGCUAAUCCCACAAAUCCCCUGUUUUGGAAUUAUGAAGGAAUCACUGUUGUUUAUGUAAAAUCAAGAAGAUCAGAAGAUUAUUUAGGAACUGAAAUGUGAUUAAGAACUAUUCGAGUGAAAACUGAAUUAUUGGAGCUUAUUUGAAAAUUGAAGUAUUUGGAAUUAAAUUUUGAAGAUUAGAGCUCUGGUGAUUAAAUCGAAAUUUUUAAAGAAAAUGAGAAACGGACUUUAGGAAAUUGAACUGCGAGACCAUAGACUUUUGAAAGUUGAAUUUAUAAUAAUGAUAGUAAUGAGGUCUUGAGAGGUUGAAUUAAUAAUAAUAAUAAUUAUAAGAUUUCGAAAGUUGAAUUUAUAAUAAUGAUAGUAAUGAGGUCUUGAGAGGUUGAAUUAAUAAUAAUAAUAAUUAUAAGAUUUCGAAAGUCUGAAUUGACGAUAAUAAUAACAAUAAUAAGAUUUUGAAGGUGUGAAUUAAUAAUAAUAAUAAUAAUAAGAUUUUGAGAAUUUGGAUUAAUGAUAAUAAUAAUAAUAAUAAAUAGAUUUUGAAAGUUGAGUUAACAAUAAUGAUAAUAAGAGAGUUUGGAUUAAUGAUGAUAAUAAUAAUAAUAAAUAGAUGUUGAAAGUGCGAAUUAAUGAUAACGAUAAUGAUGAGAUUUUGAAAGUUGGGAUUAAUGAUAAUAAUAAAUAAUAAUAAAUGGAUGUUGAAAAUGUGAAUUAAUGAUAAUGAUAAUGAUGAGAUUUUGGAGGUUUGGAUUAGUGAUAAUAAUAAGUUAUAAUAAAUAGAUUUUGAAAGUUGAGUUAAUAAUAAUAUUAAUAAUGAGAUUUUUGGAAGUUUGGGUUGAUGAUGAUAAUAAUAAUAAUAAAUAGACUUUGAAAGUUGGGUUUAUAAUAAUAAUAAUGAGGGUUUUGAAAGUUUGGAUUAAUGAUAGUAAUAAUAGUACUAAAUAGAUUUUGAAAGUUGAAGUAAUAAUAAUAAUAAUAAUGAGAUUUUUGAAAGUUUGGAUUAAUGAUGAUAAUAAUAAUAAUAAUAAAUAGAUGUUGAAAGUGUGAAAUAAUAAUGAUGAUAAUAAUGAGAUUUUGAAAGUUGGGAUUAAUGAUGAUAAUAAUAAUAGUAAUAAAUAGAUUUUGAAAUUUGUGAAAUAAUAAUGAUGAUAAUAAUGAGAUUUUGAAAGUUGGGUUAAUAAUAAUAAUAGUAAUGAAAUUUGUGAAUGUUGAGUUAGUAAUAAUAAUAGUAGGAUUUUGAAAGUUUGGAUUAAUGAUAAUAAUAAUAAGAAUAAAUAGAUUUUGAAAGUUGAGGUAAUAAUAAUAGUAAUAAGAUUUUGAGAGUUGAAUUAAUAAUAAUCAUAGUGAUAAUAAUAAUAAUAAUGACAAGAACAAUGAUAAUAAUAAUAAUAAUAAUAAUGACAAUAAUAAUAAUAAUAAUAAUAAUAAUAACAAUAAUAAUAACCAUAAUAAUAAUAAUAAUAACAAUGAUAACAAUAAUUAAUAAUAAUAAUAAUAAUAAAUGAUAACAUGCAUCCAUCAAACCCAAAGCCCAUAAGCAUGGAUCCACUAACAAGCCUCAUCUUCAACAAGCCCAGUCCAUAAGCCUAAACCCAUAAGCCUAAGCCCACAAGCCUAAGCCUAAGCCUCCAAAGCCCAUCAGCAAAGCUCAAGCCCAAAUCAAUGAGUAAGCCCAAGCCCUUUAUCACAUGCUCUUCUUCCUCAUCUCCGGAGACAGUGACGGAGAAAAAUGGAGGUGAGAGAGACAUCGUCGGAGGUCCUCGGAGUUGGUCCAAGCUGCCAUCCUCCCGCGCCACCUCGGACAUGCCCAACUGCAGCAGCCUAGUGUCGGUGUGGAGCCUGCUGCUGCAGCCUUCAUAGGAGCGUGGAGCUUCGUCGGCCGGAAUCUGGUCGUUGAGGAAGAGCUCAUGUGCUGACAGCAUCCUCGACGUCGUCGUCGCGGAGCUCCCAUAGUAGGCGAGCCAUGUGGAAGAUUCGAACCCGGCGCCGGUGGACGAUGAGGCUACGGUUAAAGUGGACGGCGUCGGCAUUACGCAAGGUGCGAAGUGCAUGGGGCUCACCGGAGUGCUGUAGAAGAAAAACACCGCUUCCGGAGCCGCGUCCUAGGCUGGAGGGAGCAUUGACGUGGGGGGUGGAGCUAGAGAGAGAAAAUGUGGUGGAAAUGAUAAUGGGUGAGUGUGGCGAGGGUUGACGGAGUUGGGGAUGUGCAUGAGAGAUGAUGGGCAUGAAGAGAUCCAAAAAAAAAAAAAAAAGAUGGGUAUGGUGAUCUCGGAUGUGAGUGGUUAAAUGGGGGUUUGUGAACAAAGCAUGAAUCAAUAAUGUCAAAGCACACUUAUAACUCAAACCUCAUCCAACAAUACAUCAACUACUAGCUAUCCAUAUCUGGAUCAAAGGGAAAAUGACCAGAAAAUAACUCAAGAAAGAAAGAAAAAAAUGGGACAAUCAGAUGCUAAGUAGGAGCAAGGAGUCAUCAAUGGCAUACCUGGGGACGCUCCCUUCUUCUUCAAGCUUCACUUUCCAAGAUCCCUCGAACCAGCCCGCUCUCCCCCUCCUCCUUCCUGUUGCCCUGGUCCCGCUUGCCUUUUCUUCUUUCCCCCGUUCUUUUUUUUCUCUUCGUGUCUUCUUCAGCAAGCCCGCCGUAUCCCGUCCCAUCUGCAGCCCAAAAGCUCUGCCUUCUUCCUGCUUUUCUUCCAACCGUCCUCGGGUGGAUAAAGAAAGUAGAAAAGAAGAAGAAAAAAAAAAGAAAAUGCAUGAAAAUAAAAAAAACCUGCCCCCAGUUGAGGGGGUCUACAGUAAUCCUUUCAUAGCUUUUAACUAUAACUUUGUUGAAAAUCUUACUCCUUCCUCCUUGUCUUCCUCUUAUAAUUUCUAAGUUUCAACUUUUUUUUUUUUCUUUUUAAUAAUAAUAUUGGUUUUAUGUUUUAAUGAAAUAGGUUGCAAAUUUGAAGAAAACAUAUUCUAAUGUAUUUAUUGAUUAUAGCUCUUUCUUCAAAAGGGUUAUCGUUAUUUACAUUCUCAAACUAAUCAAAUUUACAUCUCUAGAUAUGUAAUCAUUGAUGAGUUUGAGUUUUCCUUUACUAACAAAACUUCUACCAUAUCUUUCUUAUAGGAACAAAGUCAAAUGACCAUAUUUUGAGAUUUCGAUCAGCAGUCACAACCAUUCAAUCCAAACACCAACUCAACCCACAACUUCACUCCCACCAAACAACCUUUCAAACCAUCGUAAUAGUGUAGAUCUUCUAUUUUGUCUUUUUAACACAUCUCAUCUAAAUUUGUCUUUCUUACAUACUUUAACACCUUAUUAUGCACUUAUGGUCAUUUUUCUAAGCUGUUUUUUUUAAAUUAUCUUUUAUUCUUUGUGAUUAUGUUGAUUACUAAUUAUUUUAUUUUAUUUUAUUUUAUGCAAGAGUCAUUCUAAAGGGAUUAAAUGCAUUCCAAUAUUGAUUUUAAUGAUUUUUAAAUCUUAAUUCAGGACUUUAUUUUUUAUUGAUGUAUAACAUAUUUAGGUUUGUUUAAAAUUUUCAAACUUUAAUUUUAUAAAAUAGAUUCAAGUUUUGAAUUAAUUAAUAAUUGAUUUCAUUCUCUUUAAAAUGUAGAAUAUGAUAAAAGGCCUGCAACAAAUUCAAACAAAUCUUUAUACAAGUGAGAAUUUAUGUCAUCCAAUCAUUUUAUUAAAAAUCACUCUAUAAAUUAUAAAAAUAAAGAUAUUAAUCACAUCUAUUAAUAUGUUUUUUUUUUAAAUUGACAAAUCAUGAUGAAAUUAUAAUCUUUUUAAUAUUUUAUUAAUUAUAAAUUAAAACAUCACUAUAAUUAUUCAAUCCCCACAGAAUAUAAAAUGAGUUAUUUUCAGUAAUAAUAAUAAUAAUAACUAAUCAUAUUUGAAUAACAUUUCAUCAAUUAUAUAUCAAAAUAAAGUUUUAUGUUUAUCAUAACCUAUGUUUUAAAACAAAAUAAUAAAAGUUAUAUUUCCAUUUAAAUGUAUUUAGAUAUCUACCUCCAUAGCCCAUGGUAUUAAAAUAAUCUAAUAAAACACAGUAUCCCAUAACCGGUCAACAGCACAGCUGCUCCUAGCCUUAGCCUCUUGCAGCUGCAAUCAGCUGUUCCACUCUCUGUUACAGGAGUUUAAGACCAAAAUAAUAUAUUUGUAAAAAAAAAUGAUAAGAAUAGUAUCCAUUUGAAAAUAUUUGCCAAAGUAGUCUUCUUUAUCCACGUAAGCAUCCACAUGGAUUUUAAGUGUAAAGAACCACCGUUGGUGACUGUGGUUUUAGAACUUACAAAAAUUUCCUUAAAACCACAGUUACAAACUGUGGUUUUACAAUUUCUCUUAGAACCACAGUUACUAACUGCGGUUUUAAAAGAAGUUUCCUUAAUACCACAGUUACAAACUGUGGUUUUACAAUUUCCUAACUUUACAAUUAUUUUUAAAAUAUUUUUUUUAUUAAAACAACCAUAAAACCACAGUUAGUAACUGUGGUUUUACUAAUGGUGUUGUAAUUCAAAUUAGUGAUGUUAUGUUAUUCACAUGUUUCCUUGAUAAUUUAAACAAAUAAAACUCAAAUGCAUCCUAAAGUCUAAAUGAAAGAAAUUAUAACUAAAUAAAUUAUUACAACCAUUACCUAUUUUUCUUUCAUAUAAUUAAAAAAUUAUACAUUUUAACCAAGACAUAAGUUCAAAUCAUACUUAAUAAUAAAUAACCUAAAAUCAUAAUCACUAACAUUAAUUUUCAUAUGAAAAGAUAAAAUUUUAAAAUAAUAUAAACAAUUUCUUUAGUUAUUUUAAAAUUUAAAAAUAAUAUGAAUAAAUAAUUUUCUUUAGUUCAUAUGUGAAAAUAUUUGUAAAACAAAUAAAUAUUUUAUUUACUAUAAAUAUAUAAAUUUUUAUGGGAAUGCAUGUAGACCAAAUUAUUUUCUCAAAUUUUCAAGGAAAAUAUGAAAAAAUAAAGAUAAAAUAUAUAUAUAUAUAUUUUUAAAUAGUCGUAACAAAAAAAUUUGUGAAAAGCAAAGUUCUAAAAUCCCAUACUUUUUUAUACAUGAGUCCCCUUAAAAAUAUUUGUGAAAAUUACAACAUAAUUGUAAUUUUGAUAAAAAAAUAUUUUAAAAAUAAUAUUAAAAUUACAACACCAUUAAAAUAGAUGUGGAUUAAAAAUAAUUGUAAAACCACAGUUACUAACUGUGGUUUUAUAGUUAUUUUGAUAAAAAUUAUUUUAAAAAUAAUAUUAAAAUUACAACACCAUUAGUAAAACCACAGUUACUAACUGUGGUUUUAUGGUUGUUUUGAUAAAAAAAAAUAUUUUAAAAAUAAUAUUAAAAUUAUAACACCAUUAAAAUGAGGACGGAUUAAAAAUAAUUGUAAAACCACAGUUACUAACUGUGGUUUUAAGGGAAAUUGUAAAACCACAGUUUGUAACUGUGGUUUUAAGGAAACUUCUUUUAAAACCGCAGUUAGUAACCGUGGUUCUAAGAGAAAUUGUAAAACCACAGUUUGUAACUGUGGUUUUAAGGAAAUUUUUGUAAGUACUAAAACCACAGUCACCAACGGUGGUUCUUUACACUAAAAAUCCAUGUGGAUGCUUACGUGGAUAAAAAAGAUUACUUUGACAAAUAUUUUCAAAUGGAUACUAUUCUUAUCAUUUUUUUUUACAAAUAUAUUAUUUUGGUCUUAAACUCCUGUUACAGUCCAGCUUUGGCCGCCCAAGACAUACAUCUUUUCACCCAUCAGCCAUUACCCCUGCCACAGCUCAUACUAAAGCUGCCAUAACCUAUACCCCAUAACCUAAUAUACGACUCUCACAACCGCCCUUUGUAAGAGUCACACAAAAGCCAAAUUUUUAUUAUUAUUAUUUUUAAUCAACUCCAGCACAGCCUCGUCAGACGCCGAGCCUCCUGAUCUCAUCUCCAAACACGUUCUGCAGCUGAAUCCUUUGCCUUUAUGAAGUUUGGAUGUUGGUGGUGGGAUGUGCUUUUCCUUUCUCAAUUAUUUCUGCUUAGCUGUAUCCCUCUAGCUUUGAACUUUCACUUUUGUCCCUUUUGGCAGUCAACAAUGGCCGACAGUCUUGCCUCUGCGAUUUACAGCUGAUCUUUUCUUUUAGGGAGAGUUGGGAUUACUGGCUGUUAUACGAGAAAUACAUGGUUUUCAAAACCAUAUAACUGAAAUAUGAUUUACCUGAGAAAAAUUGUGAGAGUUGAGUUGUCAUUUUCGCCAUUUUAGAAAAGACUUAAUUUUAAGACCGUUAGUAGGUAGAAAUAACAAGUUCACAAGAACGAAAGAGACCUUUGUUGACUGACCUAAGUAACCCCUUUCAUGGCUUUUUCACUUGUUUGUUUUUGGGUUUUCUUUAAUGAGGCUAGGUGAUUGUUGUUUAUUUUGACUUAUAUUUUAGAUGGAUUUCAUUUUUAAUAAGAGUUUUUCAUGGUAAAAAUUGAUGUGAUACAAAUUUUUAUUGAUAUUAAUAUCAUUUUAUCAUAAAUUAUUUAGAGUAUAGAUAUAAAUAAAAUAUCAAUACCAUAGGAAAUGUUAAAAUAAAGUUAGGUGCAUAUGCAAAAAAUAAAAUUUGAAAAAUAGAAUAGUCCAGUCCAACCAUAUCCACACAUCCAUCUUCCUAUAAAUGAAACUAAUGAUAGAUACAUAAGUCAAAAAUAAGAUUUGAAAAAGAGUAUAAUCCAAUUCAACUACCUAUCUUCCAAUAAAUUAAACUCAAAAUGGGCACAUAUUCCAAAAAUAAAUUUUGAAAAAUAAAAUAUUCCAAACCAACUUUAUCAACAUGUCCAUCUUCCAAUAAAUUAAAUUGGAAAUGAGUCGGCAUGUGAUAAAAUAAAUGUCAAUUUCCAUUUUACUUAUAUUAAAUUCACUUAUAUAUUUAUAUCGAAAAUUAUCCUUUGAAUAUUUCUAGAAACAUUAGUGUGGACUCCGCAUUUUGAUUGCUCAAUGCGUUUCCCACUCGAUGGCGAACUCGACUUUUAUUUGAAAAAUUGAUUUUUAUUGAUUAUUUGAAAAUGACUUGGAGUCGCCACUUAUUUUUGUUUUAUUUUUAAAGGGUAAACAAAAUAAGAAAGAAAAACCCUAAGUGUGACUCCUUAUUUUGGAAAAGGCGGUCUGUGAAAACCGGAUCGAGUUCGGGGGUCAGGUUACUUAUCGGGAAGGUACGGUAAAGACCGUAGCACCCCUCUAAGUCCCUAAAGUCGGGUCUCUACUAAUGAGAUGAAGCUGACAUGGCAAUCAAUGAGAAAAUCAAUGAAUACUCGAAUCAAUCAUGCACAUAUGAGAAACAAAGCAUGUAUAAAGAAUGAGCAAAAUAUGAAUAGAUGCGUACCUGGGCGGCAAUCACGAAUGCGCUAUCAUGAAACAUGGUUAGUGAACAAUGAACAUAUAUAAUUAAGCGCAUAUCAAGGAAUAGAGUAAAUCAAUCAUGCAUGACAAAUAAAUCAAUCAAGCAAUCAAUCAGUCAUGAAUUCACAUAUGUGGGCCCCCCAUCAAAGCCCGUUUAUUUUGCAUGAAUUAAUCUCAUAAAUCUCAUCAUUUGAGAAUUACGAAGAUUGAUUUCUUGCUUGUUUAAAAACAUUUUGAAAUUCAUAGGAGUUGUGAAAAUUAUUGGCCAGAAGGAAGAAUGGCAGUGAAUUUUAUUUGAAAUGAGAUUUUUGAGUGAUCCUAAAAAUUCUAAAGAUGAAAAUUUGAAAAAUAAAUAAAUAAAUAAGAAUAAAAUAAAAUUAUUUGAAAAUCUAGAAAUUGGAAACUAUUUGAAAACGGGAAAUUUGGAAAUUACUUUUAAAUUGAAGAUAAAGAAAUAAAUAGAUAAAUAAAAAAAUAAAUAAAAGACACGUGGCCCAAAAGGUGGUCAUGCAUAGCUGCUUGUAAAUUGGGCAGCCAGUGCUUCUCAUACUCUCAGCUUCGGGAUGUUCCUUGAUGUAGUUGCCCCCAUGUGUCAUCCUUAGCCGUGACAAUGCAUGUGUCUUCAUCCCAAUUAAAGUCACUUUGAUCAAGAAGCGUCUUGACAGUGACAUAUUACAUCCUUAAGACAUCAUACCGAUUCUGCAGUUGCUCCUUCAAUUUUGGGUACUGAGCCCUGGCCCACUUUAACACAAAAUUAUACACUGCAUCCUCUGACGCAACCUGGAGUUCAUCACUAGACAAAAAUGCUUCAGUCUUGACAAGGGGUAAGGCCAUCGCCUCUUCUUGAAACUUGGUUGUGUCUUUGUAACGACUAGCAAGAUAUUGAUUGGUUGCAUCUGUCAAAGGCUGAACUGUCUCAACCAUUAGGGCACUAGAAGGAGGCUCUAGACAGAGCAAUGCAGAUUUCAGGUAUCAUGGAUAAGUUCCUUAAGAGUCUGCUGCAGCUGCGAUUCGGAGACUCUCCACCGUUGAUUUCAUCAUCAUGCUUCGCUUCAGAAUUCUGGACGCCAUGGAUUCAAACCGCGACUGGUUUGGCUUCCUUCAUUGCUUGUCACAACAGACUGCAUGCACCAUUCGUCGCGUACCUCACGACAAAUGUGAGUCUGGUUAAUCCCGUAGGAGGACUCCAAGCAGCAUGCAUAACGUACCUCUUCGGAACAUCACAACGAGACCCACUGGUGCCCUCGUCUGAAUACACCUCCGCAUCUCAUUCAAGUAAUGGGUAUUGGACCCAUGCAUGCAUGCAAAGAUGGAGGAGUGAAGUGGUGAGAGAAAGGAUGUACGGAUUUAGCUGCGAGUAAAGUCACGGGUAUGGGAGGAUGGAUGCGGUGAAGACCUUUGAGGGUGAUGAAAAAUGGUGCAUGGAGUAAGAUAGGCUAAAGUGGAAAUGCGUGGUAGAAUGGGCAAGGAUCUCAUGGGGAGAGUGCAGUCACGCAUAGGGUUAUGGGUAUGAUGGUAUGGGGGAUGGGAUGAUGUAGUUAUGGAGUGGUGUAGUGAGAGGAAAGGUGGUGAAGGGUAUGUGAGGAGGAUGAUGGGUAUGAGAGAAGGGUAUGAUGGGUACCAUGCAUGGGGAUGAAUGGUAUGAAGGAAGAUGGGUAUGGAGGAACAUGAAGGAUGGGUAUUGGAGGAUAUGGGUGAUGAGAAUGAAGUAGGAAACGUGGGUAUUAUGGGUGUGGGAAUUAAGGACGAUGGUGAAUGCGCUUAAUGGGAGAAUAUAGGAUGGAGAACGGGAAAUGGAAGAUGGAGAAUGGAUGAUGAGUGAUGGAGAGCUUGAGGUGGGUUGGAUGGAUGCAUGCAUCGGGCAUGAAGGACGGGUGAGUGGGAUGUGGGUAGUGGGCUUGGAAAAUAGGAACGUGGGUAAGGUGGUGUGGGACCAUGCAUGACUAAAUGGGUUAUCUUUUCCCGGUUUUUUUUAUUUUCCAGAGAUUUGCAGCCAAUUCCUUACUGUCAACAUGAUUACUGCCAACAUCUCAUCUCAGUGCCUUUCAUUAUUCUCACAGUCGCGACCAAAGAACAGUUCACUGUAGGAAACCAUAAAGAAAGACUAUGCUUCGUUGCUACUGACAAGGCAUUAUUUCACUUACCCUGAUUCCAUUUUAAGGCGGGAUAAAACCCGCAACCUGCACCAUCUGCGGAUAUGGUGGAACAAGUCAUCCACCAGAGAAGAAAUGCCUCUCACUGACAGGGUCUGAUGAUGGAGUUGAAAAAUUACGUCUAAAUAAGAAACUGGAAGGAGAGCCUCAAUUUCAUUCUUGGAUUUAACUGCUCAAUCCUUAACAUUCUCACAGCUGUCACCUUCCCCAUCAUAGUCACUUCCACUAACCAUCUUUUCCGGAGGAACACCAUUUUCAUAAAUCCACCAUUACUACCAGCCUCAGGUAGUAAUACGAGAAUCGAAACUCUCCACGACUAGUUCUAGGGAGCAGAGAUGGUAUGGGGGACAAAAUCGUUAAAAAAAAAAAAAAAAAAAGAACAAAAAUCAAAAGAUCCCGGAAUCGUAUAUAUAAAGCUGCGUUCCAUGAAAAACGAACGAGCUCAAAAAUGGUGGAACAAACAGGGGGUCCUCAACACGAGCUGGUAAACAUCAUACUCAAAUCUAGGUAAAGAGUAAUACCCCCAUUGCAAUGAAAAAAAAAAGAUUGAGAGCAUGAGAAGAGAAUAAAACAUAACAUAUAGGAGCAGAUAAUCACAUUUAAACGAAGCAAACCUGUGGCCCUUGAUCGUCCACAGCAAAUCACAAAUAGAUAUUCAUCAGAUUAGCAGAGAAUGAAGUGAGAUUUUAAGAGAUGAAAACGCACCAGAUUCAAAGUGAUGCUACUAAUGGCUCCACAAUGCAACCUUCUCCUCCUCGGCUUGCAAGCUUUCUCUUAGAAAACUCUCCGUGUAGCUUGCUUUCCCCCCAACUCAACCUCUCUGUCAAAAACUCCUCCUGUAGCCCUUCUCUCCCCAACUCUCAAAUAGCUGGCCACCUCUCUCUGCCCUCUCUCUCUACCCUGCAGCAGCUUCUGAAAAGCACCCUACCUCUGGCCAGCUGACCCCCCUGCAAAAAUCCCCUCUAACAGAAAAUAUGCGCUCCUCCUAACGGCCAGAAUAUCUCCAUGCCACGUGUCAAACUCUCACUCGCUCCUCAAUUCCACCAUCUGUUUCUAUGACCACCAACCACAAGACGACACGUGGCCCUAUGGGACUGCGGCACUUGGCAAAAAUGGCUGUAGAAAAUGACACCCAAAUGGGGGUCUACAAAUAUGCCCCUCUUCGGUAGAGUUCACGAGUGUAAGAGAUAUGAACACUGAAGUGAAAAGUAAGUGUGAAUAGUGAGUGGAAUGAAGUGAACUCUACCGAAGAAUCAAAGAGACCCCCAUAGGGACACUGGUGAAACGCAAAGUCACCCAGGCUAGUAGAUGAACACAAAGGCUCUAAUCCUAAAAGAGAAAUGAUGUCACAAAAUGCCUCUGCGGCCAUACUAAGGAUCCAAGCUCCCUCUAAGAUGUCUCCCACCCAUUUACUGCUAAAACAGUGGCAGACAAAUUUGUAUAGGAAUUAUCAAGCUCCACGGGAUGCCCCAGUUCGUCAUUAGUGACCGAGAUCCAAUUUUCAUUAGCAAGUUCUGGCAAGAAUUCUUCAAGAUGUCGGGCACCAAAUUGCAACUCAGUUCCGCAUACCACCCACAGACCGUCGGACAGACGGAAGUUGUCAAUCACUGCCUCAAGCAAUACCUUCGUUGUUUCGUGCACUAGUGGCCACGCAAAUGGAGUUCUUAUUUACCUUGAGCAGAAUAUUGGUAUAAUACCAACUAUCAUAUUUCUACAGGGAUGACCGCAUUCCAGGCACUGUAUGGAAGGCCGCUUCUUGGCAUUCCAUCGUACAUAGGUCUUUCGCUAGUACACGAGGUGGAUCAACAGUUAAUGACUCGCGAUGAACUACUUUAGCAAUUGAAGAUUAACUUAGCAAGCUCAGUUAAUCGAAUGAAACAAAUGGCAGACCACAAGCAGAGGGAUAUUUCGUUGACAUUGGCGAAUGGGUGUUGUUGAAGCUGCAUCCUUACGGCCAACAAACAGCCUUCAAACGGGUCCAACAAACGGCCUUCAAACGGGUCCAUCAGAAAUUGGUUAGUCGUUUUUACGGAUCCUAUGUGAUCUUGAAGAAAUGCGGACCAAUCGCGUACAAAUUAGACUUACCAAAAGGCACGCGCAUCCACCCAGUGUUUCAUGUGUCACUACUUAAAUGAUACCAAGAAAAUGAUGGACUUACGGAGCCACAGUAGACAACGUUGCCACCUAUCUCCGAUGAAGGAGUGGUCGCACUUGAACCGCAAAAGAUUCUGGACACCCGCUUGGUCAAACAGAGAGGCCAACUUGUUGAAGAAAGCCUAGUGCAACGGAAACAUCUACUCUCGAAGGACGCCACUUGGGAACCAACGAAGAAAUUGCUCAACGAAUUCUCACCAACGAUCCUUGAGGACGAGGAUCCACUACACGGGGGAAGUAUUGAUAGGCCACGUCAGUCAACGAGGCCCCGUAAUCCAAAUCCCAAAUACUUGGGAUAAGCUGGACGUGAUCAACAUGAAGUUUGGGUCGUGGGGAACGUUGGAAGUUUACGUUGGAAGUUUACAUAGGAAUGGGUCUUCAGGAGUUACGCAUUUUAUGUCAUUUUCUUUCCGUUAGUGUUGUCUGUUAUAUGCUAUGUUUUAUGUGUUUAAGUUCCGGUUAUUAAGCUACUAGUUUCCCUUCAUUUUUGACAUUAUUGUAAUUGGCUUUGCUUAUUUAAAGCAGCCCAGAAAUUAUCAAGAAGCAGGAGAAAAAUUAUUCAACUAUUAUGGUUCAUUUCUCACCCGAAGAGAAAGUCAUUUACGUUAACAUCUAUCGCAUUUGUUGGGACCUAACAGGGCGCAACUGCUAUCACUACAGCUGGUGAUGUGUUGCUAGUUGCUACAGGGAAUGUGCUGUUGUGGCUGUUGAUGUUGUUGCUUCCUCUUCAAGAAUAUCAACACAAGGUGAGACGAGGGCUUACCCAAAUGAAACCAGAGCAAUCCAAGAAACAAAACUAUCGUGUGGCAUUUCAUCAACCAGGUGGUGGGCAUUAUCAACUGAAAAAAUAUCUCUACUGGAGUUUAUUAUUUUCUAUACAUUGCAUAAACUUUAAAGAUAUUAUGAUCCAUUAACUUUGAACCUUAUUUACACUUGCAUAUGUCUGGGAUUGUGUGUAACAAUUGAUUAACAUUGACUUUUGGGUGUAAAUGUUGUCUAAUUCGUCACUCAGAUAUCAGGUGUGAUUAACCAUGCAUGUCAGAAAUUCUGAAGACUUGAUUGGAUUGAUUUGCUCGUCUGAAAUGUCCAAUCGGCUUGGUCUGUCCAUUCCGUUUGACAUUAUGGAAGAAGGAAAACUUCUCACUUUUGGUGCUAGACGGAGCUUAUCUUUAUCCAGACGGGUUAUAUGUUUGUCCUAAUAAGCCAAAGGGUUUUGAAUUUGAGAAGGACAUGUGGAGGGAAGCUCCCCACAGACAUUAUCAACUGAAAAAGUAUAUCAACUGGAGUUUAUUAUUUUCUAUACAUUGCAUAAGCUUUAAAGAUGUUAUGGUCCAAUAACUUUGAACCUUAUUUUGAAAAUUAAUUUAUAUUCAUUAUUUUUAUAAAUAUAAUAUCAAAUAUAAAUCGAAAAAGUAUAAGUUACAAAUUUCAAAGGGUGUUUAUGAGUGGAUCAAUUUUUGGUCUCAAUUAAAAAAACUAAUUUAAAAUAAUAUAAAUAUAAUAUGUUUUUAGUUUAUUUAUUUAUGGUUAGGGUUAUAAAAUAAAUUGAUAUUUUUUAAUUUUAAAUAAGAAAAACAAAUAAGAUAAAAAAGAAAAAAAAUUAAAGAUCGAACAAUAUAAAAUAUUGAAAGUGAAUGAAUAAAAAUGAAAAAGUUUACAACUCAAAUAAGACCAAUCUAAAAAAUGCAUUACAUAUUAAAAUAUCAUCAUUUUUUUUAUUAAAAUAUACCUAAUGGCAUUUCAUAUUGUUAGAUGGUAAAGGAGAAACUAAAAAAAAUCAUAGAACUAUAGAAUGUAGCACAUGAACUUAGUUUGAUGACCUGAAGUGCACAAGUUGCUUUCAAACCACUGGGACUUGCUUAGGGUUAAAAGUUAAAAAUAGGACCGAUAAUAUUUAAUCAGUAAUAUCAUCUCAAGCCUAUUCCAAAAUAUGGCAACCGGGUAAAAUUAAAAAUUAACUUAAUGCUUAAUAAUUUUUUUUUUAAAAAAAAGAACUUGUUAAAUUUUUUUCUAAAAUCAUUAGAUGUUGUAUAAUUUUUCUAAAAUGAAUGAGAAAAGUUAUAAUGGUGAAGCUCUUGAAAAAGAAGCUUUCAAUUAUGAUCGCACUCCUUCAAAAAAAAAAUCGUUAAAUAUAGAAUAGAAGCAAACUCGUCAAUCAUCACAUAAAAAAACAAUUUCUCCAAAGAGUGCUGACCCUUCAACCCCCAUGAGCUAACCAAGCAGCUCGACCCUAACAUCCUAAGCGAAGCGCAACAGUAGUGAUUCAAGUUUCACAAUCAACACCAAUAAAGACAAGAACAAUUGGCACUCAAAAAAUUUAUUUCCUUUAACUUUUUCCCUUUAAGUUGAAUUUGAUUUUUAAAUGGUGUUAUUUGAUUAAUUAUUUUACAAUAUAUAUAUAUAUAUAUGUUAUAUCUUAAAAAAGGUUAGUAAAUUAUAUUACAAUUAUCAAAUAUAUUACCAUAUAUAAAAUACAACUUAAGAAAUCUUAAGCAUAACACAAAGCACAAGAGCAAGAUAUGUUAAUUUAAGUUACUAAGAGCUUAUUUAGUUGUGUGAUUUAAAAAUAGUUUUCUUAUUUUAAAAAUAAAAAAUUAUUUUAAAAUUUUUUUAACACUAUUUUAAUGUUGUUCUUUGGAAAUAAUUUUUUAAAAUAAAGUAAAAUAGAGAACAAUUUUUAAAGAACAAGUAGGAGUUGUUUCAUCAGUUUUUAAAAAACAAAAAAAUAUAUAAACUCAUUUGAUCAUGUUUUUUUAAAUUUGUUUUUAAAAAUUGUUUUUAAAUUAAAAAAUAAAAAAUAAUUUUUAAAAAUAAGUUUCAGAAAAUAUGACCAAACGAACCCUAAAUGAUUGGAGUUUAUAAUAUUAAAGAGAAAAAAAAGUUAAUUUAAGAGUUUGCAUGUAGGUAGACAUCUAGCUGUAAAACUGGUUUAUUUGAGACACCCAUUUUAUUUAGGGAGAAUUGUGUUUUGGGCCCAACUGGGUCCAAAAAUUAAGAUGUGGUCCAUAUAUUUUACAUAAUUAAGCGCAACACCCAAAGAAAGUCUGAAAAUUGAAAAGAAGGAUAUUGUCCUUCAUUAAUCCCUAAAAUACCCUUAACCCUUACGUAGACAUUUAGUGAGUGUGAAUUUUAAUUUUUUUUGUAUUUUUUUCCCUUUUCUAUUCUCUAUUAAGUAUUACUCAUUUCUAACUUUUUUUUUCUUCCAAUCUAUAUUUCUAUUUUAUGUCAAAUAAAAAGCAAUAAGGUUUUUUUUUUUUUUUUUUUUUUUUCAUUUUUAAAGAUAUUGAAUCUUUUUACUCUUAUUAUAAGCAAGAAUAAAAAUUUUGGGAUUUUUCAUCCAAUUUUUUUAUUUUUUUUAUUUUUUAUCUUUUUGUAUUUAUCUUUUAGUUUAAUUUUCAUUUUUUAUUUUAAAUUUAUAUUACCCUUUCAUUUAUACUUUUCUCUUAUUUUUAAUUAUUUUUUAUUUUCUACAUUAACCAUAUUUUAAAAAAUUUUAAAAUAUACUAUCACUUCACUCUUAUUAUAUAUAUAUAUCCUCCUUUUAGUUUUUAAAUUUUUAAUGUUUUUAUUUUAAAAUUUUUUAAAAGAUAAAUUUAUUGAAAAAAAUAACUAAGAUAUGAAGUUCUAAUAUUAUAUUAAUAAUUUUUCUUAUCCAGAUAGACUAAUGCAAAGUAUUUUGACUCACAACAAGAAAAUUGUUAAUACAAUUUUUUAGUGAAACUUUAAAAAUUAAAUUUCAAAUAAAAUAUAUUAUAUAAAAUUUUAUCUAAAAAUUAUUGAAAGUGGUAUUUAAUUUUUUUUUAUUAACUUUCAAACUUAUCUAAUUUUUUACUUGAAAUGUAAUAGAACAUGUUUACAAAAAAAAUUAGUUUUUCAUUUUUUAAAUAAAUGACUAUAAAUAUAUUAAAAGAAUUAAAGAUAAUUUUAGUAAAAAAUUUAAUAAAUAUGAUUAUAAUUUUAAAUAUAGAUUCAUUUGGAUAAAAUUUCACAAAAAAAAAAAUAGUGAAAAGAAAGAACAUUGCUAAAACUACAAAAACAAAAUAUGAAAUUACAAAAUUUUGAUGAUGAAAUUUAAAAAUAAAAUUUGAAACAAUUCUUGAGUGAGAGAAUUUGAGUGCGGAAAAAUCCUUGAGUGGAAAAAAAUAGAAAAGUUUUUCAAAAUCACUUGAAAUUCUUAACAAAAAGUAGUCUUGUACAGCUGGUGUAAUACCUUUGUACAAUAACUCAAACUUCAUAUAUCAUCUCAUUAAUAUCUAACAAUAAGUCGGUUAACCAUGUUUGCAUUGGUUUUGUUUUAAAAAAGAAGAAAAUUGUUGUAUAAUUUUAUUUUACAAUCAUCAUAAGUGAGGUACCUAUUUAAAUGACCAUAUACAAGUUAGAUAAAGUGUAUGAGAUGAAUAUGUGCUUAAUCAAUGUGUGUAAGGAAUGUCAUCUAUCCUCAGUUAGGGGAAAUAAACAAACAGGUUUUUUAGAAUCACUUAAAAUCCUUUACAAAUAAUAGUCUUGUACCCUUGUACAGUUAGUAUAUUUAUCAUGUACACUUAGUGUAAAUACCUUGUACAGUGACUCAAAUUCCAUAUACCCCCUACUCAAUGUGUAACCAUAGGUAGAUUAACCAUAUUUUCAUUGGUUUGGUUCAAAAAAUAGUGGAAGAUGGAAAAAUAAAAUUUUCUCUCAAACAUCAUUCGUGGGAUAAGUAUUCGAAUUGUCAUAUGCGAGUUAAAUAAAGUGCAUAAGAUGAGUGUGUGAUAGAGGAAUGUGUACCUUGAGAGUGUGCAAUCCUUAGAUGACAAGACAAAAAAAAAAAAGUUGUCCAAAAUUGAUUGAAAUCUUUCACAAAGGAUAGUCUUGUAUACCCCUUGUAUAGUUAGAACAUUUACCAGUAUAGUUAGUAUAACACCCUUGUACAAUGGUGCAAAUUUCAUCCAUAUGCAUACAUUAUGUGCUACAUAUGAUGUGUGAACCAUGUUUCCAAUGGUUUGAUUUAAAAAAUGAUAUAAAACAUAAAAACAAAAUUUUUCCCUAAAUAUAAUUAUUAAGGUAAAUAUUUGAAUUGUUAUAUGCGAGUUAAAUAAAGUACAUGAAUUAAAAGAAUUUGUGGUAGAAGAGCGUACAAUCCAUAGAUGACAAGAAAAAAAAAAGUUGUUCAAAAUGUACAGUCUUGUACACCUCUUGUACAAUUAGUGUAAUAACCUUGUAUAAUGAUAUAGAUUUCACAUAUAUGCAUAAAUUAUAUCCACAUGAGUGUGUAAACUAUGUUCCCAAUAGUUUGACAUUUAAAAUAAUUAAAACAAAUAAAAUGUUAUUUUAUUUUAUUUUCAAAACUAUGUUAGCUAAUUGUUCUUUUAAAAUAACAAGAUCAUAAUCUAUAUUAUAUAUACCAUGAGGAUAAGGAAUAAAAGACAUUAAUUCAUAUCAAAUAAGCAGAGUAAAUAAAGAUUUAGAAUAAAUUAAGCAAAAUUAAUCAGGCUUUAAAUGGGGUAAGAUAAAUUUUGGUACUCUGAAAAUUAAUUUGAAUCUACAGUCUCAUUUCCUAAUUAAUAUACUGCAAUACACAGAGAGACUUUGACACCAACUUUUCCCAUCAGCAGUUUCAACAACAGUUUGUUAGUCAAAGUAAUGGUAGGGGUUUUUGAAAUCUCCGUUAGCAAUGAAAGUUUAAUGAAAAUUUUAUAUUGAAUUAAAGUGUGAACGCAUUUAUUGCUAACAUUAAAAUAAUAUAGACAUUUCCAAAUACUUAAUAUUUUAAUAUAAAAUUUUCAAACACUCAUUAAAAUAAUAUAAAAGGUUUCAGACAAUUAUUAUUUUAAUAUAUAUUUAACUUAAGGUUCUGUGCUUAUAGUGUGAAACCAUUUAAUGUAUAAAAAUUAAGUUUUUGAAAUCGGAUAUCUCAAAAAUUCAGGUAAUAAAAUUCAAAAAUUUUUAAAACGUCACUUCGUGUCAAGGUAAUACCCCCCUUCUGACCAGACAGAGUCUCCCUAACAUGCCAAUUUUCAGGCAAAAACGGGUUUAAGGUUAAGGGUUAAGACUAAAGACUCUAGUUUUAAAACAUGAUUUUACACCCAAAAUUUUCUAAAUAACCCGAUUUUUUUUUUUUAUGUUGAUGAGAACAUUAUAUAAAAAGGAUCCACAUAUAUUACAUAUAUUAAAUAGUAAAGAAAACUUAAAAAUAAUUCAAAUAAUUUUCUUUUCCAUACUUUACCUUUUUACCCCUUUUACCCCUUAAGGGUAAGAAAAAUACAUAAUAAAAUAAAUUCUAAAUGAAAGCAAAAAUUUAACAGAAAAUUAAUUCUUACUUUCUUAUUGAUUGCUGAUAAAUGUACAAAACACAAAUUAUUAAAAAAUAAAACCGAUAAAUAUAUGCACUUAGGAAUAAUUUUAAUAGGAAUAAUAGGACUUCAUCGUAAAGAAAUUGGAGCACUUAUAAAUAUUAACCUUUUAGAUACUAGAAACAAUAUAGUAAGACGAGCUCUUUUAGCUAGUGCAGAAGUUAAUAUGAACCAAAAUUAUGCAGUUAUUGAUUGUAUACCUCAAUUUUGUAUAGAUCUUAAGGAAUUCACAGAAAAAAUAAAAAUAACUGUAAAUACUAAAGGUUAUGAUAUGGAAUUAGGAAGUAAAAACCUUAGCAUAGCUAUAGGAUUUAUAGGAAAAACUACUAACGCUUUAAGUUUAAAAUGUAUAAUGGAAUUCGAUGAUAUAGUAAAAACCUUUGGAAGUAAGACAGUAAAUAUGAUAGAAGCAAAACCUGUAAAUAUAGACUAUUUACUAGGACGAGAGUGGGAAUUACCUUAAAUAAAUAAACCAAUAAUAAAAUAUCCAACAUCCAGUAGCUUAUAUGAAAACCAAGAUGGAAGUGCAAGUAUAACCUUUGGAAAUUAUAAAACUGUAAAUGUAGAGGUAGAGUCAGAUAGUGAGAUAGAAACUGUGAAUGUUAUAUAAGAAGAUAUUUUACUAAACAUUGAGACAGUAGAAAACCUAUACAAAAUCUUAGAGUUAGUAAAUAUAAUGUUAGAGGAAUUUAGUAAUCCAACAUUACUAGACGAACAAGUGGAUCAAGAAAACUUUGUUAAUAUAAUGUGUAAAAACUAUACAAAUGACCAAAUAAUAGAACAACUCUAUAAAACCAAUUUAAUCAAAAAAACUUAUAGAUAUAGAAAUGAUAAAUCAAUUUACUAUUCAACCAAAAGUUAACAUCUCAAACGAAUCAAUAAAUACAAUAAAUGAAGAAAAGGAAUUUGUAAAUGUAAGAAGUGAAAUAGUAAAAUAUAAUAAGCCGUAUAGCAAGCCAAAAGGACCUCAAUGGAAAACUAAAACAGAACCUUAUAGUUUUUUGCAACCAGUAUAUAAUUCUUUGCAACCUGUAUUAUUAGAUAUAGAUAGUGCGCAAGAUCUUAGAAAAACCAUAGAAAAUUGGAAGCAAUCUUUAAAUUCAGCAGGUGUGGUAGUAUCCUUUGAAAACCAACAAGAAAUUUACGAAUUUUGUAAAAACACCCUUAGAGGAACUGUACUACAAUUUUUUAGAAACAUGGAACAAGAAAACAACAGUUAUUUUCAAGAAGUUAGAAAUAAUUUUAGCAUAUCUGUAUUUACAAAUCUAAUAAAACUUUAUUUUUUGGGAACAACACAAGAAGAUGUAAAAGAACCUGCAAUAUACUUUCAUAAGUUAGAACAAUUGAAAUUAUGUAACCUUUCAUAUAUAAGGGAAUAUGAACAAAAAUUUAGGAAAUAUGCAAUCCUUGCUAGAGUAGACAGAACCCCUGAAUAUUUAAAUAAAUAUAUAUUAAAAAUACAAGGAUCUGUAGGACUUAGACUAUGGAAUGAAUUUACAACUUCCGAGUAUAAAAAUUCUCCUUAUAUAGGUGCUAGAAUAGAAUUUGUAAAAAAUUGGUUAGAAAGAGAAUGUGUAAGCAUAGGAGAAAGAAGUCAAAUAAAGAAACAAGACAUAAAUCAACAACUUUGUAGAAAAUUACAUAUAGGAGAAAACCUAGAUAUAGGAUGUAGAGAAUAUAAGUUUAGAAAACCUAAGAGAUAUAAUAAAUUUUUAAGAAGAAAGUCAAGAACCUUUUAUAAAAAAACGACCAUAUUAGACAAAAUAUAAAAAACCUGGAAAGUUUUGGAUAAAAAGAAAAAGAACCUCAGAAAGAAAAAGACAGUGUAAAUGUUAUUUGUGUGGUCAGGAAGGCCAUAUAAGACUUGAAUGUCCUGAACUUAAAAAACUAUUAAAUGAACGAAAUAUAAAAACCCAAGUAAAAAUAAACCUAAUAAAUGAGUAUCAGCUAGAUAGUGAAGAAGAAGAACUUAUCAAUGAAUUAGACUUUGAAAGUGAAAAUUCAAGUGUAUAUAGUAUAGAAGAUAGUGAAAAUGAAAAAGAAGAAAUUUGUAUGAUUAUUGAAAAAGAGGAAAAUCAAGCUAAGAAAACCCCUUUAAAUUUAGAAAACCUUGUACAACCUUUAGAAAGUAAAAUAAAACCUUAUAAUAUAUGGAAAGAUUUACAAAUAAUAAUCAAAGGAAAAUUUUCAAAAGAAGAAGAAGAUAGUUGUUCAAAACCUAAGGACACAGAAGAACCAAAAAGUCCUGUAAAAGAACCAAUGAAUCCUGAAAAAAUAACCAUACAAACAAUAGAACAAGUAAAUAUGGCAAAUAAAGUUAAAUCUAUUAUUUUUCCAACAACAAUUAAAUUAAAAACCAUAGAAUUAAAGGUAGACGCAAUGUUAGAUACUGGAGCCAGUAAAAACCUUUUAUUUGAAACCCUAGUCCCUCAAGAAGAUCAACAAACAUUAGUUCAACCAGUAGAGUUAAUCCAAUACAAUCAACAAAAACUAAUACUAACCAAGUAUAUUUCAAACGUACCAAUCAUAAUUAAUAACAUAACCUUAGUAUUGCCCCAAACUUAUCUUGUACCUACUAUAAGUUUAUAUCCUUUUAUUUUAGGUUUAAAUUUUGUACAUUCUUUACAAGGAGGGAUAACAAUACAAAAUAACCAAGUUAGUUUUCAUCCUAAAACCACAACAAUUGUUUAUACAAACAUGGAAAAUGUAUUAAAUAAAAAUCAGAAUGUAACAUCUCAUCAAAUUAGCAAAAUGGAGGCACAAAAGGAUAACAUAAUUAAUGACUACUCAGAACAAUUAAGAAAUGCAAAUAGAUUAAAAAACCUUAUAUUAGAAGCAGAAAAAAUAGGAAUUAUAGGGGAAGACCCACAAAAACAUUGGAAUAAAAAUAAGAAAACCUGUAAAAUACCAAUUUAAAACCCAGAUUUAACAAUAAAAACGGCAGAUAUAGCAUGUAAUCUUAAGAUACAAAGGAAUUCAAAAUUCAAAUAGAAGAACUAUUACAUAAUAAGCUCAUAAAACCAAGUUUCAGUCCCCAUAGAUCCUCAGCUUUUUUAGUUAGAAACCAUAAUGAAGAAAAACGAGAAAAAGUUAGGAUGGUUAUUAAUUAUAAAAGAUUGAAUGAUAAUACAUAUGAUGAUGCCUAUAAAAUUCAAAAUAAAGAUUCUUUAAUUAAUUCUAUUCAAGGAUGUAAAUAUUUUUCUCAAUUAGACUGUAAAAGUGGAUUUUGGCAAAUUAGAUUAGAAGAAGAUAGUAAACCAUGGACAACGUUUUCAUGUCCUUGUGGAUUAUAUGAAUGGAAUGUAAUGUCAUUUGAACUAAAAAAUGUUCCACAGAUAUUCCGACGAAUGAUGAAUAAUAUUUUUGAAAAAUAUUCUUUUGUUCUUGUAUAUAUUGAUGAUAUUCUUGUCUUUUCAUAUACUCUUCAGGAACACAUAAAGCAUUUAGAAUUGAUUUUUGAAAAACUAGUUAGUCAUGGAUUAAUAGUAAGUAAAAAGAAAUUGAAAUUAUUUAAGACUCAAAUAGAAUUUUUAGGAUUAGAAUUAGAGGAUGGACAAAUAAAAUUACAAGAACAUAUAGUACAAAAAAUAAAUAAUUUUCCAGACAAACUCGAAGACUUAAAAACCUUUCAAAGUUUUUUAGGAUUAUUAAAUUAUGCUAGGCCAUAUAUUAAAAACCUUAGUAGAUUAGUUGGACCCCUUUAUAGUAAAACAAAAAACACAGGGUAGAGAUAUUUUAACUAAGAAGAUAUUAAACUUAUACAGAAAAUAAAAGAACUUGUGAAACAUCUCCCAACCUUACAUUUACCCUUAGAAAAUGAAUAUAAAAUAGUUCAAACUGAUGCUAGUCAAACAGGAUGGGGAGGUAUACUUUUAGCAAUAACUAAUAUAGGAGAAGAAAAACUUUGUAGAUAUUGUAGUGGAACUUUUAAUGAUUAUCAAAAGAACCUUAGUUCUACAUACUUAGAAAUUAAAGCAAUAAUAUUAGUCUUAGAAAAAUUUCAAUUAUUUUUGAACCAAGAACAAUUUACUUUAAGAACCGAUUGUGAGAAUAUUAAAAAAUUCUUUGAAAACAAAAAUUCUUCAAAACUGUCCACCAAAAGAUGGAUAAAGUUUCAAAACUCUUUAAUUGAUUUCAAACCUAAAUUUGAACAUAUUAAAGGAAAAGAUAAUAUACUAGCAGACUAGUUAAGUAGACAAAUAAUUAAUAAUGUUGAUGAUACUAAUGAUUGAUUUCAUGAUUACAAGAACAUGGCUCAAAGAAAACCUACGAAAGCUAGAACCUUUCAAUAUGGAACCAUUUGUCUGAACGAAGUGUUAAAUCCAAAUAUGAGGUUUAACUCUUUAUUUUCUCAAAACCUUUUUGAAGAACAUAAGGUUAUUGUAGAUAAUUUUUUGUCUCUAAAACCACAAAGUUUUUCGAACCAAAAUUUAGAAUACGCUUAUGGAAAAACAGUGUUAGCUUUAGCCCAACAUUUACAAAACCUUCAAAACCAACUGAUUGCUUUAGAAACCCAAAAAUUCCAAAACCUCAAAAUCCAAGAAAAUCAAGAAAAACUGAUAGAAUAUUUGAAAACCAGUACAGUGUCAACCAAUCAAACCAGUUGUUCGAACAAUCAACUUGAAGUAAUUAGUUUAAUUAAGAAAUCAACUCUUCUGAUUGAACAAUAUGAAAAGCUUGUUGUUAAAAACAUAAUUGGAGUUGAUAACUACUCUUUCGUCAAAACCUUUUUCCUACAAAAUCAAUAUAACAAAGUAUUUAAAAAUCAAGAACUUUUGUAUAAACAUUUUAGAACCAAAAAUGCCGGGAUAAAAACAGGGUAUAUGGCAUAUCACGACCCUGAAUUUUUCUUUGUUAUAUAUUUAGCUUAUGUAAAUAUGUCUGUUAUAAAUAUAGAAAAUUUUGAUUUAGUACCACAACUCAUGGAUCAGGGAAUUUUAAAAAAUGUUUUUAUAAACCAUAUAUCUCAAAUCCCUAAAAAUUUCCUAGAAAAAUUGAAAGAUAUUUUAACUUAUUUUUUUAAAACCGAAAAAUAUAUAGAUAUUUCUUUUGAAACCAUUUCACCUUUAUUUCAACCCGAUGGAUCAGUAGUACCAGCCUAUCAUCAUGUAUAUAUAAAACAUAAUAAAGAACAACUCAUCCCUCGAUAAGAACCAGAAUGGGAAAUGAUCCGUUUAGAUGAAUUUCCAGAAUUUUUUACUCACUUUAGAGCUUUUCAAAUCUAUGAUCUUAGACCAACCCGGAAUAAAUUAUUUCAUCUCAUUGGUUAAACAAAAACCAUGUCUAUAUGGAGAGUAAAACCUUUAGAACACAUUAUUGUUCCAAAACCUUUUAUUACUUUUGAAGAACAAGAUUUUAUAACCAAACUCAGUGUAGAUAUACCGGAACCAUCUUCCUACCUCAGCGAUGACGCAUUAUUUUGGGACAACCUGGACGAUGAAAGUUAUCAUAAUUUACAAAAUGCAAUGGAAGGGUGAUGUUAGCAAUGACGACAUUGAGGCAGUAAAUGCGUCUUCAACUACAAAAAUUCAAUGUGGCAGUACAAGUUCAGAAGCAGUAAAGACAUCUACAGGCCACGUAUUAUGCAUGUGAUAAAAAGAGAGAAGAAAAGGACAAGAAAAAAAGACAAGAAGGAAGAGAAGAACAGGUGAAUAAACAAAAGUCAAAAGUCUCAGAAGUCUUUUAUCAUCUUUGUAUUUAUUUUAUACCAAACCUCUAAACACCGUAAAUAUUUUUCCUACCGUCCAACCACUUGAAUUUAAUUCUCACCUGUAUUGUCACCUGUCACUUGUAAAUACUUUGCCUAUAAAUUAGUGGUAGUAAAAGAAAAGAAGUGUGCUCGAGAAAGUGUGUCCGAAGGUGUGUGCAACAUAGUGUAAAGUUGUCUGUGAAAGAAAACUGUAUCUUCAACCUUGUACAUUUAUCAUCAAUCAAUAAGAAAGUAAGAAUUAAUUUUCUGUUAAAUUUUUGCUUUCAUUUAGAAUAUAUUUUAUUAUGUAUUUUUCUUACCCUUAGAAAGUAUUUUUUUAAAUAGUUUUUUAACAAUAUUUUUCUUUAGUUAUAAUUUAAAAUAGAAAAUAAUGCUAAUUUUCAAUUAGUUAUAAAUAAAAUAAAAUUUAAAAACAAUGAAAAAUCUAAAUUAUUAAAAUAGAAUUAUUAUAGUUGCAUGAAUAGUGGUGCAAUAAAGACCAAAAAAGCUUAUGUGAAAGAUCAUUGGGUGUUUUAGUCCAUUAUUAUUUUAUAUCCUUAAAAGGUAAUAUAUGGAAAUUUAAAGGGCAUAUUGGUCUCUUAACAUCUUAUAUCAUUUCCAUUAAUUAUGUAAGUUAUAUGGACCAAAUGUUAAUUUUUGAACUCAAUUGGACUCAAAACACAAUUGUCCCUUUUAUUUAUACAUUCUUCUGGCAUUGACCACGUGUUUAGGAUGUGUUGCACUAAAAUCUCAUGAUAAACUUGCAGUUCAAAAUCACAAACUAGAUGUAUGUAUUAGAAACAGACCAUAUUGGGUCAUGCACAUUCUUCGUCAUUUUCUAUUUCUUAGCAACAUAUAUGACCAAAUGAAAUUAUUAUACCCUAAUUAUAUUUUUUUAACUAGGUGAUAAAGAUAAUUAAAAUAUUAUUAGAAAAAACAAUCAUAUAGGUUUAAAUAGAAUUUCACACUUAGCCGUAUGAUAACAAAUUUUGUCAAUUAAAUAAAUACAACUUAAAAUAACAAAUUAAAUAAAAAAAAUGAAUAGUUCAAUUUUAAAAUUUUUACUCCUACAAAUUCACUAAUGAUUAAAAAUAUUGCAUUUAAAAAAAAAAAAACAAAUCACUUUUUGCUUUCACAGUCUAUAUGACAUUCCAACCUUAGAUCCCAUAGUUUGAGUAAGUUUGAGGCUAGAUUUGAGACAACCCAGUGAUACUACUUCGGUUAGUUCACACAAAUUCAAUAGAUUAUCACAUAACUAGUGCAUGCAUUAUCUUGCCUAGAAUAAUAUCUUAAUAUAACUUGGGCAAAAUCAGAGAGAAGUGGUGUUUAUUGUAGUGAGAAAUCAGAGGGAAAUCAUUGAAUGAUUUAUAGGUUGUGAAAUUAGAGAGAAAAAGAUGAGCUUUGCUGGUUUGAAAUCUAGAGUCUCUGAAGACAAGCAAAGAGCAAGAUUAUGAGAAAGGGUAACUUGAGCCUCAAAAAUAUGUAAAUAUAUAAAUUUGGCAUCUAUGAAAUCGGUCAGGCCAUAAUCAACAUGUACAGUCACAACUUUUUGUUGAGACAUGUGCCUCUCAGAACAUUUGAAGUUAAGAUGUUUGUCUUCAAUUUGAUUGCUCUUUGUGACUUUGAGAUUCUCAUUCCUUUUGAUGUAAAAAAAAGAAAAAAAAAAAAAAAGAAUUAAAAGAUGUAGGGUAAAAUGUUAAAUAGUGUGAGUUUGAAUUAAUAAAGUUUUAAUCAAAAUUGGAAAUUAAGGUGAAGUAUCUAAUUUGCCUUGAUCACAAAGGAAGCAAAGAUUGACCAAUCAGAGCUUUGAGUCUUUCACUAAUCAUAUGAUGGUUUCACUUUUAAUUGUUUGAGAUAUUCCAUAUAGAUAUCCAUCAAACCUAAGGAUAAGACAUUAAAUUGUGUAAUUUUUGUAUAAUGAACUAGUUCACAAAAUGUUUAAUACUUCAAAAGUGAUAACUUACGAAGUAAAGAAUCAAUCCCAACAACUUUAGUUAGCAAAAUAAUGUCGUAAUUCUAUUUUUAACUCAUUUGAAAUACUUCUCAAAACAAUAUUCCGAAGGACAAAAAAAAUUGAAUUUAUAAUGUAGUUUCCUACAUAAUUUGAUUUCUUAUUCUUGCUUCGAGAAUCUAUCUCUUUUUUACACCAACAAAUAUGUAUAGUACAAAAUAAAAUAAAGUGUGAGGCACCGCUUUAAUCAGAAUAAUUAAUUGAAAUGAAAUGUUUGACUUGCCUUGAUUAAUAAGGACUUUCAUGGCUGACCUGAUAGAGGUUGGGCUCUUAAUGUCAUCCAUUCAGCAAUGUAUCAUACCCUACCAAAGCUUGAUCAAGUCUAAGGCUAAGCUGUAAUUGGUUUAGCUAGGAAAAAAAAAGAGAAGAAAAACGAGAUCAUUAGAAAGAAUUUUCAGUCCCUUUAAAUCACUUAGCCAUAUAAUAAAGGAUCGUAGCUCACAAAAAACUUGAGAUAAAUGUUUAGUAUCUUCUCCAGCAUAUCCAUUCAACAAAUUUGCAAAAAAGCUCCAACCGGUUGUGCAUAUGGUCCUCUUCAUCAUCUUGGGCAUCAACAACAUUACUGUCAAUAUUCUGUGUCCAUUGGAGAAUCGCUAUGCUCAGUGCACUGUGUACAGUCAUAGCUUGUUUGUGCAUUAGAAUUAGCAUCUUCUGCUGCUGAUCUGGUAUCACAACUUCUCUGCUCAUCAUUGUACUCUAUCAUUGUCUGAUGGUCGCGCUUGGUCGCUUCUGGGUUGUCACAGCUUCUCUGAGCAUCAGUACUGGUAUCUUCUGGGAUGUUUCUGUUGAUAACAUCACCUGUAUAUAUAAGAUGGAACCCCCACUCUUUCACUUCGACUGGUGUACCGUCAAAGCUACGAAAUGAAGCCUUCAAACGUCUCCAUUCGUUUGACCAAUACUGGUUGUUAAUAGCAACCUUGGGAUAACAAGUCACACACAUUUGACUUGAUUCACCACAAAUUCGGCAGCUAUAAAACAGGACAUCAUCCACGUCACAGCAUUCAGAUUGAUCACCACAGAUAUUGAGUUCGCAAUUCAACCCAUCACAAGCAAUAGGAGUAAAAACAGAGUAGAAAGCAAAUCCUAAGAAGUCAUUAUUUCUGUACCAAUCCAUAGGAAGCUCUAUUGUUAUUUGAGACCCUUUUUUUUGCUGGCUUGUCCACUCUGGAAUUCCAUUAUUUCCCGAAAUUACAACUCUGAUUGCCUUAAUCCAAUAGAAGCCGCAUUCAAAUUCCUGCACAGAAGUACAGUGUUAAUACUCUGUGUUCAUAAGGAAAAAGGGCUGAAUGUUAUGAAAAUCAUACCUCAAUUGUUGAUUUAAAGCAUUUGAACAGAGAAAAACCAAGUAGACUUGAUGGACUUGAUAAAGUUUCUAAGCAUGUGCAACUGUGGACUUCUAGAACUCGUAAACUUGGCAGAAGCUCUGGAACUUGUAGAAGCCUCUGGCAGUGACUCAAGUCAAGGACUCUCAGUUUGGAAAGUUGAAUGAUGCCUGCAAGUAUGCUACUAAAACAGUCCAUGCUUAGAUUUAGACCUGAAGCGUGCAAACACUCUAAACAUUGCAAACUCCUCACGUUCUCGGGAAAUUCCUCAAGUUUUGUACAGAAACUGACAUCUAGAAUUUUGAGAGAACUCAAAUUACAAAUGGUCUCUGGAAGACUCACAAGGUUGGUGCAAUCUGCAAGAUUCAAACAUUGAAGCCCUCUUAAAUAUUGAAUUGACGCUGGUAGUUCUUCUAUAGCAGUUCCAUCUAAAUGAAGCUUUCUUAAAUUUUCCACAUCCUCAAGGAUUUCUGGAAAGCUCCUUAAUCAUGAACAGCCUGAGCAGUCGAGAGUUGUAAGGGAUUUCAACUCACAUAUGCUACUGGGAAGAUGCUCAAGGUUUUUGCAUUCUCGCAAGCACAAGCUAUCAAGUUCUAAGGGACACUCAAUAGUGGGUAGUUCAUUGAUGGCAUUUCCCUUUAAACAAAGCUUCCGUCUGGAUUGCACAUCCUCUUAACAUUCCUGGCAAAUGGUGGGUAUCAUUGCUUUACCAUUGUUCUUUUCAUGAUCAUGGGCAUAUAUAAGAUGGAUCCCACACUCUUCCACUUUCAUUGCUUUACCACAUAAGAAGCCACAAAAUGAAGCGGUCAACUGCCUCCACCUCCGUUUAUUUGAGUGAUACUUCUCAAUCUCCACCUUGGGAUAAUAAAUCAUCCACAUAUUUGGUACAACAUCAUAGCAGUGAAACGUGGGAUAAAACCGGAGUUCAUCCACAAACUGAGAUUCAUGAGCACGCAAAGUCAAACCACACUUGAGGGAAGUUGCAUAAUUCUCCAGUGUCUCCUCAGAUUCAUUAUCAAGUGGAUCAUAGAGAGAGUACAAAACAAAACCCAACAAGUCGUUAUUUUUAUACCAAUUUUCAGGAAGCUCUGCUACCACUUUAGCUCCCUUUUUGUGAUGGCUUAUCCAUUUUGGAAUUCCACAACUUCCUGAAAUAAUAAGAUGUACUCGGGCAAAACGGUUUUCUCUAGGAUAAAUCCUGCAUUCAAAAUCCUGCACAAAAUUUAAUUAACGCGUAAAUCCCCAUGUCUCCAUAGAAAAAGUUUUGUUCUAUGAAUAUCAUACCUGAAUCAAUGAUUUGAAGCAGUUGAAUAGAGAAGACCAGAGUAGACCGGAAGAAGUUUCCAGCCGUGUGCACUCAUGUACAUCUAAGACACGCAAACUGGAUGGAAGCGCUGGAAUUUGUCGAAGCUCUUGACAGUGACCCAAGUCAAGGAGUCUCAGCAUAGAAAGUUGAUUGACCCCAGAAGGUAUGCUCCUAAAAAGAUUCCCGGUUAGAAGUAAUUGUCGCAGAGAUGAUAGGUGGCAAAUUUCAGUGGGGAUUCCUCCUUCAUCUAUACUGCAGAAAGAUAGAUCUAACACUUCCAACGAGUACAAGCAGCAAAUAUCACUCAGGAUUUCUCCUUGUAUUAGCUUUGACCCAGUUAGAAUUAAAUUCUUUAAGGAGCAUAAACCCGACAAAGAAAGCAAUUGGCAACAUGUUGAAUUUAAGCCACAAGCACGGAGAUGCUUCAAGCUUUGCAGCCUCCCUAGGUUUUGUGGCAAUUUGUGGAGUUUUGAACAGUAACUGACAUUGAGAACUUCAAGAAAGCAUAAAUUACAAAUGCUUUCUGGAAGAGUCACAAGGUUUUCGCAGCGGUCCAGAUUCAAAACUUCAAGCCUAUUCAAAUGUUCGAUUGAUGAUGGUAGCUCUUUUAUAGCCGUUUCGUUCAAGUGAAGCUCCCUUAAGUUUUCCAUAUUCUCCAAGAUUUCUGGAAAGUACUGUAAUUGUGAACAGUGAGAGCAAAAGAGAGAUUUUAGGGAUUUGAACUCCCAAAUGCUUGUUGGCAGACUCUCAAGGUUUUUGCACUCUCGCAAACAUAAGGUAUCAAAUUCAGAGGCAUGCUCAAUGGGUAGUAGGCUGAUUGUCUGACCCUUUAAACAAAGCUUUCGGUGUUCCACGUUCCUCUGACAAUCCAAGCAUCUAGCAUCCACAUCCUCAGUCUGUACUACUAUUGGAUCUUGGGAGUAUAUAGGUUGGAGCCCACACUUGAGCACCUUAAAAUGACUCUGAGGGUCCUUAAAUGUAGCCGCAAGAUACAUGAAUGGAUUGGUGGGACCGCUCUCCAGAAUAGCAGCCUUGGGAUAGAAUAUCACCCACAUUUGUUCUGAUACACCUCCAUUAUGGUAGCAUUUACAAGUAGAGCGAAAACUGAGAUGUCGCACACACAGGGAAGAAGAUCCAUAUCCUUCACUCAAUGACAGUUGACAUUGUAACUCAGUGGAGAUUGAAGAUUCAGCUUCAAGUAAAUCAUCAGAUUCAUUCUCCAAUGUAUGUGCAAAAUCAUUUUCUGGUAUAUCCUCACAUUCAUCGAGUGGAGCAUAAACACAGCAUAUAGCAAUCCCCAAGAAGUCAUCAUUUUCAUAACAAUUCUGAGGAAGCUCCAUUGUGAUUCGAUAUCCCUCUCUCUGAUUCCUUAUCCACUUGGGAAUUCCACUGCUUCCCGGAACAACAAUACAGAUUCCAUCGCCAAUGUAGUCGGAAUUAGGGAGAAAUACUCCAUUUGAACUCUUCUCGUGUUUCAAAUCCUGCACAAAUGGACAAUGUAAAUCUAGUGGGUCUGUGUCAUUAUGUGAGUUUUUAUGAGAGAGUUUGUUAUCAGUUUUCGAUAAAUUGAUUCCCAGUUUUAACUUUCUUUGAUCUAUGCUCCUGAAUCUACUUAAUAUCCCUUUUAGAUGAUGGAUAAUCAAUGAACAUGAAAGUGAGUGACAAGAUUAAGUGUGAAAACUGGAAGUGAGGGGAAACUGAAACUGGAAAGUGAGUAGAAUAAGCAGAUCUCUUCUUCACUUGCAGUAGCUCCUUCUCCAUUCAGAUUCAGAGAUCUUAGAAUUGUAGCUUCAACUUAACUCUCAGAAUCUUAAAGACAAAGUUCGCUCAAGUUUCAAAAACUCAUAGAAAAAUUUCGCCUCAUGUUUCUCUUAAUCCCAUGAGGCGAGAGACAUGCAGCACAUGCUUAUUGGCUUUUUUCCAUGCAAGUUUCAAGGUGGAGCAUCUAAUGAACUAAAACAUUCCUUCAAAUCCUAGUGGAAAUUCACACUAGAAAUUUCAGAAUUUGCUAAAGAAAGGUUUAAUUCAUUUUAUCCAUGAAUAAAAAAUCAUGUGAGGGCAUUUUAACUUCCUAAUAAUUAUUAUAUUAAACUAUAAUUCUCAUUAUUUAAACUCGUGAUCUGUAACUUUAUCAUCACAUUUUGAAGAGACUUUCGUCAUCUCUUCCAUGAAUUAAUUGAUGUUUAAGGAGGUAUAAUAAACUUUUAAUUGAAUUUAACAUUAUUUCUAUCCUUAUACUCAUCUUAAACUCUAAUUUUUUUUUUUUACUCUUAUCAAAAAAAAUAAAAACUUAACAGAAAAAAAAAAUUUCAAUUACUCCGUGUUCACGAGGAAAAAUGGCUGAAUGUUAUGAAAAUCAUACCUCAAUUGUUGAUUUAAAGCAUUUGAACAGAGAAACACCAAGUAGACUUGAUGGACUUGAUAAAGUUUCCAAGCAUGUGCAACUGUGGACAUCUAGAACUCGUAAACUUGGCGUAAGCUCUGGAACUUGUAGAGGCCCCUGGCAGUGACUCAAUUCAACGACUCUCAGUUUAGAAAGUUGAAUGAUGCCUGCAAGUAUGCUACUAAAACAGUCCAUGCUUAGAUUUAGACCUGAAGCAUGCAAACACUCUAAACAUUGCAAACUCCUCAGGUUCUUGGGAAAUUCCUCAAGUUUUGUACAGAAACUGACAUCUAGAAUUUUAAGAGAACUCAAAUUACAAAUGGUCUCUGGAAGACUCACAAGGUUGGUGCAAUCUGCAAGAUUCAAACAUUGAAGCCCUCUUAAAUAUUGAAUUGAUGCUGGUAGUUCUUUUAUAGCAGUUCCAUCUAAAUGAAGAUUUCUUAAAUUUUCCACAUCCUCAAGGAUUUCUGGAAAGCUCCUUAAUCGUGAACAGCCUGAGCAGUUGAGAGUUGUAAGGGAUUUCAACUCACAAAUGCUACUGGGAAGACGCUCAAGGUUUUUGCAUUCUCGCAAACAUAAGCUAUCAAAUUCUAAGGGACACUCAAUAGUGGGUAGUUCAUUGAUGGCACUUCCCUUUAAACAAAGCUUCCGUCGGGAUUGCACAUCCGCUUGACAUUUCCGGCAAAUGGUGGGUAUCAUUGCUUUACCAUUGUUCUUUUCAUGAUCAUGGGCAUAUAUAAGAUGGAUCCCACACUCUUCCACUUUCAUUGCUUUACCAUGUGAGAAGCCACAAAAUGAAGCCGUCAACUGCCUCCAUUUAUUUGAGUGAUACUUCUUCUCAAUCACCACCUUUGCAUAAUAAAUCAUCCACAUUUUUGGUACAACAUCAUAGCAGCGAAACGAUGGAUAAAACUGGAGUUCAUCCACAAACUGAGAUUCAUGAGCACGCAAAGUCAAAGAACACUUGAGGUAAGCUGCAUCAUUCUCCAGUGUCUCCUCAGAUUCAUUAUCAAGUGGAUCAUAAAGAGAGUACAAAACAAAACCCAACAAGUCGUUAUUUUUAUACCAAUUUUCAGGAAGCUUUGCUACCACUUUAGCUCCCUUUUUGUGAUGGCUUAUCCAUUUUGGAAUUCCACAACUUCCUGAAAUAAUAAGAUUUACUCGGGCAAAAAGGCUGUCUCUAGGAUAAAUCCUGCAUUCAAAAUCCUGCACAAAAUUUAAUUAACACGUAAAUCCCCAUGUCUCCAUAGAAAAAGUUUUGUUCUAUGAAUAUCAUACCUGAAUCAAUGAUUUGAAGCAGUUGAAUAGAGAAGACCAGAGUAGACCCGAAGAAGUUUCCAGCCAUGGGCACUCAUGUACAUCUAAGACACGCAAACUGGAUGGAAGCGCUGGAAUUUGUCGAAGCUCUUGACAGUGACCCAAGUUAAGGAUUCUCAGCAUAGAAAGUUGAUUGACCCCAGAAGGUAUGCUCCUAAAAAGAUUCCCACUUAGAUGUAAAUGUUGCAGAGAUGAUAGGUGGCAAAUUUCAGUGGGGAUUCCUCCUUCAUCUAUUCUGCAGAAAGAUAGAUCUAACACUUCCAACGAGUACAAGCAGCAAAUAUCACUCAGGACUACUCCUUGCAUUAGCUUUGACCCAGGUAGAAUUAAAUUCUUUAAGGAGCAUAAACCCAACAAAGAAACCAAUUGGCAACAUGUUGAAUUUAAGCCACAAGCACAGAGAUGCUUCAAGCUUUGCAGCCUCCCCAGGUUUUGUGGCAAUUUGUGGAGUUUUGAACAGUAACUGACAUCGAGAACUUCAAGAAAGCAUAAAUUACAAAUGCUUUCUGGAAGAGUCACAAGUUUUUUGCAGCCCUCCAGAUUCAAAACUUCAAGCCUAUUCAAAUGUUCGAUUGAUGAUGGUAGCUCUUUUAUAGCCGUUUCAUUCAAGUGAAGCUCCCUUAAGUUUUCCAUAUUCUCCAAGAUUUCUGGAAAGUACUGUAAUUGUGAACAGUGAGAGCAAAAGAGAGAUUUUAGGGAUUUGAACUCCCAAAUGCUUGUUGGCAGACUCUCAAGGUUUUUGCACUCUCGCAAACAUAAGGUAUCAAAUUCAGAGGCAUGCUCAAUGGGUAGUAGGCUGAUUGGCUGACCCUUUAAACAAAGCUUUCGGUGUUCCACGUUCCUCUGACAUUCCAAGCAGCUAGCAUCCACAUCCUCAGUCUGUACUAUUGGGUCUUGGGAGUAUAUAGGUUGGAGCCCACACUUGAGCACCUUAAAAUGAUUGCGAGAGUCUAUAAAUACAGCAUUAAGAUGCAUGAAUCGAUUGGUGUGACAGCUCUCCAGAAUAGCAGCCUUGGGAUAGAAUAUCACCCACAUUUGUCCUGAUACACCUCCAUUAUGGUAGCAUUUACAAGUAGAGCAAAAACUGAGAUGUCGCACACACAGGGAAGAAGAUCCAUAUCCUUCACUCAAUGACAGUUGACAUUGUAACUUAGUGGAGAUUGAAGAUUCAGCUUCAAGUAAAUCAUCAUCUUCAUUUAGGACUUCGUCACCAGAUGGAUUCUCCAAUGUAUGUGCAAAAUAAUUUUCAGGUGUGUCCUCACAUUCAUAGAUUGGAGCAUAAACAGAGCAUAUAGCAAUUCCCAAGAAGUCAUCAUUUUCAUAACAAUUCUGAGGAAGGCCCAUUGUGAUAUGAUAUCCCUCUGUCUGAUUCCUUAUCCACUUGGGAAUUCCACUGCUUCCCGGAACAACAAUACAGAUUCCAUCGCUAAUGUAGUCGGAAUUAGGGAGAAAUACUCCAUUUGAACUCUUCUCGUGUUUCAAAUCCUGCACAAAUGGACAAUGUAAAUCUAGUGGGUCUGUGUCAUUAUGUGAGUUUUUAUGAGAGAGUUUGUUAUCGGUUUUUGAUAAAUUGAUUCCCAGUUUUAACUUUCUUUGAUCUAUGCUCCUGAAUCUACUUAAUAUCCCUUUUAGAUGACGGAUAAUCAAUGAACAUGAAAGUGAGUGACAAGAUUAAGUGUGAAAACUGGAAGUGAGGGGAAACUGAAACUGAAAGUGAGUAGAAUAAGCAGAUCUCUUCUUCACUUGCAGUAGCUUCUUCUCCAUUCAGAUUCAGAGAUCUUAGAAUUGUAGCUUCAACUUAACUCUCAGAAUCUUAAAGACAAAGUUCGCUCAAGUUUCAAAAACUCACAGAAAAAUUUCGCCUCUUGUUUCUCUUAAUCCCAUGAGGCGAGAGACAUGUAGCACACGCUUAUUGGCUUUUUUCCAUGCAAGUUUCAAGGUGGAGCAUCUAAUGAACUAAAACAUUCCUUCAAAUCCUAGUGGAAAUUCACACUAGAAAUUUCAGAAUUUGCUAAAGAAAGGUUGAAUUCAUUUUAUCCAUGAAUAAAAAAGCAUGUGAGGGCAUUUUAACUUCCUAAUAAUUAUUAUAUUAAACUAUAAUUCUCAUUAUUUAAACUGAUGAUCUUUCACUUCAUCACGACAUUUUGACGAGACUUUUGUCAUCUCUUCCAUGAAUUAAUUGAUGUUUAAGGAGGUACAAUAUUUUUUAAUUGAAUUUAACAUUAUUUCUAUCCUUAUACUCAUUUUAAACUAUUAUAUUUUUUUUUUAUAGUUUUAUCAAAAUAAAUAAAAACUUAACAAAAAAUAAAUAAAGAUUUCAAAACAAACUUUAUAGAGUUAUCAACACUUAUUUACAUCAUUCUUUAAAAAAAAUUAUAAUUAACAAAAAUGUGAUAUAAAAAUUAUAAAGAAUAAAAUUUUUUGAAAAAUGUACUAGUUAUUUGAAAUCAAAAUUCCUAGUCAAUGAAUCGUCAAAAAACUGCAAUAGCUAUGCAAAUGAGAAAAAUAAAUAAAUUAAAAGUAAAAAAAGAAAUUAUCAAUGUCAAGAAUGAGAAACCAUUUAUUUCCUUUUUUUUUUGUAAACUUUUUUUUAUUCUGAUUGUAUGUAUUCAUUACAAUUUUUAAAUUAAUAAAUAAUGUUUUUAUCACAAAAUUUAAAAAUGGCAUCUAUCAAAAUUUAUAUAUUGUUAUUAGAUUUUUAUAAAUUUCAUUUAUAUCUUCAAAAUUACAAACUCCUUUCCAUUAUUAUUUCUUAUUUUUCUUAUUGAAAAUGCAUCUUUAUUCAUCAUUUGAAAGCAUAACACUUUGAAUCUUAGGAUGUACUUCUUUCUUCCUAGGCAUUGCACUCUCAUAGGACCCAUUAAAUCCAUAUGCAACAUCUCUAAGAUCCUAGAAGAAGAGAGAAUCAGUUUUCUCUCUCAUUCAUGCGAAUUCAUUUUCUUAGAUGGGACAGAUUUUAGGAUUUUUAGGUUUUCCUAAAUGGGAAGUGCUUUAACUAGUUCUUUAAUUGUAAUCCUAGACAAAUCAUUAGAGUUUAAAUGCGCUACCAUACAAUGCUACUGUCUUUGGAUGUAAAUUUCACAUUUUACAACUAUGUGCACUAGAUGAUAAGGAAGAAGUAGAGAGGUGCACAAAGGCAUAACAAAAAUUACCAAAAAUUUGAUUUCAUACCAACACACAUCCUUGAAUAGACACUGAUUUGGAGUAAAAUGAACAAAGCAUAUACAAUCACAAAUUUAAGUUGCAUUAAUUAAGUUUGCUUUCAAUCCAAUAUAUAGUAACUCCUCGAGUAUAGGUAAAUUUGGACCUUCUAUGGUACCUUUCACUUUCGAGUUGGUUAUAUGUAAUACAACCAUCCCUAAAUACAACCAAGCUUCCCUUUAAGGUUCAAACGUGGAGAAAAACCAUAAGUUCAUUAUUUCUUUAACCAUUCCCAAAUACAACCAAACUCCUUUUAUGAGUUCAAAAGUCGAGAGAGAUCCAAGUUCUCUGUCAUACAACUAGAGUAGCCACUCUCAAAAUCCACAACGUGUUUUUCUCUAGCUCUUAGACCCUAUGGUCAACUAAGGCUUUUUGGUUCUCCUUAACCUAGAUUUUCUUUCCAACAGACAAUUUAAAUCCUAUUUAAGAAUUGUUUUUAAAAUUAAUUUCUCAGUUCUUAAAAAUAGAAACCUAUUUUGUAGACUAAAACCAUGUUUGGCAACUUUUUGACAUAUUAUAGUUUUUUGAGAACUUGUUCUGAAAAUAAGGUUUCUCCUAAUAACAUAUUUUAAUUGCUUUCAAUUGUUUUCAUUUAUUUUGUAAGGUUGUUUUAAAAAAAUAAUGGUACAUAUAUAAAGAAUGAUGAAAAAUAAAGAACUAAAAGUAAAAGUUAUUUUUAAUAAAUAUUUGGAAAUACAAAAAAUAUAUUAAAAACAUUCUAAGUUUGUAAAUAGACUUUUAUUCUAGAAAACAUCAGACCAACUAUUUUUGAAUCAUGCAAAUUGGGCACACAUUUUCUAUGCCUAGUUUUCUGCCCAAGGCCCUGUAAAUGAACACAACCUCAAUUUUAAGGAGUUUCAAAACGAUGGUUGCUUUCUCGAAGGGGAGAGGAGUUUCGAAGGGUGGUAAGAGUUUGUUUGCAAUGGAAUCAAAGACAUUCGAAAUCCCCAUUGAAGGGAUUCGAGGCAACAGAUGGGAUUAUUCCGAAAAGGAACAAAGGCUUCUCCUCAUAGAUAAAAUUUGGUGAAAAGAGCUUCAGUUUUCUGUUGGAAGGGGUGGAAGACUAGUGCAGAGGAGAGUCAAGCUCGAGGCACCUUAAAGUUUAGGAAGAAGAAGGAAGAAAAUAUAGGUUGGAGUGUCGUUCAAAUGAAGCCGAUAGGUAUCUACUAUGCUCGAUGAGGGAUUUGGAAGCUAAGAGGUUUUGUCUAGUGUUUCCAGAAGGUAAAGGCUUAGUAGGAGGGUGGUUUCUGUUGGCUUAGAAGUUAAGGGCCCUUGGAGUUUCUACUCCAGCCUUGAGUAAAGGUGAUCUGGGUACUUCCAACUCUGAAAAGAAUGGUUAUAUGGCCAAAGGAAAAGAUAAAGGGAAAGGAGUGUAUGCAGAAGUCGUGAGAAAGGAGGUAGGGGAAUUAGGGGAUGCAUUGUGAGUGCAUGUUGGGGAUCGUGACCUGCUCAGUAGGGAAGAACAGCUUAGCCAUUGUUUAGUAGGAUGUUUUGGUGAUAGUGUAGAGGUCGUCCCUUCUUUGUCCUUAUUGAAGGAGUGGGCGUGUGAAAAGUGGUAUCUCAAGGGAGGUUUAUAAAUCUCCAAUUUGGGUGGAGCCCUUGUGUUGUUCGAAGUUGAAGAUAAAAGUUGAAGUGGAUUUGGUGCUUUUAAGGGGUAGUAGAUGUCUUAAGAAGAGAGAGUUUUUCCUGCAGAAAUGGGGACUUGAAGUUGGGUGUUUUAGAAAUGGGAGCCACCCUAAGGAAGUGUGGGUGAAAGUUGUCGGACUUCCACUUCACCUUUGGAGUAGAGAGGUGUUCAAGAGUAUUGGAGAAAGAUGUGGUGUUUCAUAGCUGUGGAUAAGGAAACUGCUUUCUCCUCCGAGUUGAUGUGGGCUCGUAUCUUGCUGAGAGCCUUUGGGAAGUUUAGACCAGGAACUUCACAAGUGGCAGUCGGGAAUUUUUGUUGGACGGUGAGUCUAUGGUGGAAAACUCCCCCAUGGUUCUCAAAGGUAGUGGCAAGGUUCGCCUAGUUUGAAAAUGAGAGACGAGAGAUCAGGGAUGAGGUUGGGGGUGAAACACGUGCCGAAGUUAGCGUGCAAUAUGUUCAAAAUUUUCAAAUUGAUAUGCAGUCUUGGGGGACAGGGGCGCAGGUUGUGUGUGGCAGAAGGAAAAGAAAGGAAGUAGUUGUAAUGGUUGCAAAGGGUAAGCUGCCUAGUGUAGCUGAUAUGGACUCUUCUUGCAGUGGGUCUGGGCCCAUAAAAGAAAAUGGGAAGGCUUUCAAAGGGAAUGGUUGUUUGGGCUUUAGUGGUGAAGUGGUUUGGGCCAAAGGCCCAUUGUCCGUUAGCCUUGAAGAGGCGAGCUUAGGUAAGUCUCCUAAGCCCACUUUUAAUAAGGCUGGCACAAGCUUUUUGGAGCGUCCCUCCUCAGCUAGGGCUCCAUCUAUUCCCGCAGGGGGUGUUGGGGGACGGAUGCGAAGCUCUUGGCUGUUGAAGUUGCAGUCACCGCGGAGUUGCUGCCACAUCGUCGGAGCGUCACUGACAAGGCUCUGAUGGAGGAGGCUUCCAGGUAUUAAGCUAUUCCCAAUUUUUCUUUGUUUUUAGGGCUUCGGGAAUCCUCUUCUUCUUCUCUCUGGGGCCACACCGAAGUUGUAGGGGUGUCGAAGGGGUUUGCUUAUGGAACGGAAUGGGAGUUGGGUCGGUUUCCACCGAGUGUGGUGCGGAAUAGAGCUGAGUCGACUUUAUGAGGCUGGAGUGAGCCUUCUUGGGACUCGGUUGACGCUAAGAGAGUGAAUGGGUUAGCACUUGUCCCGAUGAGGUCGGACUUUACGCGCCUUUUUGAGAAAAGGAGUGUCUGUCACCUAGAAGAAGGGGGAUGUGAUGAAGGGUAAGGGGGAUGUGAUGAAGGGUGGAGUUCAAGCCGUCUUGCGGUGUUCAGUCGCUGCUUGGGUAUGCCAACGAAAGGCUUCGAAAAGGAAAUUUUGUACUUCUUAAGGAGAAUGACAGGGAAAAUUGAGUAAAAGGGUAAGAGAGGGGUGACUAGGAAGACAAGUUUAAAAUCUUCAAAAUCCAACAAGGAACUCAAGAAGCUGGAGUGGACUGUUAAAGAGGCUAAUGAUAGGGGUAAAAGGAAGAUUAUCAAGUCAGUCAUUAAAUCCCAAAGAGUGGACCUGGUUUGUUUACAGGAAACUAAAAUUAAAGAAAUGACUACAGGGCUUGUUCGUAGUCUAGGGGUGGGAAGAAAUCUAAAAUGGAGAGCAGUCAAUCCUAGGGGAGCAGCUAGUGGUAUUCUGUUGUUCUGGGACAAUAGACUGGUGGAGCUGGUUGGCUAGGAAGAAGGGGUUUUCUCAAUUUGGCGUUGGUUUAAAAAUUGCAUGGAUGGUGUAGUGUGGGUGUUCACUGGAGUGUAUGGGCCAGUAUGCAAUAGAGAUAGAGAGGAUUUCUGGAAGGAACUAGGGUCAAUUAAAGGGUUAUGGAGUGACCCUUGGUGUGUAGGAGGGGAUUUCAAUUUGGUAAGGUUUCCAAAAGAGCGUAGUAGGAGAGGUGGGCUUAUUGCUUCAAUGAGGAGAUUCUCAAAAGUGAUAGAAGAUUUGGAGUUGAGGGAUUUUCCUUUGACGGGGGGCUCAUUUACUUGGAGAGGAGGCUUGAAUAACCAGGCCCAGUCUAGGCUUGACUGGUUCUUAUUGACGAACAACUGGGAUAAUCUGUUCAAUGGGGCCAUGCAGGGAAUUCUCCCCAGACCUGUCUCAGAUCAUUUCCCGAUCCUCCUAGGAGGAGGGUUGACGAAGGGACCUUCCCCUUUCAGAUUUGAGAAUAUGUGGUUGGAGGAGGAGGGUUUCAAAGACAAGAUGAAGACAUGGUGGGGGAGUUUAAAAUUUACGGGGACAUCCAACUACAUUUUAAAUGCUAAAUUGGGGACUCUUAAAAAUAUUCUGAAGAUUUGGAAUAAAGAAGAGUUUGGGCUCUAUUGGGAUGAAAAGAAGAAAUGUGCAGCUUUAAAUAUAAAAGAGUGUGAAGCAAGAAAUGGAGCAAGAGUCCUACAAGUCUUGGGUGACGAGAGAAGAGAUUUUUUGGAGACAAAAGUCUAGGAAGUUGUGGCUGAAGCGGGAGGGGGGACAAUAAUACUAGAUUUUUUCAUAGGUUGGCGAAUGCUCAUAAUAAAAGAAUCUAGUUGUCCAAGUUGAAAGUUAAUGGCUAUUGACACUCAGAGGAAAAUAAUUUAAAAAAGUGUGGUGGGGGCGUUUCAAAAACCAUACUCAAAAGAAGAGGGGUGGCGCCCUAGUAUCGACAGGUCGUCCUUUAUAGGUUAGAUAGAAGUGAGGCUGAGGGGUUGGAGAAUCCUUUCUCGGAGGAAGUGGUGUUUGCAGCUCUUUCAGAUCUAAGCAAAUACAAAGCCCUAGGGCCGCAUGGUUUUACCAUGGCAUUUUGGUUUUUUUGGUGGGAUGUGGUGAAGGUUGAGAUUAUAGGCUUUUUUAGAGAAUUUCAUGAAAGGGGUAGAUUUGUAAAAUCUCUAAAUGUCACCAUCUUGGGUUUAGUCCGUAAGAAGGGAGGUGCUCAAGAUUUGAAGGAUUUCAGACCGAUUAGCCUUGUGGAGCCUUUACAAGUUGUUGGCCAAGUGUUGCCAAAUAGAAUCAAGAAGGUAAUGGGAAAAGUGAUUUCGGAACCCAAAAUGCCUUUGUGAAGGGUAGAUAAAUACUUGAUGCAGUUUUGAUUGCAAAUGAGGCUACGAAUUCUAGGUUGAAAAGCAGUCAAGGGGGUAUGAUGUGCAAAUUGGAUAUAGAGAAGGCCUAUGAUCAUGUCUGCUAAAAGUUCGUGUUGGCAAUGCUAAAAAAAAUAGGCUUUGGUGAGAGAUGGAUUAAGUGGAUGGAGUGGUGUAUCUCUAUUAUAAGAUUCUCUGUUCUUAUAGAUGGUUCUCCCUCCGGGUUUUUCCAAAGUUCAAGGGGUUUGAGACAAAGAGACCCCUUAUCCCCUUAUCUGUUUGUGAUAGUUAUUGAGGUAUUUAGUUGCUUAUUGAGAAGGGCCAUUAGUGGGGGCUUUAUAUUAGGGUGGAGGAUAAGAGGCAGGGUGGAGAGGGGAUUCUGAUAUCUCACUUGCUUUUUGCGGAUGACACCUUGGUGUUUUGUGAGGAGUCUCAGGAUCAAUUGACGCAUCUAAGCUGGCUUCCCAUGUGGUUUGAGGCUUGCUCAUGGUUGAGAGCUAACUUGGAGAAGAGUGAGCUUAUUCCGAUGGGGAGGGUAAAAGAUAUAGAAUAUUUGGCUUUGGAAUUGGGCUAUAAAGUGGGUGGUCUGCCUUCCUGUUAUUUGGGUCUGCCUUUAGGGGCACCCUUCAAAUCAGAGGUGGUAUGGGAUAGUGUUGAAGAGAGGUUUCGAAAAAGGCUAACUAUAUGGAAGAGACAACAUAUAUCAAAAGGGGGAAGACUCACCCUAAUAUGAAGCACUCUCUAGUUUGCCAGUUUACUUCAUGUCUCUCUUCUUUUUGCCCAAAAAAGUAAGGCUAAGGUUGGAGAAGAUUCAGAGGGACUUCCUGUGGGGAAGAGGAGCUCUUGAACAAAGGUCACAUCUUGUUAGGUGGAACUUGGUUUGUCUGGAAAGAAAGAAAAGUGAUUUGGGUGUGAGAAAUUUAGCUUUGAUGAAUAAAGCUCUCUUGGGUAAGUGGAAUUGGCGCUUUGCCAUUGAAAGUGAGGCUUUGUGGAAGCAAGCGAUCGGUCACAAAUAUGAUGUAAAGGAGGGGGGAUGGUGUACUCGGGCCGUAAGUGGGAGGCAUGGUGUAGGGCUUUGGAAAGCUAUUAGAAAGGAGUGGUUGGGUAUGUAUAGAAGUUUAGUCUAUCGCGUGGGCAGUGGUAGGAAAGUGAGAUCCUGGAAGGAUAAGUAGUAUGGAGAUGAGCCUCUUUAGGAGUCCUUCCCUUCUUUAUUUGCCAUUUCCUUGGCUAAAGAUGUUUGGGUAUCAGAUGUGUGGAAACCAGAUGGUGUAGAGGAUGGUUGGACCCCUCUUUUCUCAAGGGCGCUUAAUGAUUGGGAGAUUGAGAUGGUGGAGCAGUUUAUGCUAAAAAUCCAAGCCUUUAGGGUGUAAAGGGAGGACGAGGAUACAGUGGUAUGGACAGCAUCUAAAAGUGGAGGACUAGUAUUUGGAGAGCGUAUGUGCCUCCUAAGGUAACUUUCUUCGCUUGGGAAAGCAUCCUGAGGCAAAAUCUUAACUUUGGAGCAACUCCAUUGAAAGGGGUACUCUUUGGCAAAUAGAUGUUUUCUUUGCCUUUCUGAAGCAGAAAGGGUGGAUCACCUUUUACUUCAUUGUGUUAAGACACGGGCAUUGUGGAAUCUUCUUUUUUCCCUCUUUGGUGUGACUUGGGUUCUCUCUGGUUUAGUUAAGGAAACUCUCCUUGGUUGGCAUGGAGCAUUUGUGGGAAAAACCCGUAAAAAGGCGUGGCAAAUGAAUCAUUUAUCUAUAUUUUGGUCAAUAUGGAAGGAAAGAAAUUUAUUGGCUUUUGGGAAUGAGGUGUUUUCACUCCAAAGGUUGAAACAUUCUUUUGUAUGUAAUUUUUGAUCUUGGGUUAGGGUGUUUAUAGUUUUGAGCCCUUGUUCUCUUGUUAGCUUUUUUGAGUGGCUAGGCUCUAAGUAAGGGUAGGGGUUGUCGUUUCUUUCCCCUUUCUUGGUUUAGAGUAUGUGGGUUGCUUUUGUAUACUCCCUGUAUACUUAGAGGGCACUAGUUUGGUGUUUCCUCUUUUUGUUUAAUAUAUUUCUUUUUACCUAUCAAAAAAAAAAAAAAAAAACUAUUUUUGAGAACUUUUUUCAAUAACCGUUUUUUAAGAUUUAUUUUCAAAAAAAAUUCCUAAACAAAGCCUUAACCUUCAAGGAUCUAAAACUUUGCACUAAGUUUGGUGUUUUAUUGUUGGAUUUUCUUAGUCUUGCAAGCUUUAUGAUGAUCUUGCAAUAUUUUCUUUAAUUUACUAUUCAUUUUACCUGAGCAUUAAGUUUGGCUAAGUAUUGAAGAAUAACCUUGGCAUACAUUCAACUUCUUUUAUGGACAAAGGAAUGGAGCUAGAUCAGACUUUCUUUAAAUUUAGUCAAUUCUGAUUUACGUGACUCAUAAUCAGAUUGUAAAACAUUCAAAUUUUUUAACAAGGUACCUUGCUCAUUUUCAAGGUAAGAGAUUUUUUUCAAGCAAGGAAGUCUUCUCUCAUACUUCUUUUAUUCUCAUCCAACUUUCACAAUUUUAAUCUUAAGGCUUCCUUGGCAAUCUCAAAAGACAACUUUUCUUCCAAAUAUGUUGUAUCAUGAGAUGAACCUUCAAAAUUUUCAGAUUCAAGAUCAGUUUCAAAUUUAACAUUUUUCUUUUCAUUGCAAAGUGAUAUAGAAGGUAACAAGUAUAUCAACAAUUUCGUCAGGCUCAUCAUGCUCAAAAGACACAAAUAUCAUCAAUGUCAUGUGACAAUAAAUCAUAAUUAUGUUUAUGCAUGUUUCUAGCAACUUAAUGCAAUGAAAUUUGUACAUUCUUCAUCAAAAUCAUACCAAAUUACUUCUAUGACUUUAUCCUUUUGACAUUCAAGAAAGUGACCUUUCUUGACACAAUAGAAACUUUGAAUCAACUAGAUCUUUUUUGUGCUUUUUAAUCUUUUUAUCACAUUUCUUUUCCCUUGUUUAAUCAAAUAGGUUAUCCUUUGUUUCUGGAAGCUUUUUGAACUUUUUGAAACUUUAUCAAGCCUAUAAAUUUCCAAUAUUGGUCCUUUUUUAUUCCUAUUCUGAUUUAGAAGCAUGUUUAUCUACUCCUAGUGCAAUAUUAAUGUUUCUUUUUCUUAGGAACACUUGGAGUCAUCUCCAAUUGAAGGAAGCCAACUAUCUCAUCUGGCUUUAUUGAAUCAACAGUGUUCCAUUCCUCUAUUGUUAUGACCUUAGGUCUAAAACGAUCAAAGGGGAUCUUAACAGUUUUUCGAGUAACCUUGGAAUCAGGUAGAGGCCUACAUAGAUUGAAAGUUAGCAUUCACAAUGUCCAUGAUUUCAAUAAUAUAUUAAGAAAAUAAUUUUGUUGUGAUCAUUUGAAAUUCAUUACUUCACCUAUCCCAACUUUACAUAGUUUUACCUACCCUAGUGGAUAUACAUCCAAUCUCUAUUUAGCACCUUAUCAGGAUAUCAACAAAAUUGAACAGAACUCCAAUCUCUAUUAGACUUCAUUUUCAAGAAGUAUAUCAGUUGCACCUUGGAGUGAGUAUAAUUAUCUCCUUUGAAGUAUGGAGGUCUACCUAUAGAGGUUCCUUCUCAGAGAAUUUCCAUCUUAAGAGAAUAUAGUUUAUCCAUAUUGAGAACAUGAGCAAACAUGUUUUGACACAAUUUAUGAGUUUUUAAGAGAGUAUGCAAUGAACUUGAGAUCUCUUUUAGAUUAUCAAAUAACAUAUGCACAUGAAUGUGAUUGCGUGAUUAGCACAAGGUCAUAGACUAAAAUGUCUCUAAUGAAAUCUCAGCAAACAAGCACACAAAUAUUGCACAAGAUAUAACAUGAAAAAUCUCUAAGUGGAGAAAGGAAAAUAAAUAAAUAAAUAACAGUGGGUGCCUUUGUUGUUGCAAAUCCACUAUGAAUAUAAAUCCAGUUUUGCCUACAAGUCCUCCAAGAUCAAUCACCAAUCCCCUUAAGGAAUCCUCAAAGUGAUUAUUUCUUCAAUCCACACCUCGUUUUGAUAUGCUUCAAUACGGCUCAUCAUGUACUCACCACCAAUCUCUCACCAUAGCCUCCUUCAACUCUCUUCAAUUACCACGAGUUUUCUUCUGCUCUACUAAUUACAUUACAACAGAAUCACCUUCAUUAUCUCAUUGAAGUGAUCUCCAAAAACUAGAAAACAAAAAUUCCAUUUGCAAAGCAACUUCUUCAUAUAGAUUCAGAGAACCAAAAUAAGAAGAUGUUUUCACUUGUAGCAACAUCUUCAUGUAGAUUCAGAGAACUCAAAUUGUAACUUCAAAUUCACUCUUAGAAUCUCAAUUAAGGUAAAGCUCACAUUUCAAAAUCUCCCACCAAGAGUUUCACUUACUCUUCCUUUUUGAAAUGAGAGUAGAACCAACUUAGUGCCAAGGGACAUAAGGCACACUCUUAUUGGCCUAUUGUCAUGCAAAUUUCUAGGUGGAGGAGAAUCCAACUAACUAAACAAAUGUUUUUUCGCUUCUGGCCAUUUGUUUCUAUGGUCUAGAAAAAUAUGUCCUAGAUGAUUCCCAUUGUUUCAACUCUUUCAUGAAAAAUGCUUCUCAAAUCACUCACUCCAGUCUUUCAUUCACAUUACCUGUGAACUCCAAUCUGCAGUAGUGAAAUCCUAUCAAAAGACUUGGAUUGAGUUCCUGGUUCUCGGUUGCCUAGCUCUAGCAAACCAGGACUUCUGUUAGCAACCUGGAACAAGUAGCUUAUCCUUUCAAUCCCAUUUUCAAGCUCAAUUCCCUCCACCAGUGAAAACAAAUGGUCUUAUAUAAUCAACUCCAUUCACUCCAGGGCUAUACAGGAAACACUUGUGAGCUGGCAGGCAGUAGCUCCUCCCGACUCACCAUAUUUCCAACCCCAUUUGCUCCAUCAAAUUCAUAAGAAGCUAACAAAAUAACUAGCAUUAUAUAUCAUACAAUAUCUAUGCUAGUUAAUUUACAUGGAAAAUGCAAUUUCUACCCUAAAUAUGCCAACAUACAGGAAUACAUACAAUUUAUACAAACAUUGCACGCUAACACAAGAAAAUCAUACCUGACUUGCUGAUUUGAGGCAAUUCACCAGAGAAUGCAUAGGUGGCAAUGAGAUCCCAAUUGAGCUGUGACAAUCUAACAGUCGCAGACUUGAAGGAAGCUCUGGAAUUUGUGAAAGCUUCUUGCAGUGACUCAAGUCAAGGGCUCUAAGGUUAGAGAGUUGACUGAUACCCACAAGUAUGUCACUGAGGGUUCCUCCUUCCUCUGGACUGCACCGACUUAGAUUUAAUACUUCCAGUGAGGAUAGAUGGAAAAUACAAUGGAACACUCCUCCAUUUAGAAUGCAAUUUCCUAGACUAAAUUCUUUCAAUGCGUUCAAGCAGUUAUCACUCUUUAUUACUCCUGGUGUUAGAUUGCAUUGAUCUAAAUAUAGUUCCCUUAAGAGAGAUAAACCUGACAGAGAAGGCAAUUGACAACUAAGCGAAUUUAAAUAAAGAACCUCUAGACAUGGCAUUCUCUCCAAGUCCUCCGGCAAUCUGUCAAGUUUUGAGCAGCCUUCAAGACUUAGAACAACAAGAAAUCUCAAAUUACAAAUGCUGUUCGGGAGACCCUCAAGGUUUUUACAAUUAUCCAAAUUCAAGUAGCGAAGGCCUUCUAGAAGUUCAAUCGAUGAUGGUAGCUCUUUUAUAGCUGUUUCAUCUAAACAAAGCUCCUCUAGUUUUGCAAUAUUGCUCUUGAUUUUUGGAAAACUAGCUAGUUUUGAACAGCCAGUGCAAUGAAGAGUUAAAAGGUGUUUCGACUCAUGAAUGUCCCCAGGAAGACUCUCAAGGCUUACACACCCUAUAAAAUUCAAGGAAAAAAAAAGUUAGUUUAAUAACACUCUUAUAUGUGUGUGAACCUUAAGUAAAAUUAUACAACCUGAAAGAAUUAGUUCCUCCAAAUUUGGCACGUUUGAGAAAUUUGGUAGCUCAAUGAGUUGUUGUGAAUCGCUGAGAUUGAUGCGCCUUAAAUUUCUAAGACACUGGAACAAAAUAGAAUUUCUAUUAAUAAAUCAAUUUUAAAAAACUUUAAAAUAUUAUAAAAUAAAAGCACAAAUAAAUAAUAAUCAUACCAUGUUUCCUUUCCAAAGUAGUUUUAUGUUACUAUUGCCCAAUAUGAGGGAAACAAGAUUGUUCGCAUGAAAGUUUGAUGGUAGAGAUUCUAAAGAAUAUCCAUUCCAUCUAAGGUAUGUCAAGUCAUACGGAAAUACAAAAUCUUUAGAGAGUUGUACGUGAUUGUGGGAGAUGGAAAGCAAUCUAAGUCUAUGCAUCCUUUCGAAAGCUUUGGAUGUAAACUGUAUUUGUUCUGAUUUGUCCACAUGAAGAUAUAUCCCUUCGAUUUUUUCAGUCCCCUAGAUAAUAAGAGUAUAAAAUUAGAAAAGCGCAAUAAAUAUAAAUCCUUACUAAGGUGAUAAAGAUAAAUAACGUCUUGAACAAAACAUAUUUUCUAUAUAUAUAUAUCUUACCGUAUUUCUUUUUAAUACUCGAUAAAUAUCUAUAUGUCUCCAUAAUCUGCUCCUCUCUCCUGGCUCAUUAGGACAUUCUUGAUCAACAAUGCCCUUGCCCAUUUGGGCUAACAAAUCAUGCAUAUCUAUUCUGUUGUCCUUUGAAAUGGUUAUGAAACACCUAUCAACGAGAGCAUUUAUUCCACUUUCCGCAUUGAAUUCGGAAGCAUCCAAUAUUCUUGAAACUCUUUUCACAUCAUCUCCUCUAAAGAAACAUGCAAUGUCGAGAAAUAUCAUCCUUUGUGUAUAAUCCAAUCCAUCGAAACUUAUUUUAAGCACUUUUACAAUUUCCAUGUUAGGCACCUUUUCCAGCUUCUGCAAUUCACUUUUCCAAUCUGGUAGUCUCUUUCCAAAUAAUAGAGAACCCAAAACUUUAAGUGCUAAUGGAAGACCAUCAGCAUAUUGUACUACUUGAUGAGAGAGAUCUCCAUAACCUUCCUUCGGAUGAUGUUGUUUAAAGGCAUAACGGCAAAAAAGUUGAAGAGCUUCGUGAAAAUAUAAUUUCUCAACUUCAUACAUAUCAUUUACUUCAUGCCUAGUUAGCAAAUCUUUUUUCCUAGUAGUAAUGAUGAUUCUGCUUCCUGGACCAAACCAAUCAUGCUUUCCAAUUAAGUGUUCUAAUUGUGUCAGCUCAUCUACAUCAUCCAGAAAAACAAGAACCUUUUUUGAGGAAAGCUUGUCCCUUAUUUCUUUGAUACCUUCAUGAACAUCCCUUAAAACUAUUUUCCUCGUUGUCCUUAGAGUAUCAUUAAGAAGUUGUUGUUGUAACUUAAGAAGACCAGAAUUUUCUGUGGAUUCUUUUCUGACAUCUGUGAGCAAGCUAACACUUUCGAAUUGAUUUGAGAUUCGGUUAUAAAGAGCAUUGAUGAUGGUGGUCUUGCCGAUACCACCAAGCCCAUAAACCCCGACCAUGCGAACAUCAUUCAACUCAAUCUUUAACAAUGAUAUUAGUCUUUCCAAACGAGAAUCCAUUCCAACAAUGUUCUCGUUAACAACUAAAGUCUUAGGGAAGCUUCUAAGGACGUUCUCAAUAAUUUCAUCAAUAAGCUCUGAUUCGUACCUGCCAAUUGCAUUAGGAUGAGUUGCAAAAAACAAUAAAUUAUAUGAAAUAAAUUUAAUGAUGCCUAGUUUUCCAACUUUAACUUAAUAGGGCUAAAACGAAUUGAAAUUAAAAUAAAAUAAACCACAUCUAACAAAUUACGUAUCAGUACAAUUUCAUUAUUCUAUACAAUUGCUCAUGUAUAUGAUAGAAAUAAGGGAAGAAAAUACAAAAUAUGAAUUGGAUUAUCAAAAGCGGAAAAAAAAAAAAAAACUAAAAUAUUUUUGUGUUAGCUUAUACUAUUCAAUCUUGUGGAAGGUUCAAAAUAAAGUUGAGUUGUCUAGAACAUUACUACCCUAUUUUGAUAAGGGAUUCCAUCAUAGGAUCAACUGCUAGUCUGCAUCCAAGCUUUUUAAUCUAAUGAUUUUACUACUGAUUAGACGGUCAACAUUACUAUCUUCUAUACUUGCAAGACUUUCUCUCACCAUUUAUUUAGAUAAAUGUCUCUUGCUGUUCCAUAUGUUGUAUUUUGCAUUUAUUUUUGUCUCUAGCUGUAUGAACAAAAAUUUUUGAAAACCGUUUAAUUAAAAAAUAACUUUCAUGAAUUAAUUAAAAAUAUUUUAUUUAUAAUUUUAAUUCUAUUGCAUGAAUGAAUUAAGAAAACAAAUUUACAUCAAUUUUAACCUAAAAUAAUUUAGUAUAUUCUUUAUGAAUCAAUAAAAUAGAAUUUUGUUUUUAAGAAAUUGUAAUAUUAUGGUAUCAAGUUUAAAAUUUUAAUGAACAGAUCUUUAUUUUAUAAAUAAUAAAAAUGAAUAAAAAAUUAUAAAAGUUUAAAACUCACUUAGCUUUAAAAAUUAUAAAAAUGAUAUAAAUAUUUUUUAUAUCAGCAGACAGAGAAAAGGAGAGUACUUCAAAUGACAAAUGAAGAGAAGUUACAAUUACCUGUUCGUCGCAUCAUAUCCGGCUAGAUUGCUUGCUUGCCUCAGGGCAGUCUUCCAUUUCCUUAUCUUUUCCUUUCUCUCCUCCUCUGCAUUCUUCUCAUGAUGGGUAAAUGCUUCUCCGUAAAUCUCAGUUUGGUUCCGCACUUCAGACGGAUCCACAUGAUAGAAAAUUGGGAUAACUACCAUUUGUUCCCUUUCCUCUUUGCAUUUCAUGAUCUUGACAAGCUCUUCCAGACACCAUUUGGAACGAGCAUAGGUUUCUGAGAAGACAACAAUGGCACUCCUUGAUUCCUCAAUAGCUUUUAAGAGCUCUGGUGCAAUCUCUUCACCCCUUCGAAGUUCUUCAUCAUCUCUAAAGGUUCUAAUACCGCUAUGAAUCAAAGCCUUGUAGAGAUGAUCAGUGAAGUUUCUGCGAGUAUCUUCACCUCUAAAACUCAAAAACACAUCGUAACUCCAUUGAGAAUGGGAAGUGGAAGAAGAAGAGGCCAUGGUUGAACAGAAAUUGAAAGAAAAAUAAGGGUCUUUGGGUAUUUAGUGGGUUGAUUCCCUUGGCCUUAUAGAAGUAUGGAUGUUGGUGGUGGGAUGUUGCCUUUUCUUUCUCAAUUGUUUUUAUUCUUAGCUGUAUCCCUCUUGCUGGUUCACAUGACUCAAGACCCUACCUCAAUUAUUUCCCUCCACUCUUUUCUUAUACAUUUUACUCUCACUUUUCUCUUGUUGACAGUCAACAAUGGCCGACAGUCUCGUCUCUGCAGUUUACAGCUGUUCUUUUCUUUUAUUUCCAAUUAAUUUCUAAAAUAUAAAAAAUGAUCAAAUCCAUGUGAUCUUUACUUAGGUCAUAAGAUCGUGUGAACGCACAUUAAAUUAAAGUUAUUCAAUUAAUUUUUGUCUUUUGCAUAAUGAGCAAUAUUAUAGUAGAAAAUAAAGGUUUAUUAUGUUGAUAUGUCAAGUAAAGCUAACAACUUUGGUAUUAUAAGCUUGAUUUUUGUAGAUAGAAAAAUAUGAGAAGUCAUAUGACAAAAGGCAAAGAAAAUUUUGAUCAUGAAAAGUAGAAAAAAGCACAAAACCUUCAUGAAAUUCUAAUUCUAAGGAAGAAAGACCAUGCUCAAAACUCGAAAUUUAAAUUCUCACAAUCUUUUCAUAUUUUGCAGAUAGGUUUAUUAUUAAUAGAAGCACAUAAAUAAAUAUUGUACUUAAAUCCCACUAAUUUAUAGGUCAUUAUGGUAUAUGUAGGUCAUCAUAGUAAUGAGUGGGAAGGUGGGUACCUUUAAAAAGAAUAAGCUAAACCAAUCACCCUAAAUUUCAAAAGCACCUUUAUCAUAAAAGUGUGGUAAUGAGAGUGGAUAUCUUUUAAAAGAAUAGACAACCCUGAAUUUCAAAAAAAUGUCUGUUUCUUGGCGAUUGUAUCCCAACAGUCUUAUCUUUUUUUACUUUAUAUCUUUUUAUUAUUAUUAUCGUGAGGAUGGUUAAAGAUGAUGCUAGAAGUUUUUCUAUGGUUUAAAAAGAAAAAAUGUGAGUGUUAAGUUGGCAUUUUUGUCUUUUUAGAAAAUACUUCAUUUUAAGAUCAUUAAUAGAAGAAAUAAAGAGUUCAUAAAAAAUAAAGAAAUUUUUAUUGACUGAUCUAGGUAACCAUUUCAUGGCUUUUAAUUGUAACUUUGUUGAAAAUCUUACUCCUUCCUCCUUGUCUUCCUCUUGUUAUUCAAAAGUUUCAACUCCUUUUUUUUUUAAAUAAUAAUAUUGAUUUUAUGUUUUAAUGAAAUAAGUUGCAAAUUUGAAGAAAACAUAUUCUAAUGUAUUUAUUGAUUAUGGUCCUCUUUUCAAAAGGGUUAUCGUUAUUUACAUUCUCGAACUAAUCAAGUUUACAUCUCUAAAUAUGUAAUCUUUGAUAAGUUUGAGUUUUCUUUUACUAACAAAACUUCUCCCGUAUCUUUCUUGUAGGAACAAAGUCAAAUGACCAUAUUUUGAGAUUCUUAUCAACAGUUACAACCAUUCAAUCCAAACACCAACUCAACCCACAACUUCACUUCCACCAAACAACCUUUCAAACUAUCGUAAUAAUGUAGAUCUUCUAUUUUAUUUUUUUUAACACAUCUCAUCUAAAAUUGUCUUCUUACAUCCUUUAACACCUUAUUAUGCACUUAUGGUUAUUUUUCUAAGCUAUUUUUCUAAAAUUGUCUUCUAUUCAUUGUGAUUAUGUUGAUUACUAAUUAUUUUAUUUUAUUUUAUGCAAGAGACAUUCUGAAGGGAUUAGAUGCAUUCCAAUAUUGAUUUUAAUGAUUUUUAAAUCUUAAUUUAGGACUUUAUUUUUUAUUGAUUUAUAACAUAUUUAAGUUUGUUUAAAAUUUUCAAACUUUAAUUUUUAUAAAAUAGAUUCAAGUUUUGAAUUAAUUAAUAAUUGAUUUCAUUCUCUUUAAAGUGUAGAAUAUGAUAAAAGGCGUGUAACAAAUUCAAACAAAUCAUUAUACAAGUGAGAAUUUAGGUCAUCCAAUCAUUUUAUUAAAAAUCACUCUAUAAAUUAUAAAAAUAAAGAUAUUAAUCACAUCUAUUAAUAUGUUUUUUUUUAAAUUGACAAAUCAUAAUGAAAUUAUAAUCUUUUUAAUAUUUUAUUAAUUAUAAAUUAAAACGUCAUUAUAAUUAUUCAAUCCCCACGGAAUAUAAAAUGAGUUAUUUUUAAUAAUAAUAACUAAUCAUAUUUGAAUAACAUUUCAUCAAUUAUAUAUAAAAAUAAAGUUUUAUGUUUAUCAUAACCUAUGUUUUAAAUUAAACAAAAUAAUAAAAGUUACAUUUCCAUUUAAAUGUAUUUACAUAUCUACCUCCAUAGCCCAUGGUAUUAAAAUAAUCUAAUAAAACACAGUAUCCCAUAACCGGUCAACAGCACAGCUGCUCCUAGCCUUAGCCCCUUGCAGCUGCAAUCAGCUGUUCCACUCUCUGUUACAGUCCAGCUUUGGCCGCCCAAGACAUACAUCUUUUCACCCAUCACCCAUUUACCCCUGCCACAGCUAUUUUUUACCUUUGAGCUGCCCAAAGUCACACCAAACUAGCUGAUAAACCAUACCUUACAACCUGCAAACCAUCUCCUCAGCCAUCCCUAAUAGCCCACUGCCAGCCCUUUGUAAGAGUCACACCAAAGCCAAAUUUUUUUUAUUAUUAUUUUUAAUCAACUCCAGCACAGCCUCGUCAGACCGCCGAGCCUCCUGAUCUCAUCUCCAAACACGUUCUGCAGCUGAAUCCUUUGCCUUUAUGAAGUUUGGAUGCUGGUGGUGGGAUGUGCUUUUCCUUUCUCAAUUAUUUCUGCUUAGCUGUAUCCCUCUAGCUUUGAACUUUCACUUUUGUCCCUUUUGGCAGUCAACAAUGGCCGACAGUCUUGCCUCUGCGAUUUACAGCUGAUCUUUUCUUUUAGGGAGAGUUGGGAUUACUGGCUGUUAUACGAGAAAUACAUGGUUUUCAAAACCAUAUAACUGAAAUAUGAUUUACCUGAGAAAAAUUGUGAGAGUUGAGUUGUCAUUUUCGCCAUUUUAUAAAAGACUUAAUUUUAAGACCGUUAGUACGUAGAAAUAGGGGUCUCUAAAAAGCCCGCGGCCCGCUUUAGGCCCGGCCCGGCCCGGCCCGACGGGCUAAAGCCCGGCCCAAGCCCGCCGGGCCCAAGCCCGGCCCGAGCCCAUUUAUGGGCGGGCCGGGCCGCGGGCCUAAAUUUAGGCCCGGCCGUUGGAGACCCUUGCGUAGAAAUAACAAGUUCACAAGAACGAAAGAGACCUUUGUUGACUGACCUAGGUAACCCCUUUCAUGGCUUUUUCACUUGUUUGUUUUUGGAUUUUCUUUAAUGAGGCUAGGUGAUUGUUGUUUAUUUUGACUUAUAUUUUAGAUGGAUUUCAUUUUUAAUAAGAGUUUUUCAUGGUAAAAAUUGAUGUGAUACAAAUUUUUAUUGAUAUUAAUAUCAUUUUAUCAUAAAUUAUUUAGAGUAUAGAUAUAAAUAAAAUAUCAAUACCAUAGGAAAUGUUAAAAUAAAGUUAGGUGCAUAUGCAAAAAAUAAAAUUUGAAAAAUAGAAUAGUCCAGUCCAACCAUAUCCACACAUCCAUCUUCCUAUAAAUUAAACUAAUGAUAGAUACAUAAGUCAAAAAUAAGAUUUGAAAAAGAGUAUAAUCCAAUUCAACUACCCACCUUCCAAUAAAUUAAACUCAAAAUGGGCACAUAUUCCAAAAAUAAAUUUUGAAAAAUAAAAUAGUCCAAACCAACUUUAUCAACAUGUCCAUCUUCCAAUAAAUUAAAUUGGAAAUGAGUCGGCAUGUGAUAAAAUAAAUGUCAAUUUCCAUUUUACUUAUAUUAAAUUCACUUAUAUAUUUAUAUCGAAAAUUAUCCUUUGAAUCUUUCUAGAAACAUUAGAUUUUAAGGAAAUCAUGCAAGUAUACUUUUCUUAUUAUCAAUUUAAAAUAUAAAAUCCUUCCAUAGUUAUUUAUUAAAGUUCUACAAAGAAAAUUAAGAAAAUAAGGAUUUGGUAGGUAAUUAUGUUUAAAAAUAAUUUUCUAUUUUUUAUAGUAGAAAACCAGGUUCUAACUUUUUUUUUUUUAAAAAAAAAAAACACAUUAGACAAAUUUCGACCAAGAAGAAUUUCUUCAAAAUUUGCUCUAGAUACAUGUUAUUUUAAAAACAUGAUUUUGACAUAUUUUCAAAUAUUGUUUGUAUAGUUUUUGAGCAAAAAAUGAAAAGAUGGAGAAUACUCCAAAAACUUUGCAAAUGAAAAUACUAUGUUUUAUAUUUAUGUUUUCAAAUACAAUUUUGCAAAUGAAAUAUUUGAGAAUGUUCUUAAAAAUUAUUUUUUAAGAAGUGCUUUUGAAAACUUGGCUAAACAUGACCUAAAUAUCCUAAACAUGAAAGAUACAAGAAUGCAAGAAAAACAUUUUCAAUAAUUUUAUUUUAUUUAUUAUAUUAAAGAGUAACAUUAAUGUUUCAUUAUGAAGUUAAAAUGUUUCAUUCAAUCAAAAUUUAUUCUGCUAGUUUUCAAGGAAAGCAUUAUUUAUCAAGAUGCUUGCCUUAGUUGUUUUGUAUUUUAUAUUUUUCUUUGAUUGGGAUUGGUGAGAAUUGUCCUAAAUAUAGAUUUUAUUUUGAAUAAUUUCUAAAUUAGACUUGUAAAAAAUAAGAAAAAGUAUCUAGUAAUUCAUUGUUACACAUGAAUGUUGCAACUUGGUAAAAUUUAUGAUAUUUAUCACUAGGAAAUUUUGCUUAUAGAUAUAAAUAAAAUGGUAACAUCUAUCACAAGGAAAGGUUGGGAAGGAAGCAAACAUAUUAAUAGGUGAAACAAGAAAAAGAAAAAUAAUAAUAAUAAAUGAUAAAAAAAGGUAAGGGAAUUCAGAGUCAUGAGUUGGUACUCUAUAUUAUUUAAAGUGAUUAUAAUUUAGGGUACAAAUUUCUUUAGAAAUAAAUAACGUAAAUAGAUUCUAAAAAAGAUUAUGUAAAAUUAUCAUUUCUUAAAAAAGAGAAGAAGGUAUUUUCUUUAUUUUUAAACAUUUAUUAAUUUUUAAUACUAAUACAAUAUUAAAUCUAAUGAGAAGACCUCCUUUAAUCUUCUCACUUUAUUCAUUGAAGUCUUUUUAAAUAAUUUGAGAAAGUAAUUUUAAAUCCAAUUACAUGGUGAAGAUCAAGGUAAUAGUUAGAAUAAAACUACAAAUAACAUGGUCAAGAUCAAGGUGGGUGUGUGUGUGACAAUCUUAUAUACUUUUUUGGAAGUAUGAAAAGAGUAAUGAAAUCAUGUACCUAAUAAAAAGUAAAGAAAACUUUAAUUCUACUGGAGGAAGCAAACACUAAACUUCCUUAAGAAAAUGGUAAUGUUGAAUUAAAUAACUUGCAUUGACGAACAUUAUGGUCCUUAUUCUAAAUUAUUUCAUUUCUUUUAUUGUGUCUCCAUUCAUUUAACAUGAUUUUUGAAAGUAUAAAAAGAGUAAUAUAAGUUACGUACCUAACAAAAUUAAAAAAAAGUACUUUAAUUUAAAUAGGGAAUGAGACAUGAAACUUCCUUGAAAAAAUGGCAAUGUUGAAAAGUUAAUAAAGUAGUUUAAAUUUUCAACUUGUUACAUUAGAUAACUUGCAUUAAAGGACAAUAUGUAUCUUAGAAAUAGAAAGUUUUGAAGUGAAACAUCUAAACAUGUAGGAACAUUAAACAAUGCCUUGGUCAAAAAAGGAAAACGCAUAGGAACAUAUAUCAAAUAAUAUCUUGGUCAAAAAGAAUAAUGCUUUAGUAAAAAAUGGAAAAUGCAUAGGAACAUUAAAUAAGACAAUAUCACAUAGGGUUUAGGUAAGACAAUUCUCUAAUCCCUUAUCCUUGUUGGCUCAUACACUUGUUGAACCUCUUUGAUACGAAAAUAAUCCAAAUGACUCAUAAAAUAUAGUGUUUAUAUGGAUGCUAUUAAGAUAUAAAUUAGGCUACAAUGAAAGUUAAUUAUAACUUUAAUGUUGGAGGGAAUAAGCAAUUUUUUGUGAGAAAGGGCAACACCUAGAAAGUCAAUAAGAUUAAUUAUCUUAAUAAUGGAAAAAAAGUUCAUUCUUAUGAAUCCUCAAAGUGAAUCAAAGAGACAAACUUCAAUUUUGAAGUGAACAUAAUUAUUAUUUUUUUGUUUCUUUGUUAAAUAAUUAGUAAUACUUAAUUUAUCGAUCGUGUAAGAAUCAAAGAAGAAUAGCUACUAUUCAUGCAAUGGGUCUCAUCUUAUUGUAACAAAACUUAUGAUUAUUUUUCUUCCAUGUAUUGGAAGUUACUAUAAAUUCAUUUCCCACUUGUUAUGUGACUUAGGUAUCAAAUAGAGCCCACUAGAUAAAAUUUCUCUCAAGGUAUUUCCACAUCAAAUUUCUUUAUUUUAAACAUGUUUAUGGAUGUAAGUUUGCAUUGAAUAAAUUUCAAGUAUUAAUGUAGACUAACAAUAUUUAAAUAAAAAUGAUAAUAUAUUUAAAUUUUUAAUAAAAAUUGAGUUGAAUUUUUCAACCAACAUUUGAUUUCCUUCCACUCACCUAAUGUUGGCAUUAAAAUGCAUUAAUAUAUAUAUAUAUAUAUAUAUAUAUAUAUAUAUAUAUAGAUAUAUAAAUAUAUAAUCAUUGUCUUGGGAACUUUUUCUUCGGUGCUUAUCCUCAAACCUUCUUAAAAAAAAUAAGAUUGAUUCUUGUUGUGCUCACCUAAUGCUUGCAUUAAAAUACUAUAAACUUUUUUUUUGUGAGCUUAUCCUUACACCUUAGAAAACAAGAUUGAUUCUCGUUGAUAAGAAGAUAAGAACAAAAACUUCUAAUAAAUUAUAUUUGGUAUAUUGGUAAUUUAAUGGGAAAAGACCUUAAAUUUUGUAAAUGUAAAAGGAUAAUAUAGUUGGACGACACAUUUAUACAAAUAUAUGAUUGGAUUUUAAUUUUGUAACUUAAUUAAUUAAGAAAAUAAAACCUUUGGGCUAUUUAAAUAUAAUUGGAUUUUAAUUUUUAGUUUGGGUUAAAGUUACAAAAGAAAAAAAAAUGACCCAAAUAAAUUAAUUGGGCAUUUAUAUUUAAACAAUUAGUCUUUAGAAUUAAUAUUUAAUUGGAUUGAAAAAAAAAAAAAAAAAGAUAAUAAAGGGAGUAGAAUGGUCUUUUCCCAUUAGAAACCUAGGUAUAAAUAUUCACCACCCUUCUUUACAAAAGUCUUUUGCAUAGAGAGAAAAUGUGGGGUUUGAAAUCAAUCUUUUAAAGCAAACAUAUAUAGAUUCAAUAUUUAGUUUCAUUUUUAAUGGUCAUAAAAAAAUAAAUAAUCUAGAAUCAUAUCAUGAUAAUUAUUAAAUAUGAUUAAUUUUUAUGAGAAAAUUAAAAAACACAUAAUUCUAAUUAAUUAUAUAGUCAAAUACCAUUAACCAUUCUUAGUUAAAAAUUUAAAGUCUUUUUCCAUUUGCAUUGGACAUUACUAUUAAUAGAUGCAUAUCCAUGAAUAUUGUACUUAGUAAUAUUUCUUUUAGAAUUAAAUCCCAUUAAGAUUAUAUUGCAUUGUGAUGUAUAUGAGUUGCACCUUCAAUUAUUUUUAUUUAACUUUGGUUCUCAGAAAAUAUUAAGGAAAAAAAAGAUAUUAAGGAAAAUAAUUCUUCAUGUUUGAUUGUCUUAUGAAAAAUUUCAAAAAAAAUAAAAUAAAAUAUAAUUAAAAUUAGUUUAGAACUUAUGUAUUUUCAAAUUAUUUAAUCUUUAUGUUGAUGAGUUAAAAUAAAUAAAAUGAGUUUGAAAUAACAAAUAAAAAUAAUUUAUCGACUUUAACCUUAUUUUUUAUUUUCCUUCAAUUUUUCAUUUCUUUUUUUUUUUUUCACUUUGUUUUCUUUCCUUUGUAUUUUCCCUCAGAUUUUUUUGGAAACCAAACAUAACCUUAAUGAUUAUGAGAUCAUAUUAGUUAAAAAGUGAAGUUUCUACCACUACAUAUAAUAAAUGCAUAUACAUGUAUAUUUUGAUCUUAGCCUAGACAAUAUUUAUAUAAAAAUGAAUAGAUCAUUAUAAAUGACAUUAAAAUUGAUUUCCUAUUGAGAAAUUACAAGUGUUCUAUACUUUUUAUAUAUAUAAAAAUUUCUUAAUCAAUAUUAUCAAAUAACUUUUUACAUUUUUCUAUUGAAAUAUAUAUUUUUUUGCAAAAAAAUUCCUAUUAUUAUAAUAAAUUUUUUUUUUUCAUAUUUUUCAAUUAAGAUAUACUCUUCAUAAGGACAUUCCUAUUAUUAUAAAAGAUAAAUUAUUUUUUAUAUGAAUAUUUUAUUUAAUCAAGAUAAACAUGGAAAGAAAUUGUUCUCACAUGUCUUAUAUUGAGAAAAAUUAUAUAUAAAUUGGAAAUAAUUUUAAAAUUAAUAAAAUCUAAAAGUUGUUUCACUAUUUUCUAAAAUUAAUUUCAAUUUUUUUUUUACUUUUUAAUUAGUGUAUGUUUAUGUAUGUAUGCAUGCAUGUAUAUAUGCAUACAUAUUAAAAAAUGUUGAUCAUUUAAGUGGCUCUAAACUAAUUAUUUAUUUGCAUGAAAAAAUUUAUUUAAAAUGAGUUGUUCAUCUUUUAUGAGAUAUAACAAAAGCCAUUUGCACUAGGUCAUAAUGGUAAUGAGUGGGAAGGUGGGUGCCUGCCUUUAAAAAGAAUAGAAGUGAACAACCACCCUAAAAUUCGAAAGUAUAACAUACAAAAGUACCUUGCAUUGAUGUACGCAUACACAUGAAACUUCCUUGAGAAAAUAGUAUUGUUGAAAUGUCAACAAAGUAGUCAUACACAUGAAACUUCCUUGAGAAAAUAGUAUUGUUGAAAUGUCAACAAAGUAGUUUAAAUCCUCAACAGGUUGUUACGUUAGUGUGUGUGUGUGUGUGUGUGUGUGAGAUAAAAGAUUUCAAAAGGAACAAUCCCUUGGUCAAAAAACAGAAAACAUAUAGAAACAUAUAUUGAGAAUAAUAUCUUAUUAAAAAAGAAUAAUGUCUUGGUGGGAAUGGGAAACGAGUAAGAACAUUGAAUAUGACAAUACCACAUAUGGUUAAGUAAGGCUAUUCUCUAAUCUUUUAUCCUUGUUGAACCUCUUUCAUUGAAAAAUAAUCCAAAUGACUCAUAAAAUAUAGUGUUUAUAUGGAUGGUAUUAAGAUAUAAAUUAGGCUACAAUGAAAGUUAAUUAUAACUUUAAUGUUGGAAGAAAUGAACAACUUCUUAUGAUAUAUAUAUAUAUAUAUAUAUAUAUAUAUAUAUAUAUAUAUAUAUAUAUAUAUAUGUGUGUGUGUGUGUGUGUGUGUGUGAGAUAAAAGAUUUCAAAAGGAACAAUCCCUUGGUCAAAAAACAGAAAACAUAUAGAAACAUAUAUUGAGAAUAAUAUCUUAUUAAAAAAGAAUAAUGUCUUGGUGGGAAUGGGAAACGAGUAAGAACAUUGAAUAUGACCAUACCACAUAUGGUUAAGUAAGGCUAUUCUCUAAUCUUUUAUCCUUGUUGAACCUCUUUCNNNNNNNNNNNNNNNNNNNNNNNNNNNNNNNNNNNNNNNNNNNNNNNNNNNNNNNNNNNNNNNNNNNNNNNNNNNNNNNNNNNNNNNNNNNNNNNNNNNNGAAAUAGAAAGUUUUGAAGUGAGACAUCUAAACAUGUAGGAACAUUACACAAUGCCUUGGUCAAAAAAGGAAAACGCAUAGGAACAUAUAUCAAAUAAUAUCUUGGUCAAAAAGAAUAAUGCUUUAGUAAAAAAUGGAAAAUGCAUAGGCACAUUAAAUAAGACAAUAUCACAUAGGGUUUAGGUAAGACAAUUCUCUAAUCCCUUAUCCUUGUUGGCUCAUACACUUGUUGAACCUCUUUCAUUGAAAAAUAAUCCAAAUGACUCAUAAAAUAUAGUGUUUAUAUGGAUGGUAUUAAGAUAUAAAUUAGGCUACAAUGAAAGUUAAUUAUAACUUUAAUGUUGGAAGAAAUGAACAACUUCUUAUGAUAUAUAUAUAUAUAUAUAUAUAUAUAUAUAUAUAUAUAUAUAUAUAUAUAUAUAUGUGUGUGUGUGUGUGUGUGUGUGUGAGAUAAAAGAUUUCAAAAGGAACAAUCCCUUGGUCAAAAAACAGAAAACAUAUAGAAACAUAUAUUGAGAAUAAUAUCUUAUUAAAAAAGAAUAAUGUCUUGGUGGGAAUGGGAAACGAGUAAGAACAUUGAAUAUGACAAUACCACAUAUGGUUAAGUAAGGCUAUUCUCUAAUCUUUUAUCCUUGUUGAACCUCUUUCAUUGAAAAAUAAUCCAAAUGACUCAUAAAAUAUAGUGUUUAUAUGGAUGGUAUUAAGAUAUAAAUUAGGCUACAAUGAAAGUUAAUUAUAACUUUAAUGUUGGAAGAAAUGAACAACUUCUUAUGAGAAAGGGCAACACCUAGAAAGUCAAUAAGAUUAAUUAUCUUAAUAAUAGAAAGAAAGUUCAUUCUUAUGAAAUUGAAUCAAAGAGAUAAAUUUCAAUUUUGAAGUAAACAUAAUUAUUUUUCUAUUUUUGUUAAAGAAUUAACAAAAUUUAUCAUGUAAGAAUCAAAGAAGAAUAGCUACUAUUCAUGCAACUGGUCUGAUCUUGUUGUAACAAAACUUAUGAUUAUUUUUCUUCUAUGUAUUGGAAGUUACCAUAAAUUAAUUUCCAACUGGUCAUGUGACUAUUGCAUCAAAUAGAGCCCACUAGAUAAAAUUUUUGUUGACGUAUUUCCACAUCAAAUUUCUUUAAUUUAAACAUGUUUAUGGAUGUAAGUUUGCAUUGAAUAAAUUUCAACCAUAGAUAUGCACUAACAAUAUUUAAAUAAAGAUGAUAAUGUAUUUAAAUUUUUAAUAAAAACUAAGUUGAAUUUUUCAACGAACAUUUGAUUUCCUUCUGCUCACCUAGUGUUAGCAUUAAAAUACAAAAAAAGCUCACCUAAUACUUGCAUUAAAAUACUAGAAACUUAUUCUUGUGAGCUUAUCCUUGCACCUUCUUAGAAAAAAAACAAGAUUGAUUCUUAUUGGUCAGAAGAUAAGAACAAAAACUUCUAAUAAAUUAUAUUUGAUAUAAACUCGUCAAUCAUCACAUAAAAAACAAUUUCUCCAGAGGGCGAUGACCCCAUCAACCCCCAUAAGCUAACCAAGCAGCUCGACCUUAACAUCCUAAGCAAAGCGCAACAAUACUGAUUCAAGCUUCACAAUCCAACACCAAUAAAGACAAGAACAAUUGACACUCAAAAAAAUUAUUUCUUUUAACUUUUUCCCUUUAAGUUGAAUUUGAUUUUAAAAUAGUGUUAUCUCAUUAAUUAUUUUACAAAAUAUAUAUAUGUUAUAUCUUAAAAUUGGUUAGUAAAUUAUAUUACAAUUAUCAAAGAUAUUGCCAUAUAUAAAAUACAACUUAAUAAAUCUUAAGCAUAACACAAAGCACAACAACAAGAUAUAUUAAUUUAAGUUACUAAGAGCUUAUUUAGUUGUGUGAUUUAAAAAUGGUUUUCUAUUUUAAAAAAUAAAAAAUUAUUUUAAAAAAUUUAUAACACUAUUUUAAUGUUGUUCUUUGGAAACAAUGUUUAAAGACAAAGUAACAUUGAGAACAAUUUUUAAAGAACAAGUAGGAGUUGUUUUUAUUAGUUUUUAAAAAACAAAAAAUAUAUAAACUCAUUUUACUAUGUUUUUUGAAACUUGUUUUUAAAUUAAAGAAUAAAAAAUAAUUUUUCAAAAUAAGUUUCAAAAAAUAUGACCAAACAAACCCUAAAUGGUCGGGGUUUAAUAUUAAAGAGAAAAAAAGUUAAUUUAAGAGUUUGCAUGCAGGUAGACAUCAGGCUGUAAAACUGGUUUACUAAGACACUCAUUUUAUUUAUAUAUUCUUCUAUGUGCAUGCAUUGACCAUGUGGUUAGGAUGUGUUGCACCAAAAUCUAAUUAUUAACUUGCAGUUCGAAAUCACAAACCAGCUGUAUGUAUUAGAAACAGACCAUAUUGGGUCAUGCACAUUCUCCGUCAUUUUCUAUUUCCUAGCAACAUAUAUGACCAAAUGAAAUUGUUAUAUCCUAAUUAUAUUUUUUAAUUAGGCGAUAAAUGAAUGGAUUCCUUUUAAAAAUAAUAAUUGAGAUAUUAGGGAUGAUUAAAAUAUUAUUAGAAGAAAACAACCACUAUCUUCCAGAUUAAUCACAGCUUAAUAAAUGUAAAUAAAUUAAUCUGACACUACAUUUUUCUUUAUUUGUUUUGGUUUCUUUACAAGAAUGUUUCUUUAUGUAUUCUUGUUGAAUCUAUAAAAUAUCAUCUAUAAACAUUCUUUUUGAAUGAUUAAGAAUCCGAUAUUUAAAUGAUUGUGUGGACCUUGCAUUUUUGCUCAAUGCGUUCCCACUCAAUGUUGAACUCUCUUUUUAUUUAUUUAAUGAAAAAUAUGAUUUUUUUUUUUAGAAAAGACUUGGAGUCGCCACUUAUUUUUGUUUUAUUUUUAAAAAUGGUAAACAAAAUAAGAAAGAAAACCCUAAGUGUGACUCCUUAUUUUGGAAAAAGUGGUAUGUGAAAAAUCAGAUCGGGCUCGGGGAUUAGGUUACUUAUCGGGAAGGUACAGUAAGGACCAUGACACCCCUCUAAGUCCCUAAAGUCGGGUCUCUAUUGAUAAAAGGAAGCUGACAUGGCAAUCAAUAAGGAAAUCAAUGGGUACUCAAAUCGAUCAUGCACAUAUGGAAAUUGGAAUUUUAGAAAUUGGAAAUUAAAUUCGAAAAUGGGAAAAUUGGAAUCUCAAAAAUUGGGAAUUGAAUUUGGAAAUCAGAAUUUUGAAGAAUUAUUUAAAGAUGAAAAUUUUAAAAGUAAGUAAAUAAAUAAAUAAAUAAAAUAAUAAUGAUUGGAUAAAUAAAUGCGAAAAUUGGAAUUUUGGAAAUCGGAAAUUAUAUUUGGAAUUUGGAAAAUCAGAGUUUUGGAAAUUGAGAAUUAAAUUUGGAAAUUGGAAUUUUGAAGAAUUAUUUAAAGAUAGAUUUUUUUAAAUAAAUAAAUAAAUAGAAUAAUAAUAAUAAUCGAAAUAAUAAUAAAAUAAAUGAACAUGAACAUUAAAAUUUUUUGAAAUAGAAAAUUAAAUUUGGAUGUCGGAAAUUUGAAAAAUUGUUUAAAAAAACGGAAUUUAGAAAAUAAAUAAAUUAAUUAAAAAAAAAGUAUUGUAGUGAAGGUCAUCAAACUCAAAGUCUUAUUCAUGACCCAAUUUCCCAUAUUUGAUUAAGAAUCCAUGCAACAUUACUAUGGGCCACCUGAGCCAAAAUGUCUACACGUUCCACUCUUACACCAUCCCAUUGCAGCUCUCACCACAACAGCCACAACAGUGGAAGUAAAAAUAAAAAAUAAAAAAUAAAAAAAUCACGCCACAUGAGUUGACCAUGAUGUCACCUCUUCCAACACAAGCAAUACACUUCCAAUUGGAACUCUGAAAGCAAUAGUCACUUCAGCACGACAGCGAGGUAGACUAGGGCAGUAGGUGUUGAAUGAGUGAUGAAUCCGAAAAGAAUGGGUUUGUAACAUAAAUGAUUAAUCUUACAACAUCACACAAGAGAUAUGAAUCCAUAUUUACGCACAUAUCCAAACAAAACCAUAUGAACAAUAGAUGAGACCAUGCCACAACAAACCAUUAUAAGAGUAAGAAAAGGAAAAAAGAGAGAGAAAAAAAAAGACAAACUUCAGCAUAAAAAAAAACAAAUCUAGAAGGUAGUGAAGUGAUGUAUGGAGAGUCACCGUGAUCAUACCGAAACAAACUCACAAACAACGCAAAAUAAUCACAUAAAAAAACAAAAGGGUAAUAGGAUGACCAAUAAUAAUCCAUGAACCUUAUCAGUCUUACCAGGUAAAGCUUUCUAUCCACUGGAGUUUUCUAGACUUUCUUUCCAACUUCCCUCCUCCUCUUUCCUGCUUCAGCCUAUCCCCGAAAAGCUUGCUCUGCCCAUUUUUCUACAACCAACCCAACAGCUAGCUUAGCCCCCAAAAAGAUGAAGACGCUCCCCCCUAUUUAUUCUCUCCCGUUCAGCUCAUUUCCCGCCCAGUUUUUCUCUCCAGAUUUUUUUUCCCCUAGUCCUCACAUGCUCCCUACUCCUUGCUCAACCAAUCUGUCACCAUCUCAACCACCACCAUGGCGAGGUAGUGGUGUCGUCCUCCAUGCGUCUCAUGCAUGCUAAUAUUUGAAAAAGUCGAUCCCCCUUCCUCCUACAACAAGCUGCUAGCUAUCCGGGUGGCUAGCAUGAAGGGUCUACAAAUAUGCCCCUCUUCAGUAGAGUUCACGAACGUAAAGAAAUAUGAACACUAGAGUGAAAAGAAAGUGUGAAUAGUGAGCGAAAUGAAGUGAACUUUACCGAAAAUGGGCAUAUUUGUAGACCCCUCAUGCUAGCCACCCGAAUAGUUGGUAGCUUGUUGUAGGGGGAGGGGAGACCGACUUCUUCAAAUAUUAGCAUGCAUGAGACGCAUGGAGGAGGGCACCACUACCUCGCCAUGGUGGUGGUUGAGAUAGUAACAGAUUGGCUGAGCAAGAAGCAAGUGAAGACUAGGGGGAAAAAAAAGAUCUGGAGAGAAAAAAUAGGUGGAAAAUGAGCUGAACGAGAGGGAAUAAACAGGGGAGAGCAUCUUCAUCUUUUUGGAGGGUGACCUAGCUAUCGGGUUGGUUGUAGAAAAACAGGCAGAGCAAGCUUUUCGGGAAUACGUCGAAGUAGGAAAGAGAAUGAAGAAAGUUGGAAAGAAAGUCCAAAAAACUCCAAUGGAAGGAGAGCUUUACCUGAUAAGACUGAUCAGGUUCAUAGAUUAUUACUGGUCAUCCUACUACCCUUUUGUUUUUUUACGUUAUUAUUUUGCAUUGUUUGUGAAUUUGUUUCGGUAUGAUCAUAGUGACUCUCCAUACAUCAUUUCCCUACCUUCUAGAUUUGUUUUUUUUUUGUGCUAAAGUUCGUCUUUUUUUUUUCUCUCUCUUUUUCUUUUUCUUACUCUUACAAUGGUUUGUUGUGGCAUGGUCUCAUCUAUUGUUCAUAUGGUUCUGUUUGGAUGUGUGUGUAAAUCUGGAUUCAUAUAUCUUGUGUGAUGUUGUAAGAUUAAUUGUUUAUGUUACAAAUCCAUUCUUUUUGAAUUCAUCACUCAUUUCACACCCGUUGCCUUGGUCUACCUUGCUGUCGUGUUGGAGUGGUUGUUGCUUUUAGAGCUCCAAUUGGAAGUGUAUUGCUUGCAUUGGAAGAGGUGACAUCAUGGUCAACUCAUGUGGCGUGUUUUAUUUUAUUUUAUUUUUACUUCCGUUGUUGUGGUUGUUGUGGUGAGAGCUGCAAUGGGAUGGUGUAAGAGUGGAAGGUGUAGACAUUUUGGCUCAGGUGGCCCAUAGUAAUGUUGCAUGGAUUCUUAAUCAAAUAUGGGAAAUUGGGCCAUGAAUAAGACUUUGAGUUUGAUGACCUCCACUCAUUCCACCACCAAACCUUUUUUUUUUAAUUAAUUUAUUUAUUUUUUAAAUUUCAUUUUUUUAAACAAUAUUUCAAAAUUCCGACAUCCAAAUAUAAUUUCCGAUUUAAAAAAAUUUCAAUGUUCACGUUCAUUUAUUUAAUUAUUAUUUCUGUUAUUAUUAUUAUUCUAUUUAUUUAUUUAUUUAUUUUUAAAAAAUUCAAUCCUUAAACAAUUAUUCAAAAUUCCGAUUUCCAAAUUUAAUUCUCAAUUUCCAAAACUCCGAUUUUCCAAAUUCCGAAUUUAAUUUCCGAUUUCCAAAAUUCCAAUUUUCGCAUUUAUUUAUCCAAUCAUUAUUAUUUUAGUUAUUAUUAUUAUUAUUAUUAUUUUAUUUAUUUACUUACUUACUUUUAAAAAUUCCAUCUUUAAAUAAUUCUUCAAAAUUCUGAUUUCCAAAUUCAAUUCCCAAUUUUCGAGAUUCCAAUUUUCCCAUUUCCGAAUUUAAUUUACAAUUUCUAAAAUUCCAAUUUUCGCAUUUAUUUAUUCAAUCAUUAUUAUUUUUCGUUAUUAUUAUUAGUUUAUUAUUUACUUAUUUAUUUUUAAAAUUCAAUCUUUAAAUAAUUCUUCCGAAAUUCCAAUUCUUAAAUUUAAUUCCCAAGACUCCAAUUUCCAAAUAAUUUUCGAGACUCUAAUUUUCAAAUAAAUUUCAAAAAUCUAGUUUUCACUCGAACAAUUUUAAUUCCAUUCCGGUUCUCAAAUAAUCUGUUGUUUUUCUUGAUUUUACAUAAGCAUGAAUGUAAUUUUUCACAAUUCCACAAUAAUGGAAUAUGUGAGACUAAUUCAUGCAAGAUAGAUUGGGUUUUGGUGGGGGGCCCAACAUUGGUGUUUUUUUCCUCUAAAAAUAAAUUUGAUUGAAUUGAAUUGUGAUAUCUGUUGAUUUCUCACUCUGUUUAGUGGCAUGUGUGACAUAGUCUGUUUUGUUAAUUGUGCACUAAACCCAUUUCUUGAUAGUGCAUUAUGACUCGUGGCCCAGGUGCGCAUCCGCUCCUAUUCUGGUCAUUCUCUAUGCAUGUUCUGAUUCCCAUAUGUGCAUGAUCAAUUUAAGUACCCGUUGAUUUCCUUAUUGAUUGCCACGUCAGCUUUCUUUUAUUAGUAGAGACCCGACUUUAGGGACUUAGAGGGGUGCUACGGUCCUUACUAUACCUUCUCGAUAAGUAACUUGACCCCCAAACCCAAUUCGGUUUUUCACAUACCACUUUUUCCAAAAUAAGGAGUCAUAGUUAGAGUUUUCUUUCUUAUUUUGUUUACCCUUUUUAAAAAUAAAACAAAAAUAAGUGGUGACUCCAAGUCUUUUCUAAAAAAAAAAAAAAUCAUAUUUUUCAUUAAAUAAAUAAAAAGCAAGUUCGCCAUUGAGUGGGAACGCAUUGAGCUAAAAUGCUGGGUCCAUAAAAUGGCGACUCCACUGAGGAUGAUUUAGAAGGUCAAACUUGAACUUAAGAUGAAGCAAAUGCGACAUUUGAUGGGUCGAUCAGUGGGUACCUAUCUUUUAAUUGCACAUUGAGAGUUCUUGAUAUCAUUGGAUGCAUGCUUGGAUAUUGUAUUCAUUUUGAGACAUUGAUAUGUUGGUUAUGAUGAUUGAUUUGUCUUGAUUGAGGAUUCCGAGAUAGCUAUUUUUUUUGUGCUUCAUUGCUAUAUUUGUUUGGGAUAUUGACAUACUGAUUGUAUCAAUUUCUUAUCUUGCCUUGCUUAGCAUAGUGACCCUGAUUCUUGCCAUGAUUGUUCUGCUCACUUCAUAUGCAUAGACUCACUAUUGUACACCAUUUGACUUGAUGUGUUGUUUUCUUUGGCUUGUGUAUUAUCCUGAUCGUCUUUGAGCAUGAUGCUUGUAUUAGUAUUCAUUUGAUCGUCAUAGCUUGUAUGUGUACAUGAGCAAUAUAUCAUGUACUCUGCCUGGUUGUAUGUCGCAUGACUGCACUCCUUUGCAUGUUGCUUGUUUGUGUGGGUAGCACAUCUAUCCCCUUAUCUCCAACGCUCUGGGUUUCGAUUAUUUCCUUUAUUUCGGUUUUCACUUUUGCAAGUGUGAGGCCUUGUGUGUGCUUGUACUUUGACCGAGGAAGAGGUUAGGAGUAGGGUCUAGCGACGGGCUAUAUCGAUGUUUGGGAGCAUUCUGGAGGUGACCGACACAUUGACGUCAAUUGGAGUCCGAUCAUUGAAGACCUGUAUAGCCUGGAGCUAGGUUUCAUGGAUAUUUGUGCGGCCAGUGUGUUUCCCUUUUUGAUUUAGCUUCAUAGAGUUUUCGGAUGCACCCACACCGCUCACUGCGCACUCUAGUUGACCAUUGAGUGUUGAGAGUUUUGAGAGGUUUCGCCAUAGAAAACCUCCUGAGAUAUCGAGGUAGUGCAUGUGUGGAGGUGAUGACCACCUUGCAUAGAAGCGCCCAUUCUUUUCGGAGGCGUGCAGAGGGUUGCGUACCGUCGGAGGGUACGAUCGCUUCUGUUAGGGAUCCUUUAAAGUCCACCCCUCUUCUUUUCAGAGCCACCUUGACCUUGUAGGUCGAGCCUUAGAUAUUUCAAUCAGGAAUUUCUUCCCUAACACGUGGGUGCAUCUGUGGGCCUUCAAAGUUACUUCAGUAGUGAUAGGUUUAGUUACCUUCGUAGUGGUCUCUUAUACAUCUGCUCAGGAUUGGAUAUCACUUUGAUUGCUUACGAGUUACCUUUCGACAUAUUUGAUAGACUUUCUUUGUGGAGAUUUUCCUAACCUUGUAUCUUAUCUAGUAUUUCCAAUAUUGUAGGAGCAUUGAUACAUAGGGUUUGGGUUCGACUUCUUGGAUCCAGGUUAGGGGUAGAUUGAUCAGAGUAUCAGACCCGUUAGACCAGAAAUCAGAUCAUAGAAAUAUGGACUCACAGAUGGUUACCGUUGGCAGCAGGCCUAGGAGGUUUCGCCUCAGGAUGGCGCACAGUAUGACCCUACAGUGCCGUCAUCCCCUCCACCUAAUCAGUCAGCACCACUAGCCAUACCUUUCACUCUGCAUAGUCAGACCGAGGUUGUCCCGACUCCUAUCAUCGUGCCUACCCCAACCUCAGAGGACCCACAUGCUUGUAUGGAUAGGCUCGAUAAGAAGUUGAGACAAUUGAGGAGUUCAGACAGACCUGUUACUUGGGACGAUUUUGAUGGACUACCAGUGGCCAGUUUGCCGGCCAAGUUCAGGAUGCCAGAGAUUGAGCGAUACACGGGCAUUGGCUGUCCUUGCAUCCAUUUGAGGCUUUAUAGUACUAUCAUGAGGGCCCAUGGACUAGAUGAGGUUCAGAUGAUUAUGUUUUUCCCCAUGUGCUUGAACGGUGUGGCGUAGUGAUGGUUUGCUUUAUUGGAUACAUCCCAAAGUCGGACUUGGGAUGAUUUGGCCUAGGAGUUUUUGAGACAAUUCACAUUUAAUACUGUCAUUGACGUCUCGAGGAGAGAGUUAGAGGCAUUGAGACAGAGGCCAGAGGAGUCGAUCACCUCAUUUAUCUCCCGUUGGAGGGAGAAGAUUUCAUAGGUUAUUAAUAGACCAUCGGAGAAGGAUCAUAUUAGCAUGAUUAUGAGAAGCUUGCAACCUCGAUUUGCUAGACACUUGAUGGGAUUUCCUCAUAGAGAUUUUGGAUCUUUGGUACAGGCCUUGUAUGGUAUAGAGGAGGGCAUAGCCAGAGGAUUAUGGUCUGAGUCUUCUCUUUCUAAUUCGAAGGGGAAGAAACCUUUAAGAUGAUAGAGGCUAGUUGAUGUGAGCGCCCCUAGUUCUACCAGCCAGAGGCCUCCUAUGCGUCAUUAGUCAGUGCCACAGCUUCCUGAGACUCAUCCUUCAUAUCCACCUCAACAGUACAGGCCACGAGCGCCUCGUCCGACUUUUGAUCAUGCUUACAUGCCUCAGACACUAGUUUUGCCUUACUAUGCCACUCAGGGCAUCGAGAGACCACCUGUUUCAUAUACAGCCACAGGAUAGCCAUGCUAUGCGGCGUAGUUUACCGCAAGACCUACAUCUUCUUAUCCCAGGCUUAGAGCUCAACAGACUUCUGUUCCUUUUGUUUUGAGGACGCAGAUAUAGUUCUCGCAGUUAAGCAUGCCGUUGAGCCAGGCUAUUCGGAAACCUAUAGAGGUUGGGUUGUUGAUUGCUCUCACUCUUAGGCCACCACCUCAGCCUCUUCCUUCUCGGUUCAGGAUGGAUUUGCACUAUGCAUACCAUCAAGGACCUAGACAUGAGACUGACCGUUGUACCGCUCUGAGACAUGCCAUCCAAGAUCUGAUCGACCAGGGUUUGGUUCACUUAGAUUAGCCGAGUGUAACCACAAACCCACUAUCGACCCACACCACACAUGCGGUUCCCCCACCAACCAAUAACAUUCAUUUUCUGGAUUUUGCUGGGUUUGACGACCAUAUCCAUAUGUUGAGCCGGGAUGACACAGAGCGAGAGCCCAUAGUGUCAGAUGGGAUUUAUGAGAUGAGUGGGGUGACUUUGGGACCUUAGAUACCCGCUCCAUUCAGAUUCGUCCCUAAGGCGGUAUCGGUACAAACGACCACUAUCGAGCGAUUGACUUUCUCACAUUAUAGUGUUCAGACGCAUUUUGUUUUGAUUCCAGAUGUUGAUGGGGUUCAGACUUCUUAUGUUGAUGUUUAUCAGACUCCAUAUGUCGAUGAUGUUCAUACUUUAGAUGUGCAGUAUGUUAUCCACGGAGGUAGGGUAGUACGGCAGCAGCCCCCCGCUGCCGCUAGACCCUUGAAGGGAACGUCAUCCCAAGAGGAGGUCGAGAGGGAGGAUGAUCAGAUUCUGAUGCAGUUACAAAGCACUCAUGCUUGUAUUUCCAUCUAGAGCUUGUUAGCAUCUUCUAGUAAUCACCGAGAUGCUUUGAUUUGAGCCUUGAGCCAGAUCAGAGUUGAAACUACCACCACUCCGGAGGGAUUGAUUCAUAUGGUGAUGGCUGGCAGAGCCGCAUGCAUAGUAUUCUCUGAUGACGGCUUGCAACCAGAGAGUGCGAACCAUACAUGUCCAUUUUAUAUAUCAGUUGGUUGUUUAGGCUAUCGAGUCUCAUUUGUCAUUUUGGAUAACGACUCGGCCCUGAACGUUUGCCCUCUGGCCACUGCCAUCGCCCUUGGUUAUGCGUCCUCUGACUUUGGUCCCUUCACUCAGAUAGUUCGAGCAUACGAUAACACUCAAAGGGAGGUCAUGGGCACUCUAGAGAUUGAGUUGCUGAUAAGUCCGAUCACAUUUGUUACUUUGUUCCAGGUUUUGAAGAUUCCUACAUCAUUUAACCUGCUAUUGGGUCGACCUUGGAUUCACAAAGUCGGGGUCAUUCCUUCUUCCCUUUAUCAAAAGGUGAAGUUCAUUUGCGAUGGUCAGGUCAUCACAGUGCGGUCUAUAGGAGAUAUGUUUAUUUCUACUCAGCCGGUGCUUCAGAUUAGUCACAAUGAUGAUGACUUACUUCUGAGUGGAUUCACAUUCGACGAGGUGCAAACCCUAAAGAUGGAGAAUUUUUUCCGAGACUUCGUAGCUAUGUCGUUUGACUAGCAUGGUAGCACGGUGGUGCUCGAUAUGAUGAGGAGUAUGUCUUAUCUUCCCGGUAUGGGAUUGGGGCGACGUCAGCACGGGCCUAGUGAGUUCAUGGCUAUCCCCGAUCACGAUGUACCGUUCGAACUCGGGUUCAUCCCCACUGAGGCUAAUUAUCGAUAUAUGGCGCAACUGCGCAAGGAGAUGGGUGAGAGCCCAACUGACUCACACGCCUUUUGAUUAUCCUGUUCGCUCAUACACCAUGAGCUUAACAGAAUACUUUGUGAAGGCGUCAGUGCCGCAGAUGCCUUCAAAUGGGAUAAUUGGGGGACUCGAAACUACUCAAGAGGCCAAGCUUCAGCGCCUCGUCUAUCAGCUACAGUUGAGUGAUGGAGUUCCUGGCACUUCGAUAUCUGUGUUGGCUGCCCUAUCAUCUCCAGAUCGUAUGAGCCUUAUGACGCUUUAUUUCCCGGAUGAGAUCAACGAGCAUGAGACAUUUGCUCGAGAUUGGAAACAUAGUGGACAGAGCCAUUCCACAUAAAGAGUACGUCGAUGAGAUGCUCGCGAUGAGCUUAAGCCAGAUCAAGGAGAUAGUUCAGCCUGGGCUCCCUUCACCAUUUGAUCUUUUCGGGGUGUCCGUCAUCCAGAUUGCUGAGGAGAUCCCGACUGCUUCUACUCCGGAGUUUACUGAGGGUGCCAUAGCUGUUAAUGACUUGUUUGAUGGCCCUGUUGGCCUAGUUGAGGGAGCGUCCGACUUUGUGGACCCACUUAUUUCAUUUGAUGUUUUAUCGGGAUUUGUUUCCCUUCAUGAUGAUGUUCUUGGCUCUUCAUUUAUGGAUUUGAGUAUUUUUGAGUAUUUGCCUGCCUCUUGUGAUAUUGCUUUAUCUACACCAUCUUCACCCACAUCACAGAUAUUUGACAUUGAUGAUGAGAUUGUACAACAUGAUUCAAAUGAUGACUCAUCAUCCGCUUCUGAUUCGAACCCCAUUGAUUAGAGAGUUUCACCUACUAUAGGGGAUGCUGAGAUUGUUGAUUUCAGCACAACAGAUCAACUUAGGGAGUUGAGGAUCAGAUCGGAUUUAUCUACUGAUAAGAGGGAUAACCUCAUCCAAUUGCUCAAAUCAUACUUGGACAUUUUCGCAUGGUCUUAUGAGGACAUGCCGAGUCUUGAUCCAUCUAUCGUCCAACAUCAUUUGCCACUUCUACCCUAUGCCAGACCGGUUAAGUAGAAAUUGAGACAGUUGCACCCUCGUUGGAGUUUGCAAGUGAAGGAGGAGAUCCAAAAGCAGCUCAGUGUGAGAUUUUUUUCAAUGGUCGAGUACCCGGAAUGACUCACCAAUGUCGUCAUUGUUCUAAAAAAGGACGACAAGGUGAGAGUCUGUGUUGAUUUUCGAGAUCUCAACAAGGCCAGUUCUAAGGAUGAUUUUCCUCUCCCACACAUCGACAUGCUAGUUGACAAUACAACAGGUCAUUCGAUGUUGUUCUUCAUGGAAGGAUUUUCCGGGUAUAGUUAGAUCUUGAUGGCUCUAGAGAACAUGAAGAAGACGUCAUUCAUUAUCGAGUAGGGUACUUAUUGCUAUAGAGUCAUGCCAUUCGAGUUGAAGAAUGCAGGAGCCACUUAUCAGAGAACAACAACCACACUCUUCCAUAACAUGAUGCAUUGAGAUGUCGAGGUUUAUGUAGACGACAUGAUAGUGAAAUCCCGAGAUAGAUCAGAUCACCUAACAACUCUGGAGAGGUUCUUUGAGAGGAUCAAGCGGUUUAGAUUGAGAUUGAAUCCUAGGAAGUGCAUUUUUGAAGUGACUUCUGGGAAGCUCCUAGGAUAUAUGGUCAGUGAGAGAGGCAUAGAGGUAGAUCUGGAUAAGAUUAGAGCCAUCUUUGACAUGCCUGCACCGAGAACAAAGAGAGAGGUCAAAGGCUUCUUGGGUAGACUUCAGUACAUCAGCAGAUUCAUCGCCAGAUUGAUAAACAUCUGUGAGCAGCCCAAUUUUCUACUCUUGAGGAAGAGUCAACCUACUGUUUGAGAUGAUUAGUGUCAGCAUGCAUUUGAGAGGAUCAGAGAGUACUUGUUGUCACCUCUAGUAUUGGCGCCUCCUACACCAGGCCAUCUUUUACUCCUAUACCUAUCAGUCUCAGACGUAGCAUUGGGAUGCAUGUUGGCUCAAGUCGAUGAUUCAAGCAAGGACCGAGCCAUUUAUUAUCUAAGUAAAAGAAUGUUAGAUUACGAGACGAGAUAUGUCAUGAUUGAGCGCUAUUAUUUGGCAUUGGUUUAGGCCACUCGUCGACUGAGACAUUAUGUGACCGAGUAUUCAGUGCACUUGAUAUCCCAUCUAGAUCCUCUUAGAUACUUGUUUGACAUACCUGCCUUGGUUGGUCGCCUCAUGAGAUGGUUGGUACUUCUGACUGAGUUUGACAUCCAUUAUGUCACUUAGAAGUCCAUCAGAGGGAGCAUUAUCGCAGAUCACCUAGCCUCAUUACCAGUUUCUGAUGGUAGGACUAUUGAUGAUGAUUUUCCAGAUGAGGAUGUUGCUACUGUGCUUAGUCUGUCAGGUUGGCGCAUGUACUUUGAUGGUGCAGCCAACCAUUCCAAAUAUGGGAUAGGAGUUUUGUUAAUAUUCUCUCAUGGUGACCACAUUCCUAGAUCUAUUCGUUUGGCAUUCUCGAAUUGACACCCAGCCACGAACAACAUUGUUGAGUAUGAGGCUUGUAUCUUGGGAUUAGAGAUGAUCCUUAAGUUUGGGAUUAGAUAGAUGGAGGUGUUUGGUGACUCCAAUAUGGUAUUAAGAUAGAUUCAAGGUGAGUGUAAGACUAGAGAUGUGAAGCUUAGGUCUUACCACGCAUAUUUGGAGCUACUGGUUGGGAGAUUUGAUGAUUUAAGAUACACACAUCUACCUAGAGCGCAGAACCAGUUUGUUGAUGCCUUAGCUACUUUGGUUUCCAUGAUUGAUAUUCUUGUCGAUGCCAUUGUUUGCCCUUUACUGAUCAAGUCGAGAUCUGCUCAUGCCUACUAUUACCUAAUUGAUGAUGUAGAGCCAGAUGAUGGUUUGCCCUGGUACCAUGACAUAUAUCACUUUCUGAGACUUGGCGUAUAUCCUAAGGCCGCCAUGACCAAGGCUAAGAAGGCAUUUGAGAUAGUUGGCUGCCCGAUUUGUGAUUUGUGGCAAGACACUAUACAGACGAUCAGUUGAUGGGAUGUUGCUAUUAUGCUUAGACCACGCCUUUACUGAUCUAGUGAUGAGAGAGGUUCAUGCAGGAAUCUGCAGACCACAUAUGGAAGGGCAUAUGCUAGCUCGUAAGAUCAUGAGGACUGGCUAUUUCUGGUUGACCAUGGAAACAGACUGUUGCCAGUUUGUUCAGAGAUGUCCUGAGUGCCAGAUACACGGUGACCUCAUUCACGUGCUUCUUCAGAAUUACAUGCGUUGACUUCGCCGUGGCCAUUUUUAGUAUGGGGUAUAGACAUUAUUGGGAAGAUUUUACCGAAGUCUUUCAGUGGGCAUGAGUUCAUCUUGGUCGCCAUCUAUUACUUCACCAAGUGGGUGGAGGUUGCUUCGUAUGCAAGAUUGACGUCAUUUGAAGUUGCUAGUUUCAUCAGAUCACACAUUAUUUGUCGCUAUGGAGUCUCUCAUGAGUUGAUUUCCGAUAAAGAGGUACAUUUCACAGCAGAGGUUGACACCUUAGUGCAGCGAUAUGGCAUCCGACAUCUUAGGUCAUUUGCGUACAGGCCGUAGACGAAUGGAGCAGUAGAGGUCGCCAAUAAGAAUAUUAAGAGGAUCUUACGAAGAAUGGUUGGGACUUCUCGGGAUUGGUCAGAGAAAUUCCCUUUCGCAUUGUGGGCUUAUCGAAUUUCUUUUCGCACCUCCAUAGGAGCCACACCCUACUCUUUGCUGUAUGGUAUGGAGAUAGUGCUACCAGUUGAGAUUGAGAUGGGUUCAUUGAGGAUAGCAUUAGAGCGGCAGAUUCCAGAGGCAGAUUGGGCUCAGGCCCGAUUAGAUCAACUCAAUCUCCUAGAUGAUAGGAGAUUGAGGGCAGCAGACCAUGUUCGCUCAUAUCAUUAGAGGAAGAUGACCCGUGCUUUCAAAAAGCGGGUCAAGGCUUAACCACUAUGGAUAGGUGACUUGGUUCUGAAUGUCAUCAAGGGAUUGAUAAGAGAUCCUAGAGGGAAGUUCAAACCCAAUUGGAGCGGACCUUACUUCAUCAAGGAGUUAACCCUAGAGAACGCUACAUGGUUGAUGGAUCUAGAUGGAAACCGAUUCUCGGAGCCGAUCAACGUAGAUUAGCUAACGAGGUACUAUGUUUGAGACCAUGGUCAUAGGAUGGGUGGUCAUCAUUUCAGUUAGCCAUAUACCUUGUUAUUCCCCUUUGAUACAUAGACUGUUGCUAGCCCAUUGAGCCUCGUGUGUGCAUUAUAGCAUUUCUAUCUUAUUACCUUGCUCACAUUGUUACACCAGGAUUGGGGCCCUUUAGUGUGUGCAUGCGUUGUUUGGGAGCCUGAUAAGUCUUGGACCUACAAGUGCGUCUUUCUCUCAUUAUUUUUUCCUACCAUCACUCUAAUGCAUAUCAUCACAUCUCGUUGGCCAGGUUCUUCAUUCAUUCUCCUUUAUUAUAUCUACUGCUUGUUUUGCUUCAUAUUCUCUUCACCCUGAGUGGUAAUCCUCCUCAGUUCAUUGCAUGAAGGAUAGUCACAUCAUUUCCACCAUCUAUCCCACGGACACUGAUUCUGAGAUCCUUAGUUUGAGAAGGUUAUCUCGUCAGAGAUAGUUUUUGAGAGUGUGUCUAUCCAUUGUAGAUGUCAUAUUUGGGGAUCAUUUGUUUAUGAUUCAGGGUAUAUGCAUUUGUAUAUAUGUAAAAAAAAAAAAAAAAUGAAAAUGUAAAACAAAAGAAAAAAAUGAAAAUGAAAAGAAAAGAAAAAUAAGCAUGUGUGUAUGUGCAUAGUAUUCUCCAUCAUUGGGCAUGUAUAUUGAUGUUUGAGGGUUACUUCAUUAAGUAUGUUUGUUGAUGAGAGCUCGUAUGUGAGCUUUCCGAGACCGUUCAUUAUUUGUAUUCAGGUUUCAUGUAUUUUGAGAGUGAGAUGAGUGACUUUCUCUUAGGAGCUUUGUAUCAUUGUCCUUUCCAUCAUUACAUUCAUUGUUGAUGUGACUUCACCUCAUGUUGGAUUUGAGCGGAUCAUCAUUCCUCUUUGUGUUCUUCGCUUCACCAUCAUCCUCGUUUUUGCUUUUGAUUCAUCAUCAUCAUCUCACCCCUUGUCAUUUUCUUACAACGACUCUUUUAUUCCCAGUUUGACACUUCCUCCACAUCAUCCUUACACAUCUCAUUAUCAGAUCAAUUUUUUUUCAUUGCCUCGUUAUUGACAUCAUAUUCACAUUAGGCACCCUCAGGUCCGUGACUCACGAGAUUUUCUAUACAUGUGGCAUUUCAUACAUGAGGGCAUGGGUUUCUGUUCAUUUGGUAUUUUGGCCUAGUUUCCCUUCAUUUUUAUCACCCUAUCAUCCCAGUCUACGUUACGUCCCGUGUCUUAAGACCACCCUAAGGCCAUGAGAUCAGAUGUCAUCUUUGACAACCUAUAAUUGGACUGGUGUUUGAGAUCUGAUUGACAUUUAGAUAUUGUCAUGCUUCCUCUUCUGGGAGAUGUCUUUCUGAUGAUUAGAUUUGUUUCAAUUAUGUUUGGAUUACCAGGAUUACAUGUUCGAUGAUAGAUGAUUCCAUGUCACCUAAUUUUAUGAUCUAUCACAUAUUUGGUGUCAUACUAGGGCAUAUUCCGUUUCGGGCGAGAUUUACAAAUCUUCACGGAGUUGCAUGCUUAUCCCCACUUGCGAGAUAUACGCCGAAAUGAUUGACUGGUUCGCUAUUUUAUGAUGAUCCAUUAGUGGAGCCUCUGUGGAGCCGUUCAGCCAGCCCCAUAUUUCUCGGUAUUUGGUUAUUAUCAUGCUUCUUAUUCCGAGAGGCGUUCCCUAGAUGUUUGGAUUUGAUUUGGAUCACGGAGAUCACAUGCUCGAUGAUAUAUGAUUCCAUGUCACUUGAUUUUCUGAUUUAUCACAUAUUCGAUGUCAUACUGGGGCAUAUUCCGUUUCGGGAGAGAUUUAUAGAUCUUCAUGGAGUUGCAUGCUUAUCCCCACUUGCGAGAUGUACGUCGAGAUGAUUGACUGGUUCGCUAUUUUAUGAUGAUCCCUCAGUGGAGCCUCUGUGGAGCCCUUCGGUCAGGUCCACAUUUCUCGGUAUUUGGUUACUAUCAUGCUUCUUAUUCCGAGAGAUGUUCCUUAGAUGUUUGGAUUUGAUUUGGAUCACGAAGAUCACAUGCUCGAUGAUAGAUGAUUCCAUGUCACCUGAUUUUUUGAUCUAUCACAUAUUCGGUGUCAUACUGGGGCAUAUUCCAUUUCGGGCGAGAUGUACGCCGAGAUGAUUGACUGGUUCGCUAUUUUAUGAUGAUCCCUCAGUGGAGCCUCUAUGGAGUUGUUAAGCCAGACCCAUAUUUCCCGGCAUUUGGUUACUGUCAUGCUUCUUAUUCCGAGAUACGCUCCCUAGAUGUUUGGAUUUGAUUUGGAUCAUGAAGAUCACAUGCUUGAUGAUAGAUGAUUCCAUGUCACCUAAUUUUCUGAUCUAUCACAUAUUCGGUGUCAUACUAGGGCAUAUUCCAUUUUGGGUGAGAUUUGCAGAUCUUCAUGAAGUUGCAUACUUAUCCCCACUUGCGAGAUGUACAUUGAGAUGAUUGACUGGUUCGCUGUUUUAUGAUGAUCCCUCAGUGGAGCCUUUGUGGAGCCGUUCAGCCAAACCCACAUUUCUCAGUAUUUGGUUACUAUCAUGCUUCUUAUUCCGAGAGACGUUCCCUAGAUGUUUGGAUUUGAAUUGGAUCACGGAGAUCACAUGCUCGAUGAUAGAUGAUUCCAUGUCACCUGAUUUUUUGAUCUAUCACAUAUUUGGUGUCAUACUGAGGCAUAUUCCCUUUCGGGAGAGAUUUAUAGAUUUUCAUGGAGUUGCAUGCUUAUCCCCACUUGCGAGAUGUACGCCGAGAUGAUUGACUGGUUCGCUAUUUUAUGAUGAUCCCUCAAUGGAGCCUCUGUGGAUCCGUUCAGCCAGGCCCACAUUUCUCGGCAUUUGGUUACUAUCAUGCUUCUUAUUCCGAGAGACUUUCCCUAGAUGUUUGGAUUUGAUUUGGAUCACGGAGAUCACAUGCUCGAUGAUAGAUGAUUCCAUGUCACCUAAUUUUCUAAUCUAUCACAUAUUUGGUGUCAUACUGGGGCAUAUUCCAUUUCGGGCGAGAUUUACAGAUCUUCACGGAGUUGCAUGCUUAUCCCCAUUUGUGAGAUGUACGCCGAGAUGAAUGACUGGUUCGCUAUUUUAUGAUGAUCCCUUAGUGGAACCUCUGUGGAGCCGUUUAGCCAGGCCCACAUUUCUCGGUAUUUGGUUACUGUCAUGCUUUUUAUUCCGAGAGACGUUCCCUAGAUGUUUAGAUUUGAUUUGGAUCAUGGAGAUCACAUGCUCGAUGAUAGAUGAUUCCAUGUCACCUGAUUUUCUUAUCUAUCACAUAUUCGAUGUCAUACUGGAGCAUAUUUCCAUUUCAGAUGAGGUUUACCAAUCUUCAUGGAGUUACAUGAUCAUCUCCACUUACGAAGUAUGAGCUGAGACGAUGACGUGUUCGUUACCUUAUCAUGAUCUCUCAGUAGAGCCUCUUUGGAGCCAUUCAGCUCGACCCACAUUUUUGGCAUUUGGUUGUCGCCAAGCUUAUUAUUCCGGAGACGUUUCAUAGAUGUUUGGGGUUUGAUUUGGGUCAUGGAGAUCGCACAUUUGAUGAUGGAUGAUUUCAUGUCACCCAAUUUUCGACUUAUCGUACAUCUAACGACAUACUGGGGCAUAUUUCCGUUUUGAUCGAGAUUUACAAAUCUCCAUGGAGUUGCAUGCUUAUCUCCACUUACGAGGUACACACCGAGAUGAUGACCUAUUUGUUAUCUUAUCAUGAUCCCUUAGUGGAGCCUCUCUGGAGCCAUCCAAUCAGAUUCAUAUUUUUUCGGCGUUUGGGUUGUUGUCAUGUUUCUCCUUCUGGGUUAUGGAUUUGGAUGACGAGGUUCGUGCUCCUGAUGAUAGAUGACUUGAGGCCAUUUGAUUUUUCCAACCUAUCACACAUUUGAUUCCAUACUGGGGCAUUUUUCCCCUUUCGAUCAAGAUUUGUAGAUCCCCACGAGUUUGCAUGAUCAUCCCCAUUUAUGAGAUACACAUCAGGUUGAUGAUUCGAUUUCAUUUUGUCUUGAUUCUUUCGUGGAGCAUUUUUCUUGAGUCAUUUCGUCAGGCUCACACUUUCUGAUUUUGUUGUGAUUUUUGGAUAGAGUCAUCUCAGGUGCAUAGGAUCCCAUAUCAUCAUUUCAGUGGGACACAUGUCAGAUCUUUUAUAUAUUCCCAUGGAGUUAUUCUCGGGUUAUCAUGAUAGACCGAGUACAUCUGACGCCAUAUUGGGGCAUAUUUCCUUCCUCCAGCUGUAGAGUUUCGAUGAUUUUUGCUAAGAUGAGCCACCAGAGGAACACGACUUCCGGGUUUUGACUGCCCUACUAUCCAUGACUUUUCAGUGGAUUGAGAUCGUAGUAGUUACCCUAGCAGACUAUUCUUUUGUGACCCCCUAGUGGAUCAUUUUUUCGGUAUGAUGAUGGAUUCUUCCAAUAAAACAUUUUGAGUUAGAGAAGUUCUACUUAUUGCGACACUUCAUCAGAUCUCGCGAUUUAGUCAGAUGGGUUGUGAGACUAAGUUCACAGUCGAUUUAAUCAUUUCGACUCGCUAGCAGAGCAUCCUUCAAGACUCAUGAAGUCUUUUUUGUCAUUUCCAUGGACUGAAAUCUGUAGUAGCAUGCUACAUUGGGGCAUAUUCCCCCCUCAUCAUCUCUAUUCAUCUUCAGUCUCGGCGUUCAGAGCCACCGUUUCUUCACAAUUUGGCGUUCAGAGCUAUAUCUUCAGUUUGGUGUUCCAGGUCACGCAUUCUUUUUAGCGUUCAGAGCCAUCAUCAUGUUCACAGUUUGGCGUUUAGAGUCACUAUCUCUUCUUAGUUUUGGUGUUCAGAGUCGCAUCUUCAUUUUGGCAUUUAGAGCCGUUAUUUCUGUUCAGCAUUCAUAGUUACUAUUUUUAGUUUGGUGUUCAGAGCCACCGUUUCUUCGUAUUUUGGCGUUUAGAGCCAUAUCUUCAGUUUGGCGUUCAAAGUCACACUUUCAUUUUGACGUUCAAAGCCAUCGUCAUCUUCUCAAUUUGGGUGUUCAGAGCCACCAUCUCUUCUUAGUUUGGGUGUUCAGAGCCACCAUCUUUUCUCAGUUUGGGUGUUCAGAGCCACCAUCUUUUCUCAGUUUGGGUGUUCAGAGCCACCAUCUUUUCUCAGUUUGGGUGUUCAGAGCCACCAUCUUUUCUCAAUUUCGGCGUUCAAAGCCACCAUCUUCUCAGUUUUGACAUUCAGAGCCACCAUCUUCUUAGUUUAGGCGUUCAAAGCCAUCAUCUUCUCAGUUUGAGCGUUCAGAGCUACCAUUUUCUCAGUUUUGACGUUCAAAGCCACCAUAUCUUCUCAGUUUCGGAAUUUUAAAGCCACCAUCUUCUCAGUUUCGGCGUUCAAAGCCAUCAUCUUCUCAAUUUGGGCGUUCAGAGCCACCAUUUCUUCUAAGUUUCGGCGUUUAGAGCCACCAUAUUCUCAGUUUCGGCGUUCAGAGCCACCAUCUUCUCAGUUUGGGCAUUCAAAGCCACCAUCUCUUCUCAGUUUGAGCGUUCAGAGCCACCAUCUUCUCAGUUAAAGCAUUCAGAGCCACCAUCUCUUCUCAGUAUGGGCAUUUAGAGCCACCAUUUCUUCUUAGUUUGGGCGUUCAGAGCCACUAUCUCUUCUCAGUUUCGGCAUUUAGAGCCACCAUCUCUUCUCAAUUUGGGUGUUUAGAGCCACUAUCUAUUCUCAAUUUGGGCGUUCAUAGCCACCAUCUCUUCUCAGUCUUGGUGUUUAAAGCCACCAUCUUCUUACGACUCAGCCUUCAAAGUCAUCAUUGCUUAUCGGUUACGACGUUCAGAGUCAUCUUCCUCGGUUUUGACGUUCAGAGCCACCAUUUCCUUAUAGCUUGACGAUUAGAGUCAUCAUCGCUUCUCAAUUACGACGUUCAGAGUCGUAUUUCUCAGUUAUGGCGCUCAGAGCCUUCAUCUUCUUCAGUUUGACGUUCAGAGUCGCACCUCUAGCUUGGCAUUUAGAGUUACUAUCUCUUUACAAUUUUGCUUUCAGAGCCAUCAUCCUAUUGCGAUCGGGCAUUCGUUGCCACUUUUUCGACAUUCAGAGCCACCAUCUUUUCUCAAUUAUGGCAUUCAAAACCAUCAUCUCUUUACAACUUGGCGUUUAGAGUCAUCGUCCUUCUCAAUCAUGGCAUUUAGAGCCACAUUUCAGGCAUUCGAAGUCAUGAUUUUCUAAAGCUUAUCAUCCUCCCUUGUGCAUGAUAUAGCUCUUUGAGCUUAUAGCUUAUGUUUUGAUUGUAUCAUUGGUGCCCCUCACUUCGCGCUCUUGUAUGGUGCAUGUAUAGUUUCCCUUUUAUAUAUGUUCCUCUCUAUGCUCCUAGAUGGUUUGACUACUACUCAACUUUGACUUCGAUCUUUGAAUCACUUUUGGUGACAUCUUAGAGGGAGUCUAGAUCCUUAGCGCGGCUUCAAAGGCACUUUGAGAGAUCCAUUUUUCUCUUAGGAUUUUAAAGCUCUUUUUACUCCUCUGAUGGUUUGGGUGAGUUUGUGUUUUACUUGUGUACCUUUAGGGAUCUUUCUUUGUCUUCGGUAGAGUUCACUUCAUUUCACUCUCUAUUCACACUUUUUUUUCACUUUAGUGUUUACAUUCAUUACACUCGUGAGCUCUACCGAAGAGGGGCAUAUUUGUAGACCCCUUUGUGGACACCAUCCGAGAGAGUGGUUUUUCUUUCAUUUUUUUGAAAUGGGGGGACCCCUUUCUGCCAAGAACAAGCUGCAUGGACAUGUGGCCAAGAGCAUGGCUCACCAUGGUGGUGGUUGAUGGUGAUGACAUCCUCCCGGGACAAGGAGCAGUAAAGUGGUUGGUGGCUUGCGGGAGAAGACAGAAAUGGGGGCAGGCAAGCAAGCUGCGAGGGGGUAGGUGAUUUUGGGGUUGCUGGUUUUGGGGAGAUACACUGGAAAAUGCUUUCUUUGGCUGGGGAGUCUUUGUUCUAGGGAGGAGGAAUUCUUUGGCCAGGCAAGAACUGUGAAAGAGCUCUCAGGUAAGUUUACUGGGUAUCUCUUGUUCACAUUUACUAUCACCGUUCUUUCAUUUUCCCCCUUCGCUAUUUGGGGUUUUGUUUGUUUGUUUGGUUAUGGAUAACAGGAGUUAUGCAUGAGUUUUGUUAAUUUCCAGUUUGUUCAUAUACCCAUUGAUCGCUUCAUUCACUAUCCUUCUUAAUAUUGGUUUAAACCCAAUGAAGUUCUGUUUCAUUUUGCUCUAUGUGAAGAUAUUGCUUGUUAUUUUCUCGUUUGGACCUGUUGGUACCCUUCCCACCCAUCCAAGCCCGUUGAAAGAGCAUUAGAUAUGGUUUUUCUUAAUUCACACACACACAUAUAUAUAUAUAUAUAUAUAUAUUUGUUUACUUUUCCUGGCUCUCCUUUGUUCUAGUCUAUAUUUUCUUUUUCCCGUUUUUUUUAUGCACUCGAUCCAGAAUGUCGGUUGAUUGAGUGUCGGUCAGAGGAAUUGGUUUUGGGCUUGUUCUAGAGAAAUGCGCUGGUAAAUAUACAUGCACAAUGUGGAAAAGGUGAAGUUGUUAAUACCUUAUCCAUUUGUUUUUCCGGGCACACGAAUGUUGGUCAAGUAGCCGAAAGAUUAAGAUGAGGCUUUCUCCCAUCACCAUUCCAGCUGAUUCAGUUGUGACUGUUGGUAUUGUGCCCUAUUCCGGGGUCCGUUCAAAAGUGUCUUCGGCUAAGGUUGUGCAAGCUAAAUCAGUUGAUGCUUAAUAUGCUUAGGAAUACUACUUGUGCGUUUUUCAAAUUUUAUGCAAAGGUGACAAGCCAAACAUCAGUGGAAAUGAUGCAUGACUCCUCCAAUAGAUCAGUUCAUACAAUUUUCAGGUGUGGGAAUAUAUGCUAGCAACGUUCUUGAAGUCACUAAUUGGUUCCCAUUUCCAACCCUAGAAGAGAAUGGUGAGACUGAAACAUCAUGUGGUCCCGACAUUUCAUCAUAUAUAAUUCCUUCAUACCCAUAUUCCCACUACCUUCCAUCCUCUAAGCCUCAUUCAUACCCAUAUCACUACUUCAUCUACCCGUAUUCUCAUAUUUCCAUCUCGUCACCAUAUUUUCUCUCUUUACACCACGUGCAUGUCCAUUACCACUCAUGCAUAUCACCACCCUCCUAUGCCCACCUUGCCCAUUCUUUCUUACCACCUUUCUCUUUUUACACCACAUGCCUCCCAAACCCACUACUCGUAUUUCACGCUUCAUCCCAUCUCAUCCCAUAUCCCUCCCAUGGAUAUCAUCACUUUCACAUACCCAUCACUACAUUUCUCUCUCUACACCACACCAUGUUCCCACUUUUUUUUUUUAAUAUGUCACUAGAUCCAUUUCUUCCCACUUUGCAUGGUCAUGCAUGGCCACACUAUGUCACUUCCACACUCAUACCCGUUCCAUACCCACAUCUUCCUAUCUGUAUUCCUACCCUUUUUUAAAAAAAAAAAAAAAAAUCCACUCACUCGUUUCUCUCACUACCACUACCCUUCAUUACUCAUCCCUACCCAUGGCAACCCAUACUCUCCUCACUCAUCUAUUACACCCACUGUCAAUAGCUCUCUUCAUCACCAUACCUAUUUUUUCCACUCUUUCUAAAUCCAUUGGACUCUCUCAUCUCACCACCCUCCAUCAUCCGUUCCAUCAAUAACCUCCCCGAAGACCAAGAAGAUUUUGCAACUUCUGCGCUUGAGAUAGAUAUUUAACAGUGUCUUCCUGAAAGUGAACAAGGAAACAACGAAUAUGUUGCACAAGGUUGAGCCUUACGAGACAUGCGGGUAUCCCAAUUCAAAGAGUGUUAAGGAAUUGGUUCACAAGCCAGGGUGCCUACCCGCUACAGUGAAACGCUUGGCUUUCAUAGUCUGCAUCGCGAGACAAUCAUGAAGCAUCAGUAUUGUUUGCAUUAGAGCGGGGUAUACCUUCCAUAGUUGGUACUCUUGGAAGUAUGUCUAUGGGAUGAAGCUGAUAUAUUAUCUGUUUUAUUUGAUAAUGGAUGAAAUCAUGGUGACUUUGUGGUCUAUAUCAUCCAGAAGUUCUCUCAAGAGAUAUAGCCGUCAUGUGAAGAUUCUUUUUCCUCACACGGUUACGCUGCUAAGAAGGAUUUCUCAUGCUUUGAAGGUCAUCAUGAAUCGAAAGACUCAAGAAGAAGGGUUAGCAUUGGUUCGUACUCAUCAGAUGCCUAGAAACAAGUGGGCAGAGUUGACAAAACUCUCGUCGAGAAGAACAGACAAUGCAAUAAAAGACCACUAGGACAGUUAUGUAAAGAAGAAGUUGGACUCUCAUAUAGCAUCAGAUUCACUUGCACAGUCCCAAGGCCAGCCUCUUGUUGGUCACUGAAACUGAUCGAUCCAUUCAUCUUCUUCAAAUAUGUAAUAGAGUAGUGGAGGUGAUGGCGGAGCCAAAGGUGGGAUAGAAGCAGAGGAAAUUUCAGAAUAUAGUCAAGGUUCAAUUGCGGAUUUUCUGGAAGCGUGAGGCACCAGUUUAAUUCAAAUGGGCAACCCACUCCUUCUUUUGAGCUGGGACAAGCAUCAUCAGGUUUAUCAUCGCAUUUUAAAGGUGGCAGAGGAAACCAGGGCACAGUUUCUGUCCCGUUCAUGAACUUCUGUAGGGUUGAGUGAUUCCUCUUCCACGGGAAAUAUAGGUGUGGACUCUGAUAUACCUGAGCAUUUACUGAUAUCUGAAGGCGACUGUUGUGGGUUCAGAUUCCAAGAGGAACUCCAGCUUCACAGUCAUAUUACUCCCUAAGGAUGACAGCGGCAAGCAUCACUAGCACCAAUAGGGUAGUCACAAUCGCACCCAAGGCCCAUGUGUAUUAUGGCCAACCUCCCAGACCCAUUUUCAAGGCCCACGUGCUUCUUUCCUUCACCUUAAAAAAAAAAACAAAAAAUGAUGAUUUUCUGAAAAUCCAAUUUCCAAAUAAUUCAACUCUCUAUUCUUUCAUCUCUAGAAUUUUUGGGUCCUAAAUUCCAUUUCCCAAUUUCCAUAUUUAUUUAUUUAAUAAGUAUUAUUUUUGUUAUUAUUAUUAUUAUUAUUCUAUUUAUUUAUUCAUUUAUUAUAAAAUUCCACCUUUAAAUAAUUUUCCAAAAUUCCGACUUCUGGAUUUAAAGUUCCAAUUUAAAAAAUCUCAAUAUUCACAUUCAUUUAUUUAAUUAUCAUUUUUGUUUUUAUUAUUAUUCUUUUUAUUUAUUUAUUCAUUUAUCAAUUCUUCAAAAUUUCGACUUUCAAAUAUAAUUUCUGAUUUUUCAUAAUUUCACUAUUCACAUUCAUUUAUUUAAUUAUUAUUUUUGUUAAUAUUAUCAUCAUUCCAUUUAUUUAUUUAUUUUAAAAUUUCAUCUAUUAACAAUUCUUCAAAAUUCCAGUUUCCGAAUUUAAUUUCCAAUUUCAAAUUUUCCACUAUUCACGUUCAUUUAUUUAAUUACUAUUUUCGUUACUAUUAUUAUUACUCCGUUUAUUUAUUUAUUUAUUCAUUUUAAAAUUUCAUCUUUUAACAAUUCUUCAAAAUUCCGGUUUCGAAUUUAAUUUCCAAUUUAAAAAAUUCCACUAUUCACAUUAAUUUAUUUAAUUAUUAUUUUCGUUAAUAUUAUUAUCAUUCCAUUUAUUUAUUUUAUUUAUUCAUUUUAAAAUUCCAUCUUUUAACAAAUUCUUCAAAUUCCAAUUUUCAAAUUUAAUUUUCAAUUUCCAAAAUUCAUUUUUUCACAUUUAUUUAUUUAAUCAUUAUUAUUUUCGUUAUUGUUAUUAUUUUAUUUAUUUUAAUUAUUUAUUUUUGAAAAUUCCAUUUUUAAAUAAUUCUUUAGAAUUCCAAUUUUUGAACUUAACUUCCAAAAUUUCAAUUCUUAAAUUUAAUUCCCAAUACUCCAAUUUCCAAAUAAUUUUCAAGACUCCAAUUUUCAAAUAAAUUUCAAAAAUCCAGUUUUCACUCGAACAAUUUUAAUUUCAUUCCGAUUCUCAAAUAAUCUAUUGUUUAUCUUGAUUUUACAUAAGUAUGAAUGCAAUUUUUCAUAAUUCCACAAUAAUGGAAUUUGCGAAACUAAUUCGUGCAAGAUAGAUUGGAUUUUGGUGGGAGGCCCAACAUUGGUGUUUUUUUCCUCUAAAAAUAAAUUUAAUUGAAUUGAAUUGUGAUAUCUAUUGAUUUCUCACUCUGUUUAGUGGCAUAUGUGACAUAGUCUGUUUUUGUUAAUUCUGCACUAAUCUCAUUUCUUGAUAGCACAUUGUGGCUCAUGGCCCAAGUACGCAUCCGCUCCCAUUCUAGUCAUUCUCCAUGCAUAUUCUGAUUCUCAUAUGUGCAUGAUCGAUUUGAGUACCCAUUGAUUUCCUUAUUGAUUGCCACAUCAACUUCCUUUUAUCAGUAGAGACCUGACUUUAGGGACUUAUAUGGGUGCUACGGUCCUUACUAUACAUUCCCGAUAAGUAAUCUGACCUCCGAGUCUGAUCCGGUUUUUCAAAAAUCACUUUUUUCAAAAUAAGGAGUUACACUUAGGGUUUUCUUUCUUAUUUUGUAUACCCUUUUGAUUACUACUCAAAAAGUGCUAUUUGAUAGCUUGUAAUUAACUCUUUUAAACACUUUUGAGUAGUAGUUAUUGCCUUUUAACCCAAUUAACAUGUUAAGGACCCUUGCAAUCAAUUCUAAUCAAAUUGUGUUAAGUUUUGGUGUUUUUGUUAGUAAUUUGAUCACCAAAACAAUCCAAGAUUGAGGAGAGUUAUUUGGAAUCCAUGGCAAAGCUUUUGGAAGCUCAAAUUUAUGAAGAACCAAGCUUUGGAGCUCCAUAGCCCUUUGCCAAAGUCGUUCAAAGUAUGCAAGGAGAGAAGCAAGGAGAAGAGGAAAACAGAGUGAAGAAAACAGAGGACAAGAAGCUGCAGUCUUCAUGCGCACUUUUGGAGCACUUCCCGAAGUCCAUUUUCUACAUUCUAUAUACCAUUUCAAAGCUCAGGAAGUCAAGAAUCCAAUGCUUCAAACGGUGCGUGAUUCGGAGUUGAAACGAAGAAGUUACAGCCAUUGCAAGCAGAUCACUCCAAAGUGUUGCGAAAUCAGCCUUUUGUUGCGAGAAUUUCGCAGCCUUUUUGUACAGUGCUAUGGAAUUCCUCCUGAAGCUACCCGAUACAUGCCGCAAGCUGGAACGCUGAGAACCUCAAGGUGGAAGCCAAUUUCGCAGCCCUGCGAGUUUAACUUGUUGUUGCGAAAAUAUUUCGCAGCCCUCUUGGGUGUCUGCGAAAUCUCGCAGACACCAUUUUCACCUGCGAAAUGGUUCCUGAAGCUUCCCGAUAUUUUCCACCGACUCUUUUGGAUAUUUUUCUUCAGAUAUUUUUGUAUAAAUUUCCAUUUUCUCCUUGUAUUCAGCCACUCAUGUAAUUCCUUAGCUAGGAAGUGUCCAAGGAAGGGUAAAUUACCUUCCUAUAUAAACUCUCUUGCAUCCACUGUAAAAAAAACGCUCGGAGAAGUAUGUAAUAUAGAAACAAUAUAUAGAAUCAACGAACAGAGCACUUGCUCUGUUUUUUCAUAUAUAUUCUUGUCUUCUCCUUCAUUUUCAUUUUCUAGCCAACCAAACUCUGAGGAUUUUUCCACAGAGGAUGAGAGGCUAAGCUUUUUGUCUCUUGGAGUAAGGAAAGCCGGGUAAGUUUCCACAUGCAUAAUUUGGAAGUUUUGUUGUUUUAGUUUUAAUGAAGAGAAAGUGUAACCCGUUAAUGGUUUUUAUCUUUUUAGUUAACUUAAAACACCUUAGAGUCACCUGAGCCAACACUUGGUAAGGCAAGUGAUUUCUAUCCAUGGAAAUGCACUAGUUUACCCCUUGCGAGCCUUUGGGAGGUGACUUGAAGGUAGGAUUUUCUAGAAUAGCCAACACUUGGUAAGCUUUUGGACUCCAAGGAGACAUCCAUUAGUUAUCUCUUGCGAGCUUUUGACGGGUAAUCCAAGGUUAAAGAUCUCCUUGAAUGGCAAGUGCUAGGUGAGAGGUAUGAGCCAUUGCAAGAUGCAUCAGUGAGAGGGAUUUAGUGUUUGAACCCAUUAAUGGGAAGCAUCUGUACAACACCGGUUGGAGAAGGAACUAUAUGUUAAUUCUCUAAUGCGAGGAAAAGAAACAAGUGACCGGAACUCCCUUUUUGUAUGAGGAAUCUGAGCCUAGUGAUCUGAAAUUCCAAGAAACACUUUUCUUUGUAAGUAAAAUCAGUUACUAUUUUUGGUUAGCUUAAAACCAAUCCUUUUUCAUUCAAAAAUCUUUAUGUUUUCUUUUAAAGCUAACCUUGAAAUGAAAAGGCACCAAUUCAGCUUUAAAUUAAUAUCAUUUGCAAAGUGAAAACCCAUCCCAGUGAACGAUCCUAGAGCCACUAUACUAUAGUAGUUUUGUCUUUGCUACCCUAGUAUAUGGUGUAAUAGGUUAUAAAUUUUGUUGAUUACUCCCUCAAUCAAGGAGCACCAGCUGUACACGAAUCAGCUGAGACAUCAAUUGGGCACGAAUCAAAUGGCGCCGCUGCCGGGGAUCGAACCCCGAAUCAAAUGGUGCCAUUGCCACUGCCGCUGCUAGGGACGAAUCAUUAAAAACAAAACAAAAAUAAGUGGCGAUUCCAAGUCAUUUCUAAAAAAAAAAAUCAUAUUUUUCAUUAAAUAAAUAAAAAACGAAUUUGCCAUCGAGUGAGAACGCAUUGAGCAAAAAUGCGAGGUCCACAUAUUGUUAUUUUUAUUUAUAAAGAAUCGAAAUUUACUUUAUCAUUUAUUAAUUGGCAUGAAAUGUUUUGACUUGCCUUGAUUAAUAAGGACUUCCAUGGCUUACCUGAUAGAGUUGGGCCCUUAACGUUAUCCACUCUGCAAUGUAUCAUGCCCUUCCAAAGCUUAAUCAAGUCAACGGCUAAGGUGUAAUUUCAUGCAUUAAAUUAUUUUAAAAAAUGUUUAAUACUGCAGUCAAGCUCGUACUACAUAUACUCUAAAAUCAACAAUGUAAUUUUCUGCACUGAGCAAUUUCAUAAAAAUGGUUUUUGAGUAAAAGAGAUUUGGAUUUUGGCCUAUGGCCUAUGGACUUUCAAAACAGGGGGUUACUCCUUGCAUUAGCUUUGUCAGGAGCACAAACCUGACAAAGAAAGCAAUUGGCAACAUGUUGAAUUUAAGCCACAAGCAUAGAGAAUCUUCAAACUUUGCAGCCUCCCCAGGUUUUGUGGCAACUUGUGGAGUUUUGAACACUCACUGACAUUGAGAACUUCAAGAAAGCAUAAAUUACAAGUGCUUCCUGGAAGAGUCACAAGGUUUUGGCAUCUGUCCAGAUUCAAAAGUUCAAGCCUAUUCAAAUGUUCGAUUGAUGAUGGUAGCUCUUUUAUAGCCGUUCCGUUCAAGUGAAGCUCCCUUAAGUUUUCCAUAUUCUCCAAGAUUUCUGGAAAGUACUGUAAUUGUGAACAGUCAGAGCCAAAGAGAGAUUUUAGGGAUUUGAACUCCCGAAUGCUUGUUGGCAGACUCUCAAGGUUUUUGCACUCUCGCAAACAUAAGGUAUCAAAUUCAGAGGCAUGCUCAAUGGGUAGUAGGUUGAUUGUCUGACCCUUUAAACAAAGCUUUCGGUGUUCCACGUUCCUCUGACAUUCCACGCAGCUAGCAUCCACAUCCUCAGUCUGUACUAUUGGAUCUUGGGAGUAUAUAGGUUGAAGCCCACACUUGAGCACCUUAAAAUGAUUGCGAGAGCCCAUAAAUAGAGCCCCAAGAAACAUGGAUGGAUUGGUGUGACAGCUCUCCAGAAUAGCAGCCUUGGGAUAGAAUAUCACCCACAUUUGUUCUGAUGCACCUCCAUCAUGGUAGCAUUUACAAGUAGUGCGAAAACUGAGAGGUUGCACACACAGGGGAGAAAAUCCAUAUCCAUCAUGCAAUGACAAUUGACAUUCUAACUCAGUGGAGAUUGAAGAUUCAGCUUCAAAUAAAUCGUCAGAUUCAUUCAGGGCUUCGUCACCAGAUUCAUUCUCCGAAAAUGUAUGUGCAAAAUCAUUUUCUGGUAUGUCCUCACAUUCAUCGAGUGGAGCAUAAACACAGCAUAUAGCAAUUCCCAAGAAGUCAUUAUUUUCAUAACAACUCUGAGGAAGGUCCAUUGUGAUCUGAUAUCCCUCUCUCUGUUUCCUUAUCCACUUGGGAAUUCCACUGCUUCCCGGAACAACAAUACAGAUUCCAUGGCCAAUGAAGUCAGAAUCAGGGAGAAAUACUUCAUUUGAACUGCUCUUGUAUUUCAAAUCCUGUACAAAGGGACAAUGUAAAUCCAGUGGGUCUGUGCCAUUAUGUGAGUUUUUAUGAGAGAGUUUGUUAUCGGUUUUUGAUAAAUUGAUUCCCAGUUUUAACUUUCUUUGAUCUAUGCUCCUGAAUCUACUUAAUAUCCCUUUUAGAUGACGGAUAAUCAAUCAACAUGAAAGUGAGUGACAAGAUUAAGUGUGAAAACUGGAAGUGAGGGGAAACUGAAACUGAAAGUGAGUAGAAUAAGCAGAUCUGUUCUUCACUUGCAGUAGCUUCUUCUCCAUUCAGAUUCAGAGAUCUUAGAAUUGUAGCUUCAACUUAACUCUCAGAAUCUUAAAGACAAAGUUCGCUCAAGUUUCAAAAACUCACAGAAAAGUUUCUCCUCAUGUUUCUUUUAAUCCCAUGAGGCGACAGACAUGUAGCACACACUUACUGGCUUUUUGCCAUGCAAGUUUCAAGGUGGAGUGUCCAAUGAACUAAAACAUUCCCUCAAAUCCUAGUGGAAAUUCACACUAUAAAUUUCAGAAUUUGCUAAAGAAAAGUUUAAUUAAUUUUACCCAUGACUAAAAAGGCAUGUGAGGGCAUUUUAACAGCCUAUUAAUUAUUAUAUUAAACUACUAUUCUCAUUACUCAAACUCAUGAUCCUUCACAUCAUCACCACAUUUUGAAGAGACUUUCGUCAACUCUUCUAUGAAUGAAUUGAUGUUUAAGGAGGCAUAAUAAACUUUUAAUUGAAUUUAACAUUAUUUCUAUCCUUAUACUCAUCUUAAAUUAUUAUUUUUUUAUAUUCUUAUCAAAAUAAAUAAAAACUUAACAAAAAAAAUAAAGAUUUCAAAACAAACUUUAUUAGCAACACUUAUUUACAUCAUUCUUUAAAAAAAUAUUCAAAAACAAAUUUUUUUACAAUUAAAAAAAUGUGAUUUAAAAUUUAUAAAGAACAAAAUUUUUAGAAAAAUAUGGUAGUUGUUUGAAAUAAAAUAAAAGGGAAAUCAAAAUUCUUAGUAAAUGAAUAGUCAAAAAAACUGUAACAGAUAUGCAAAUGAGAAAAAAAAUAAUCAAUGUCAAGAAUGAGAAACAAUUUUUUCUUUUUUCUUUUCUUAUUUUAUGCAUUCAUUACCAUUUUUAAAUUAAUAAAUAAAGUUUUUCUCACAAAAUUUUAAAAUGGCAUGUAUGCUUCAAAAUUUAUAUAUUGUUAUUAGAUUUUUAUAAAUUUCAUUUAUAUCCUCAAAAUUAGAAUCAUUAAACUCACAUUUUAAAAUAAGAUAUCAAAUAGUUAUUUUUUCAUCCUUUAGCAAUAUCAAACGUUUUUUGUACUUUAAUAAAAAAAAAAAAAGCUAUUUUUUCUAAUUAAUGACUAUUUUGCAUAAUAUUUGUAUAAAUUAUUUAAUAUAUAAAUAUUACUUAUUUAAUAGUUUUUUUUUAAUUUCUUAUAGAAAGAGUAGUGCAUACAUAAUUCAAACAAAAGGUAAUUUUAUAUUGCAAAAAAGUUUGUGGAAAAAGGAAAUUUGAACAAGGAUUGAAAUUUAUAGAACCAUAUUGGACACCUAGUUCUAGGUUUGUCCCUUUCCAACAAUCAUGACUUGGUAGUAGCCUAAUCUCAAAUCUAACUUUGUCAGGCCCUUCCUUUACUAAGUCGAUCAAACAAGUUGUUAACAAACAGAAUAAGAUAUUUUUUCUUUUCACCUUGUUGAGUCUUCGAUAAUCUAUACACAUUCAGAGGGAUCCAUUAUGUUUCUUUUAGAAUAAUAUUGAUGUGGCAUAUGAAGCUUUAGUUGGUUGGAUGUAUCCCAUGUUAUGCAACUUCUUAAGUUGUUUCCUUUGUUCUUCUAAAUUAGGUAGUAUCAUCCUAUGGGACCUCCAUGGCAAGGGGCUUAGCUCCUGGCUCUAAGUCAAUCUUGUGCUCCCCUUCCCUUAUUUGUGUGAGUUUCUUAUGUAAUUUUAAUGACAUCUAAGGAUGGCAAAGUUUGAUACAAUUUUUCAACCAAACUUGAAGAAGCGUUAUUAGUGGGUUUGGAAAGUUCUAAUCUAUUUUACUUUUUAAAACAAAGUAAAAUAGAGAACAAUUUUUAAAGAACAAUUAGGAGUUGUUUUUACCAAUUUUUAAAAAACAAAAAAUAUAUAAACUCAUUUGACUAUAUUCUUUUAAACUUGUUUUUAAAUUAAAGAAUAAAAAAUAAUUUUUUAAAAUAAGUUUCAAAAAAUAUGACCAAGUCGGGGUUUAUAAUAUUAAAGAGGAAAAAAGUUAAUUUAAGAUUUUGCAUGCAGGUAAACAUCAGGCUGUAAAACUGGUUUACUAAGACACUCAUUUUAUUUAUAUAUUCUUCUAUGUGCAUGCAUUGACCAUGUGGUUAAGAUGUGUUGCACCGAAAUCUAAUGAUUAGCUGUAAAACGUUAAUUAAUCCGAGCAUACAUUUUUCUUUAUUUGUUUUGGUUUCUUUACAAGAAUGCUUCUUUAUGUAUUCUUGUUGAACCUAUAAAAUAUCAUCCAUAGACAUUCUUUUUGAAUAAUUAAGAACCGAGAUUUCUAAUUGGUUGGUUAUUAUUUUUAUCUGUAAGGAAUCGAAAUUUAGCUCAUCAUUUAUCGUAUGAAUAUCAUAUAGAUUUGAAAAGAAUUUCACACUUAGAAAUGUACCUCUCAGAACAUUUGAAGUUAAGAUGUUUUUGUCUUCUUCAAUUUGAUUGCUCAUUACGACUUUGAGAUUCAAAUUCCUUUUGAUGUAAAAAACAAACUUAAAUAAAUAAAAAGAAUUAAAAGAUAAGCAGAGCAAAAAAUUAAAUAGUGUGAGUUGGAAUGAAUAAAGUUUUAAUCAAAAUUGGAAAUUAAGGUGAAACAUCCUAAAUUAUAUACAAAAGCUCAUAUAAUAUUACACCAUAAUUUCUCUAAAUUAAUCUUAACCUUUUAGUGCAGUGUGUACAGUCAUUGCUUGUUUGUGGAUUAGAAUUAGUAUCUUCUGCUGCUGAUCUGGUAUCACAACUUCUCUGCUCAUCAUUGUACUCUAUCAUUGUCUGAUGGUCGCGCCUGGUGGCUUCUGUGUUGUCACAGCUUCUCCGAGCAUCACUACUGGUAUCUUCUGGGAUGUUUCUGUUUAUAACAUCAGGUGUAUAUAUAAGAUGGAACCCACACUCUUUCACUUCGACUGGUGUACCGUCCAAGCUAUGAAAUGAAGCCUUCAAACGUCUCCAUUCGUUCGACCAAUACUGGUUGCCAAUAACAACCUUGGGAUAAUAAGUCACACACAUUUGACUUGAUUCACCGCAAAUUCGGCAGCAAUAAGACCGGACAUCAUCCACGUGACAGCAUUCAGAUUGAUCACCACAGAUAUUGAGUUCGCAAUUCAACCAACCACAAGCCAUAGGAAUAAAAACAGAGUAUAAAGCAAAUCCUAAGAAGCCAUCUUUUCUGUACAAAUCCGUAGAAAGCUCUAUUGUUAUUUGAGAUCCUUUUUUUGGCUGGCUUAUCCACUCUGGAAUUCCAUCAUUUCCCGAAAUAACAACUCUGAUUGCCUUGUUCCAAUAGGAGCCGCAUUCAAAUUCCUGCACAGAAGUACAGUGUUAAUACUCUGUUCAUAAGGAAAAAGGGCUGAAUGUUAUGAAAAUCAUACCUCAAUCAUUGAUUUGAAGCAUUUGAACAGAGAAAAACCAAGUUGACUUGAUGGACUUGAUAAAGUUUCCAAGCAUGUGCAACUGUGGACAUCUAGAACUCGUAAACUUGGUGGAAACUCUGGAACUUGUAGAAGCCCCUGGCAGUGACUCAAUUCAAGGACUCUCAGUUUAGAAAGUUGAAUGAUGCCUGCAAGUAUGCUACUAAAACAGUCCUUGCUUAGAUUUAGACCUGAAGCGUACAAACCCUCUAAACAUUGCAAACUCCUCAGGUUCUCGGGAAAUCUCUCAAGUUUUGUACAGAAACUGACAUUUAGAAUUUUGAGAGUUUUCAAAUUACAAAAGGCCUCUGGAAGACUCACAAGGUAUUGCGAGAUUCAAAUAUUGAAGCCCUCUUAGAUAUUGAAUUGAUGCUGGUAGUUCUUCGAUAGCAGUUCCAUCUAAAUGAAGCUCUCUUAUAUUUUCCACAUCCUCGAGGAUUUCCGGAAAGCUCCUUAAUCGUGAACAGCCUGAGCAGAAGAGAGUUGUAAGGGAUUUCAACUCACAUAUGCUACUGGGAAGAAGCUCAAGGUUUUUGCAUUCUCGCAAACAUAACCUAUUAAGUUUAUGGGGACACUCAACAGUGGGUAGUUCAUUGAUGGCAUUUCACUUUAAACAAAGCUUCCAUAGGGAUUGCACAUCCUCUUGACAUUCCCGGCAAACGGUGGAUAUCAUUGCUUUACCAUGGUUCUGUUCAUGAUCAUGGGCAUAUAUAAGAUGGAUCCCACACUCUUCUACUUUCACUGCUUUACCUCUCAAGUAGCCACAAAAUGAAGCCGUCAACUGCCUCCAUUUAUUUGAGUGGUACUUCUCCUCAAUCUCAUGCUUAGGAUAAUAAAUCAUCCACAUACAAGGUACAACAUAGACGUGAAAUGAGGGAUAAAACUGGAGUUUAUCCACAAACUGAAUUUCAUGACCACGCAAAGUUAAACCAUACUCGAAGUAAGUUGCACCAUUCUCCAGUGUCUCCUCAGAUUCAUUAUCCAGUGGAUAAUAGACACAGUACAAAACAAAACCCAACAAGUCGUCAUUUUUAUACCAAUUUUGAGGAAGCUUUGCUACUACUUCAGCUCCCUUUUUGUGAUGGCUUAUCCAAUCUGGAAUUCCACAACUUUCUGAAAUAAUAAGAUUUACUCGGGCAAAAGGUUUUUCUAAAGGAUAAAUCUUGCAUUCCAAAUCCUGCAGAAAAUUUAAUUAACACUUAAAUCCCCAUGUCUCCACAAAAAAAGUUUUGGUCUAUGAAUAUCAUACCUGAAUCAAUGAUUUGAAGCAGUUGAAUAGAGAAGACCAGAGUAGACCUGAAGAAGUUUCCAGCCGUUUGCACAAAUGUAUAUCUAAGACACGCAAACUGGAUGGAAGUGCUGGAAUUUGUCGAAGCUCUUGACAGUUACCCAAGACAAGGAGUCUCAGCCUAGAAAGUUGAUUGAUCCCAGCAGGUAUGCUCCUAAAAAGAUUCCCGAAUAGAAAUAAUUCUUGCAGAGAUGAUAGCUGGCAAAUUUCAGUGGGGAUUCCUCCUUCAUCUAUACCACACACACGUAGAUCUACAACUUCCAAGGAGUACAAGCAGCAAAUAUCACUCAGGACUACUCCUUGCAUUAGCUUUGAGUAAAUAAGAUCUAACUCCUUUAAGGAGCAUAAACCUGACAAAGAAAGCAAUUGGCAACAUCUUGAAUUUAAGCCCCUAGCACGGAGACACUUCAAGCUUUGCAGCCUCCCCAGGUUUUGUGGCAAUUUGUGGAGUUUUGAACAGUAAUUCACAUUGAGAUCUUCAAGAAAGCGUAAAUUACAAAUGCUUUCUGGAAGAGUCACAAGGUUUUUGCACCUCUCAAGAUUCAAAACUUGAAGCCUAUUCAAAUGUUCGAUUGAAGAUGGUAGCUCUUUUAUGGCCGUUCCGUUCAAGUGAAGCUGCCUUAAGUUUUCCAUAUUCUCCAAGAUUUCUGGGAAGUACUGUAAUUGUGAACAGUCAGAGCAAAAGAGAGAUUUUAGGGAUUUGAACUCCCAAAUGCUUGUUGGUAGACUCUCAAGGUUUUUGCACUCUCGCAAACAUAAGGUAUCAAAUUCAGAGGCACACUCAAUGGGUGGUAGGCUGAUUGUCUGACCCUUUAAACAAAGCUUUCGGUGUUCCACAUUCCUCUGACAUUCAGCGCAGCUAGCAUCCACAUCAUCAGUCUGUACUAUUGGAUCUUGGGCGUAUAUAGGUUCAAGCCCACACUUGAGCACCUUAAAAUGAUUGCGACAGCCCAUAAAUAUAGCCCCAAGAAACAUGGAUGGAUUGGUGUGACAGCUCUCCAGAAUAGCAGCCUUGGGAUAGAAUAUCACCCACAUUUGUUCUGAUCCACCUCCAUCAUGGUAGCAUUUACAAGUAGUGCGAAAACUGAGACGUUGCGCACACAGGGUAGAAAAUCCAUAUCUAUCAUGUAAUGACAAUUUACAUUCUAACCCAGUGGAGAUUGAAGAUUCAGCUUCAAGUAAAUCGUCAUAUUCAUUUAGGGCUUCGUCACCAGAUUCAUUCUCCGAUGUAUGUGCAAAAUCAUUUUCUGGUAUGUCCUCACAUUCAUCGUGUGGAGCAUAAACACAGCAUAUAGCAAUUCCCAAGAAGUCAUUAUUUUCGUAACAAUUCUGAGGAAGGUCCAUUGUGAUAUGAUUUCCCUCUCUCUGAUUCCUUAUCCACUUGGGAAUUCCACAGCUUCCCGGAACAACAAUACAGACUCCAUUGCCAAUGAAGUCAGAAUCACGGAGAAAUACUUCAUUUGAACUGCUCUUGUAUUUCAAAUCCUGUACAAAAGGACAAUGUAAAUCCUGUGGGUCUGUGCCAUUAUGUGAGUUUUUAUGAGAGAGUUUGUUAUCAGUUUUUGAUAAAUUGAUUCCCAGUUUUAACUUUCUUUGAUCUAUGCUCCUGAAUCUACUUAAUAUCCCUUUUAGAUGACGGAUUAUCAAUCAACAUGAAAGUGAGUGACAAGAUUAAGUGUGAAAACUGGAAGUGAGGGGAAACUGAAACUGAAAGUGAGUAGAAUAACCAGAUCUCUUCUUCACUUGCAGUAGCUUCUUCUCCAUUCAGAUACAGAGAUCUUAGAAUUGUAGCUUCAACUUAACUCUCAGAAUCUUAAAGACAAAGUUCGCUCAAGUUUCAAAAACUCACACAAAAAUUUCUCCUCAUGUUUCUCUUAAUCCUAUGAGGCGAGAGACAUGUAGCACACACUUAUUGGCUUUUUUACAUGCAAGUUUCAAGGUGGAGCGUCUAAUGAACUAAAACAUUCCCUCAAAUCCCAGUGGAAAUUCACACUAGAAAUUGCAGAAUUUGCUAAGGAAAAGUUUAAUUCAUUUAAUCCAUGAAUAAAAAAGUAUGUGAGAGCAUUUUAACAUCCUAAUACUUAUUAUAUUAAACUAUAAUUCUCAUUAUUUAAACUCAUGAUCCUUCACUUCAUCACCAAAUUUUGAAGACACUUUUGGCAUCUCUUCCAUGAAUUAAUUGAUGUUUAAGAAGGUAUAAUAAACUUUUAAUUGAAUUUAACAUUAUUUCUAUCCUAAUACUCAUCUUAAACUCUGUUUUUUUUUUUUUUAUACUCUUAUCAAAACAAAUAAAAACUUAACAAAAAAAUAAAGAUUUCAAUUACUCCGUGUUCAAAAGGGAAAAUGGCUAAAUGUCAUGAAAAUCAUACCUCAAUAGUUGAUUUAAAGCAUUUGAACAGAGAAACACCAAGUAGACAUGAUGGACUUGAUAAAACUUCCAAGCAUGUGCAACUGUGGACAUCUAGAACUCGUAAACUUGGUGGAAGCUCUGGAACUUGUAGAAGCCCCUGGCAGUGACUCAAUUCAAGGACUCUCAGUUUAGAAAGUUGAAUGAUGCCUGCAAGUAUGCUACUAAAACAGUCCUUGCUUAGAUUUAGACCUGAAGCGUACAAACCCUCUAAACAUUGCAAACUCCUCAGGUUCUCGGGAAAUCUCUCAAGUUUUGUACAGAAACUGACAUUUAGAAUUUUGAGCGUUUUCAACUUACAAAUGGCCUCUGGAAGACUCACAAGGUUGCUGCAAUCUGCAAGAUUCAAAUGUUGAAGCCCUCUUAGAUAUUGAAUUGAUGCUGGUAGUUCUUCUAUAGCAGUUCCAUCUAAAUGAAGCUCUCUUAUAUUUUCCACAUCCUCGAGGAUUUCCGGAAAGCUCCUUAAUCGUGAACAGCCUGAGCAGAAGAGAGUUGUAAGGGAUUUCAACUCACAUAUGCUACUGGGAAGAAGCUCAAGGUUUUUGCAUUCUCGCAAACAUAACCUAUUAAGUUUAUGGGGACACUCAAUAGUGGGUAGUUCAUUGAUGGCAUUUCCCUUUAAACAAAGCUUCCAUAGGGAUUGCACAUCCUCUUGACAUUCCCGGCAAACGGUGGAUAUCAUUGCUUUACCAUGGUUCUGUUCAUGAUCAUGGGCAUAUAUAAGAUGGAUCCCACACUCUUCUACUUUCACUGCUUUACCUCUCAAGUAGCCACAAAAUGAAGCCGUCAACUGCCUCCAUUUAUUUGAGUGGUACUUCUCCCCAAUCUCAUACUUAGGAUAAUAAAUCAUCCACAUAUAAGGUACAACAUUGCCGUAAAAUGAGGGAUAAAACUGGAGUUUAUCCACAAACUGAAUUUCAUGACCACGCAAAGUCAAACCAUACUCGAAGUAAGUUGCAUCAUUCUCCAGUGUCUCCUCAGAUUCAUUAUCAAGUGGAUAAUAGACAGAGUACAAAACAAAACCCAACAAGUCGUCAUUUUUAUACCAAUUUUGAGGAAGCUUUGCUACUACUUCAGCUCCCUUUUUGUGAUGGCUUAUCCAAUUUGGAAUUCCACAACUUUCUGAAAUAAUAAGAUUUACUCGGGCAAAAGGUUUUUCUAAAGGAUAAAUCUUGCAUUCCAAAUCCUGCAGAAAAUUUAAUUAACACGUAAAUCCCCAUGUCUCCACAAAAAAAGUUUUGGUCUAUGAAUAUCAUACCUGAAUCAAUGAUUUGAAGCAGUUGAAUAGAGAAGACCAGAGUAGACCUGAAGAAGUUUCCAGCCGUUUGCACGAUUGUACAUCUAAGACACGCAAACUGGAUGGAAGCACUGGAAUUUGUCGAAGCUCUUGACAGUUACUCAAGACAAGGAGUCUCAGCCUAGAAAGUUGAUUGAUCCCAGCAGGUAUGCUCCUAAAAAGAUUCCCGAUUAGAAGUAAUUCUUGCAGAGAUGAUAGCUGGCAAAUUUCAGUGGGGAUUCCUCCUUCAUCUAUACCGCAGAAAGAUAGAUCUAACACUUCCACGGAGUACAAGCAGCAAAUAUCACUCAGGACUACUCCUUGCAUUAGCUUUGAGUAAAUAAGAUCCAACUCCUUUAAGGAGCAUAAACCUGACAAAGAAAGCAAUUGGCAACAUCUUGAAUUUAAGCCCCUAGCACGGAGACGCUUCAAGCUUUGCAGCCUCCCCAGGUUUUGUGGCAAUUUGUGGAGUUUUGAACAGAAAUUGACAUUGAGAUCCUCAAGAAAGCGUAAAUUACAAAUGCUUUCUGGAAGAGUCACAAGGUUUUUGCACCUCCCCAGAUUCAAAACUUGAAGCCUAUUCAAACGUUCGAUUGAAGAUGGUAGCUCUUUUAUAGCCGUUCCAUUCAAGUGAAGCUGCCUUAAGUUUUCCAUAGUCUCCAAGAUUUCUGGGAAGUACUGUAAUUGUGAACAGUCAGAGCAAAAGAGAGAUUUUAGGGAUUUGAACUCCCAAAUGAUUGUUGGUAGACUCUCAAGGUUUUUGCACUCUCGCAAACAUAAGGUAUCAAAUUCAGAGGCACGCUCAAUGGGUGGUAGGCUGAUUGUCUGACACUUUAAACAAAGCUUUCGGUGUUCCACAUUCCUCUGACAUUCAGCGCAGCUAGCUUCCACAUCCUCAGUCUGUACUAUUGGAUCUUGGGCGUAUAUAGGUUCAAGCCCACACUUGAGCACCUUAAAAUGAUUGCGACAGCCCAUAAAUAUAGCCCCAAGAAAAAUGGAUGGAUUGGUGUGACAGCUCUCCAGAAUAGCAGCCUUGGGAUAGAAUAUCACCCACAUUUGUUCUGAUCCACCUCCAUCAUGGUAGCAUUUACAAGUAGUGCGAAAACUCAGAUGUUGCACACACAGUGUAGAAAAUCCAUAUCUAUCAUGCAAUGACAAUUGACAUUCUAACUCAGUGGAGAUUGAAGAUUCAGCUUCAAGAAAAUCGUCAUAUUCAUUUAGGGCUUCAUCAUCAGAUUCAUUCUCCGAUUUAUGUGCAAAAUCAUUUUCUGGUAUGUCCUCACAUUCAUCAAGUGGAGCAUAAACACAGCAUAUAGCAAUUCCCAAGAAGUCAUUAUUUUCGUAACAAUUCCGAGGAAGGUCCAUUGUGAUCCUAUUUUCCUUUCUCUGAUUCCUUAUCCAGUUGGGAAUUCCACAGCUUCCCGGAACAACAAUACAGAUUCCAUGGCCAAUGAAGUAAGAAUCAGAGAGAAAUACUACGUUUGAACUGCUCUUGUAUUUCAAAUCCUGUACAAAAGGACAAUGUAAAUCCUGUGGGUCUGUGGCAUUAUGUGAGUUUUUAUGAGAUAGUUUGUUGUCAGUUUUUGAUAAAUUGAUUCCCAGUUUUAACUUUCUUUGAUCUAUGCUCCUGAAUCUACUUAAUAUCCCUUUUAGAUGACGGAUUAUCAAUCAACGUGAAAGUGAGUGACAAGAUUAAGUGUGAAAACUGGAAGUGAGGGGAAACUGAAACUGAAAGUGAGUAGAAUAACCAGAUCUCGUCUUCACUUGCAGUAGCUUCUUCUCCAUACAGAUUCAGAGAUCUUAAAAUUGUAGAUUCAACUUAACUCUCAGAAUCUUAAAGACAAAGUUCGCUCAAGUUUCAAAAACUCACAGAAAAAUUUCUCCUCAUGUUUCUCUUAAUCCUAUAAGGCGAGAGACAUGUAGCACAAACUUAUUGGCUUUUUUCCAUGCAAGUUUCAAGGUGGAGCGUCUAAUGAUAUAAAACAUUCCCUCAAAUCCCAGUGGAAAUUCACACUUGAAAUUGCAGAAUUUGCUAAGGGAAACUUUAAUUCAUUUCAUCCAUGAAUAAAAAAGUAUGUGAAGGCAUUUUAACUUCCUAAUAAUUGUUAUGUUAAACUAUAAUUCUCAUUAUUUAAACUCAUGAUCCUUCACUUCAUCACCACAUUUUGAAGAGACUUUUGUCAUCUCUUCCAUGAAUUAAUUGAUGUUUAAGGAGGUAUAAUAAACUUUUAAUUGAAUUUAACAUUAUUUAUAUCGUUAUACUCAUCUUAAACUAUUAUUUUUUUUAUACUCUUAUCAAAAUAAAUUAAAACUUAACAAAAAAAAAAUUAAAGAUUUCAAAACAAACUUUAUAAAUUUAUCAACACUUAUUUACAUCAUUCUUUAAAGAAAUAAAUUUAUAAUUAAAAAAAAAAGAAGUGAUUUAAGAAUUAUAAAGAAGAAAAUUUUAAGAAAAAAUGUACUAGUUAUUUGAAAUAAAAUAUAAGGGAAAUCAAAAUUCUUAGUAAAUGAAUCCUCAAAAAAUUGUAACAGCUAUGCAAAUGAGAAAAAAAAUUAAAAGUAAAAAAAAAUUAUCAAUGUCAAGAAUGAGAAACAAUUUUUUUCUUUUUCUUUUCGUAAGUUUUUUUAUUCUUAUUUAAUGUAUUCAUUACAAUUUUUAAAUUAAUAAAUAAAGUUUUUAUCACAAAAUUUUAAAAUGCCAUGUAUGCUUCAAAAUUUAUAUAUUGUUAUUAGAUUUUUAUAAAUUUCAUUUAUAUCUUCAAAAUUACAAUUAUUAAACUCACAUUUUAAAAUAAGAUAUCAUAUAGUUAUUUUUUCAUCCUUUAGCAAUAUAAAACGUUUUCGUACUUUAAUAAAAAAAACUUUUUUUUUUCUAAAUAAUGACUAUUUUGUAUAAUAUUAGUAUAAACUAUUUAACAUAUAAGUACUACUCAUUCAAUAGUUUAUUUUUUUAAUUUAUUAGAGAAAGAGUGGUGCAUAUAUAAUUCAAAUAAAAGGUAAUUUCAUAUUGCAAAAAAGUUUGUGGAAAAAGGAAAUUUGAACAAGCAUUGAAAUUUAUAGGAACAAUAUUGGAAACCUAGUUUUAGGUUUGUCCCAUACCAACAAUCAUGACUUGGUAGUAGCCUAAUCUCAUAUCUAACUUUGUCAAGCCCUUCCUUUACUAAGUUGAUCAAACAAGUUGUUAAAAAGCAUAAUACAAUAUUUUUCACUUUCACCUUGUUGAGUCUUCGAUAAUCUAUACACAUUCAAAGGGAUCCAUUAUGUUUCUUUUAGAAUAAUAUUGGUGUGGCAUACGAAGCUUUAGUUUGUUGGAUGUAUCCCAUGUUAAGCAACUCCUUAAGUUGUUUCCUUAGUUCUUCUAAAUUACGUAGUGCCAUCCUAUUGGACCUCCAUGGCAAAGGGCUUAGCUCCUGGCUCUAAAUCAAUCUUGUGCUCCCCUUCCCUUAUUUGUGUGAAUUUCUUAUGUAAAUUUAAUGGCAUCUAAGGAUGACAAAGUUUGAUACAAUUUGUACGUCAACCAGACUUGAACCCGAGCAUUUUUAGUGAGUUUGUGUUUCCAUACCGUAAGUUGGAUUCAUGAAAGUCUCAGACUUGAAUCAAUUGAAUUAAAAAUAAAUAUUCAUGUUGUUAUUAAUUUAGUUUCUUUUACUUAGUUUUACUAAAUAAAAUUUUAUUCACAUAUUGUUUUUCACUUUAGGAUUUAAAUAAAAGUGAUUCAUUUAUCCUAGUAUUGACAAAUUCCAUAGCCAGACCUAGAGGAUGAUACUCGGAGUACUAUAAAAGUUGUAGUGACUUUUUCUCUGAUUUUUCUUAAUCAAAGUUACUACAUAAAAAGACUUAGUAUUUGAACAAUAGAGAAGAAUGGUCAAAAUUCAAGUAAAAUGGAAUGAUUAAUAUUAAUGAAUUUUUACCAUAAUAAAGAAUGAUACUUGAUUCUAGACUACUUAGGUAUGGAUUAAAAGAUUAACAUUAGAUAGAAUAACUCACGUAUAUUAAAGCAUUUUGCUAAGUUCUUUUUAUCCUUGAUCUUUUAUGAGAUUGAGCCAAUAAGGUUACACUUAAAAAUUUAAUGUGUUUGAAACACUCCUCUAAAAUCAAUCAUUCAAAUAUUAGAAAACAAGUAAAAUAUUUUUCAUAUGCUGAUUAAUAUACCCAAGGUAGUUCUUGAAUUAUCCUAACACAAAUAUCUUGCGAGUCUUAAUUUUGUCAAAUCAAUAUAUAUCUUUAGAUUUCUAAAGAAACUACUAUACUCGCGCACAUUCAUCCAUGAGUUAGGUAGAUUUUAUCUCUUGUAAGAGUUCAAAGAUACUGCAAACAAAAUUCACUGUACAAUUAAUAUCUCUCAAUGGUAUGUUAUUCAACUAAAACUAGUAGUGUCUUAUGUUAAUGGGCUUAGUUUUAUAAUGUAAAACUAGAUCUUUAAUACAUUAAUAGCUCUCAUGUUAUCACAAGGCAUAAUUAUGAUUUAUCACUCUCACCAUAAUCCUUUUAACAUACGUUUUAUCGAAAGUAAUUGCUUGGUUUGUUAGCUUCUUAUUAAGCUAGGCAACUGAGCAAUUAAAAUAUAGAAACAUCCCCUAUAAGUGUUCUUCCGUUCUUUAGACCUUCCAUCCCUAUUCAACAUUUGUAUGAAAAAUGUUGUCUACAAAUAUAUUGGUGUAAUACCACAAUCCAAGUUUAUAAGUACCAACCACAAAUAUAAUGAUUCUAUUAACAACUCCAAGGUGUGAUUUCUUAGGAAGAUUCUUAUCACGCAUAAACUCCAGUUCUAUAGGUUUAUCCAGCCUAAAUGUCAUUACAUAAAGAAGGCUUCCAACCAUUGAUCUACAGGUGGAUAGAUUUACAAACUUACCACUCCCAUCUCUUGUAAAAAUUUUCCUACAACUUUUCUAUUGUCGUGACCUAGCUAAGUUCAGCCAUUUUAAUUUAGCUUAUAGAGAGGGCCCCAUCGCUAACAUUUCCAAUCACAUUGUUGAUAGGAUGAUCACUAAUUUCUCUAAUUUUGCUCCAUGUGGAUGUUUGCUUGAUUUUCAUUGAGUUCAUUCACAUUCUCAAUCAUUCAACUCUUUUUUCUCACCUAAAUCUAGAAUGUUUGAUGAAAUAUCCUUAAGAAAAACACAUUAUUUUCUUUACUUCCUUAGUCAUCUAUCAAUACAUUGAUCGAUUCAAUUACAACUCUUUAAUUAUUAAAGAAGAUCUUAAAGGCUUUAAGCCAAGUUGAGUAUCUAACAAAAAUUCUUUCAACAUGCUUUGAUUCAAACAUCCCUAAUUUUUUAGAAUUGUUUGGAUAAGACAUUGUUCCUAAAAACUAUAUUUUACAUUAAGCUUCCUACUUGUCUAAACAUCAUAGCAAGUCCUUUUGGUUCUAACGUAUAGGUGGACUCAAUUAGAAGUACAAGAUGUUGUGUUUAUGGGUUAACCUGACAAGUUGUUAGAGCCUUUGGAUUAAUCCAUUCUAAACCUAGGAUCGUUGGGGUGUUUGCAAAAACUAUCUUAAGGAUCUUUAGAUCUACCCAACAAAAGCAUAUACAUGAAAAAAAUACACCUGCAAACUUUAUGUUUCCAAAAUGAUUUCAGUCUAUGAAGAAGCUAGUGCAAAUCUCAAAAACCAAGAGAUCUUUUGCUCAAUGGCUCUCUUUCCUGGAUCUAGGCACUUGUAGAUGGUGAAAUCCUCAUAGAAGGGUGGAUGCUAAGGUUCCUCUCUCUAGAUUCUAAAGAAAUGGAAGAAGAAUAAAAAAGUCCUAACCCUUAAAUGGGUUUAUAUAGGAUUCCCUAUGGGCUUAAGUGACUUGAGUCUAUCUUAGGCUUAGGGGUCGCUAAAAAAAGCCCACUUGGAUCUUAGUUAAAUAAUUAGCCCUAUUAAGGUCCAAUUAAUUAAUUAUCCUUUUCCAAAAACAUCAUUCAUAAGAUCUAAAACAACUUUGCAUUUUUACCAAAACACCCUUAUGCACAUGUAUGAAUAAAUAACCUAUACAUCCCUUAAGUAAUGUGUCACAUAGAAGUAUGAACUCAAGUAGGGACCAUUAGGAGUGGUAGGAAAAUAGUGGCUCCUGUAUAAUUUAAUUCUAAAGUUGACUUAACAUCCUUCUACAAAAAAUCAAUUGCACUCUAAUAUCCUAUGAUAUUACAUUAAUAUAAAAUACAUGGGUUUGUGACCUACUAACGACUAAAAGCUAGCUCCUCAUGAAUUGGCGUCCAUAAUAUAACAAGGUGAACACUUUCAAUCUUUUAAGAUUAACUUUACAAUCCUUAUGUUAUAGAUCAUCCCAUUAAGUGAUAAAUUGACAUACUAUAACCCACAACGAACAUAUGGUAACUUCUACUAAACGAAUUACUGCAACCAUAGAUUUUGUCAUGACUACCUCAAUAGCUAAUGUCAUAAUUCAUUGUAAAUUUUGUCUAAUGUGCAAUAAUAUAUACUAAUGCACUCACCUUAGAAACCUCAUCCGAAUGACUAAGAUAAGUCAACUCGCUAAUUAGAAGGUAGUGCACUAUAAUCUCAAAUGGAUUGCCUAAAUUCAUCAACCAACUAUGAACAAAUCAUAAAUCUUGCAAGGAACCCAUGACUUGAAUCUUUCACAUAACUGCUAAUGUACUUAAGUUAUGUAUAAUACCACUACUGCAUGCAUGAAUACUCAAAUCAAUAUCAAUGUGAACAUGGAUAAAUUAGUGGAAACUCAAGCCUAACGGUGUUACAUCAUCUCUUGCUUGCAAGGGCUUUACCUUAACACCAAUAAUCAGGUAGGUUCUUGAAAUCCAAUAUAAUAUGUGCUAUUUCUUGGAGCACUUUAUUUUUCCUUUCAAUAACUUCAUUUUCUAUGGAGUUUUAGAUGUUGAAAGCUCUUCUUUAAUUUCCUUCUCACAAAAACUCUAGAAGUUAGAAUUACAAACUCAUUUCCUCUAUUAUUUCUUAUUUUUCUUACUUAAAAUUCAUUUUUAUUCAUCAUUUGAAAGCAUAACACUUUGAAUUUUAGGAUGUACUUCUUUCUUUCUAAGCAUUGCACUCUCAUAGGACCUAUGAUGAAAAUAUCGUUAAUCAUGGAUAUAUCGAUACUUCGAUUUUACGGAUAUAUCGGAGAUAUAUCGACGGAUAUUUUGGAAAAAAAUAUCGAUAAGUCUAAAACUGAUCAGAAUUUGUAAAAAUAUAAGAAAAACUUCAUAAAAAUGUAAUGAGAAGUAUAAUGAUAUUUUUAAACUGUUUUAUUAAAUAAUUUGAUAUAUGUAUAAUAUGAUUUAUCAUAUUUGAUAAUAAUAUCGUAUGCAUCGACAAAAAUAUGAAUUUUAUAAGUGUACAUUUAUUAUUAAAUUACAUUUAAUAUUAUGAUAUUUGAUUAUAAUAUGUAUAAUUUUAAAAUAUAUAUUAAUAUUAAAAUUAUGAUACAUUUAAUUCAAUUGUAUUAAACAAUAUAAAAUAAAUUAUAAUAUAUGUACAAUUUUUUAAUAUUUAAUUAAUUAUUAAUGAUAUUAAAAGCACUAUGAAGAAAAUUUUAUAAUUUUAAUAUUUUUGGUAAUCAAUUAAAAGAAAAUUUUGCAUUUAAUUAUAAAAUAAUUAUAAUUAAUUUGCUCUUUAAAAUAUUUUUUUUAAUAUUUUCCUUAUAUAAUAAGUUUAACUAUAUAUAUGUUUAGUACAUAUCAUAUAAUAAGGGUAAGUUAGCUUGGAUGGCAAGUGGGUUGAACCUCAAACCUUUUGGUUUGGGGUUCGAAUCCCCUCAACUUCAAAAUGAAGGGUUAUCGCUGAUUUUUUUGGAUUUCUCUCGAAAUUUCGUCAGAUCGAUAUUUCUCCAUGAAAUAUCGUAUCGAUACCCUCCGAUACAUGAUACAUUGGCGAUAUAUUGCCAACAUAUCGCAAUAUUUUCUUCCUUGCAUAGGACCCAUUAAAUCCAUAUGUAACAUCUCUAAGAGCCUAGAAAAAGAGAACAUCAUUUUUCUAUCACUCAUGUGAAUUCAUUGUCCUAGGUAGGACAAAUAGGAUUUUUAGGCUUUCCUAAAUGGGAAUUGCUUUAAUUAGUUCUUUAUUUGUAAUCCUAGACAAAUCAUUAGAGUUUAAAUGCGCUAUCAUACAAUGCUACAUGUCUUUGGAUGUAGAUUUCACAUUUUACAACUAUGUGCACUAUAGAUGAUGAGGAAAAAGUAGAGAGGUGUACAAAAGCAUAACAAAAAUUAUCAAAAAUUCUAUUUCUUACCAACACACAUCCUUGAAUAGACACUGAUUUUGAGUAAAAUGAACAAAGCACAUACAAUCACAAAUUUAACUUGCGUUAAUUAAGUUUGCUUUCAAUCACUCAAUAUAUAGUAACUCCUCGAGUAUAGGUAAAUUUGGACCUUCUAUGGUACAUUUCGCUUUCAAGUUGGUUAUACAUAAUGCAACCAUCCCCAAAUACAACCAAGCUUCCCUUUAUAGGUUCAAACAUGGAGAAAGACUUUAAGUUCAUUGUUGCUUUUACCAUUCCCAAAUACAACCAAACUCCUAUGAGUUCAAAAUUCAAGAAAGAUCUAAGUUCUCUCUCAUACAACUAGAGUAGCCACUCUCAAAAUCCAAAACGUGUUUUUCUCUAGCUCUUAGGCCCUAUGAUCAACUAAGGCUUUUAGGUUCUCCGUAACCCAGAUUUUCUUUCCAAUGGGCGAUUUAAAACCUAUUCAAGAAUUGUUUUUAAAAUUAAUUUUUCAGUUCUUAAAAAUAGAAACCUAUUUUCUAGACUAAAACCAUGUUUGGCAACUUUUUGACAUAUUAUAGUUUGUUGAGAAUUUGUUCUGAAAAUAAGGUUUCUCCUAAUAACAUAUUUUAAUUGCUUUCAAUUGUUUUCAUUUAUUUUAUAGGGUUGUUUUAAGAAAAUAAUAAUAAAAAUAUAAAGAAUGAUGAAACAUAAACUAAAAACAAAAGUUAUUUUUAAGAAAUAUUUGAAAAUACAAAAAAUAUAUUAAAAAUGUUCUAAGUUUUUAAAUAGGCUUUUAUUUUAGAAGACAUUAGACCAACUAUUUUUGAAAACUUUUUUCAAUAACGGUUUUUUGAAGAAUUAUUUUCAAAAAAAUUCCUAAACAAACCCCUAACCUCUGAGGAUCUAAAACUUUGCACUAAGUUUGGCUUACAUUCAACUUCUUUUAUGGACAAAGCAAUGGAGCUAGAACAGAUUUCUUUCAAUUUAGUCAAUUCUUAUUUACGUGGCUCAUAAUCAGAUUGUAAGACAUUCAAUUUUUUUAACAAGGCACCAUGCUCAUUUUCAAGGUAAGAGAUUUUUUUCAAGCAAGGAAAUCUUCUCUCAUACUUCUUUUAUUCUCAUCCAACUUUCACAAUUUUCAUCUUAAGGCACUGAUCAUACAAGGCUUCCUAGGCAAUCUCAAAUUACAACUUUUCUUCCAAAUAUGUUGUAUCAUGAGAUGAACCUUCAAAAUUUUCAGAUUCAAGAUCAGUUUCAAAUUUAACAUUUUUCUUUUCAUUGCGAAGUGAUAUAGAAGGUUACAAGUAUAUCAACAAUUUCGUCAAGCAUAUCGUGCUCUAAAAGACACAAAUAUCAUCAACAUCAUGUGAUAAUAAUCAUAAUUAUGUUUAUGCAUGUUUCUAGCAAAUUAAUGCAAUGAAAUUUGUACACUCUUCAUCAAAAUCAUACCAAAUUACUUCUAUGACCUUAUCCUUCUGACAUUCAAGUAAGUGACCUUUCUCCACACAGUAGAAACCUUGAAUCAACUAGAUCUUUUUUGUGUUUUUUUUUUCUUUUUAUCACAUUUCUUUUCCCCUGUUUAUGGUCUCAAAUAGGUUAUCCUCUGUUUCUUGAAGCUUUUUGAACUUUUUGAAACUUUAUCAAGCCUAUAAAUUUCAAAUAUUGGUCAUUUUUUAUUCCUAUUCUGAUUUAAAUGCAUGUUCAUCUACUUUUAGUGCAAUAUUAAUGUUUCUUCCUCUUAGGAACAAUUGGGGUCAUCUCUAAUUGAAGGGAGCCAACUAUCUCAUCUAGCUUAAUUGAAUCAGCAGUGUUCCAUUCCUCUAUUGUUAUGACCUUAGGUCUAAAACGAACAGAGAAGAUCUUAACAGUUUUCAGGUAACCUUGGAAUCAAGUAAAGGCCUACAUAGAUUGAAAGUUAGCAUUCACAAUGUCCAUGAUUUCAAUAAUAUAUUCAAAAAAUAUUUUUGUUGUGAUCAUUUGAAAUUCAUUCCUUCACCUAUCCUACCUUUACAUAGUUUUACCUACCCUAGUGGAUAUAUAUCCUAUCUCUAUUUAGCACCAUAUGAGGAUAUCAACCAAAUUGAACAGAACUCCAAUCUCUGUUAGACUUCAUUUUAAGGAAGUAUAUCAGUUUUACCUUGGAAUGAGCAUAAUUAUCUCCUUUGAAGUAUGGAGGUCCACCUAUAGAGGUUCCUUCUCGGAGAAUUUCCAUCUUAAGAGAAUAUAGUUUAUCCGUAUUGAGAACAUGAGCAAACAUGUUUUGAUACAAUUUAUGAGUUUUUAAGAGAGUAUGCUAUGAACUUGAGAUCUCUUUUAGAUGAUCAAAUAACAUAUGCACAUGAAUGUCAUUGAGUGAUUAGCACAAGGUCACAAACCUCCCUAAUGAAAUCUCAACCAAAAAGCACACAAAUAUUGCACAAGAUAUAACAUAAAAAAAAUCUCUAAGUGGAGAAAGGAAAAAAAAAAAAAAACCAAUGGGUGCCUUUGUUGUUGCAAAUCCACUAUGAAUAUAAAUCCAGUUUUGCCUACAAUUCCCUCCACCAGUGAAAACAAAUGGUCUUAUAUGAUCAACUCCAUUUACUAUAGGGUUAUAAAGGAAACACUUGUGGGCUGGCAGGCAGUAGCUCCUCCCAACUCAUCAUAUUUCCAACCCCAUUUGCUCCAUCAAAUUCAUAAGAAGCUAACAAAACAACUAGCAUUUUAUAUCAUACAAUAUCUAUGCUAGUUAAUUUGCAUGGAAAAGACAAUUUCUACCCUAAAUAUGCCAACAUACAGGAAGACAUACAAUUUAUACAAACAUUGUACGCUAACACAAGAAAAUCAUACCUCACUUGCUGAUUUGAGGCAAUUCACCAGAGAAUGCAUAGGUGGCAAUGAGGUCCCAAUUGAGCUGUGCAUAUCUAACAGUCGCAGACUUGAAGGAAGCUCUGGAAUUUGUGAAACCUUCUUGCAGUGACUCAAGUCAAGGGCUCUAAGGUUAGAGAGCUGACUAAUACCCACAAGCAUGUCACUGAGGGUUCCUCCUUCCUCUGGAUUGCACCGACUUAGAUGUAAUACUUCCAGAGAGGAUAGAUGGAAAAUACAAUGGAAGACUCCUCCAUUUAGAUUGCAGUUUCUUAGACUUAAUUCUUUCAAUGCGUUCAAGCAGUUAUCACUCUUUAUUACUCCUGGUGUUAGAUUGCAUUGAUCUAAAUAUAGUUUCCUUAAGAGAGAUAAACCUGACAAAGAAGGCAAUUGACAACUGAGCGAAUUUAAAGAAAGAACCUCUAGACAUGGCAUUCUCUCCAGGUCCUCCGGCAAUCUGUCAAGUUUUGAACAGCCUUCAAGACUUAGAACUUCAAGAAAUCUCAAAUUACAAAUGCUGUUCGGGAGACCUUCAAGGUUUUUACAAUUAUCCAAAUACAAGUUGCGAAGACCUUCUAGAAGUUCAAUCGAUGAUGGUAGCUCUUUUAUAGCUGUAUUAUCUAAACUAAGCCUCUCUAGUUUUCCAAUACUGCGCUUGAUUUUUGGAAAACUAGUUAGUUGUGAACAGCCACUGCAAUGAAGUAUGAAAAGGUGUUUCAACUUAUGAAUGUCCCCAGGAAGAUUCUCAAGUCUUACACACCCUAUAAAAUUCGAGGAAAAAAAAAAGUUAGUUUAAUAACAACACUCUUAUAUGUGUGUGAACCUUAAGUAAAAUUAUACAACCUGAAAGAUUAAGUUCCUCCAAAUUUGGCACGUUUGAGAAAUUUGGUAGUUCAAUAAGCUGUUGUGAAUCAUUGAGAUUGAUGUACCUUAAAUUUCUAAGACACUGGAACAAAAUAGAAUUUCUAUUAAUAAAUCAAUUUUAACCAACUUUAAAAUAUUAUAAAACAAAAGCAUAAAUAAAUGAUUAUCAUACCAUGUUUCCUUUCCAAAGUCGUUUUAUGUUACUAUUGCUCAAACCGAGGAAAACAAGAUCAUUUGGAUGAAAGUUUGGUGGUAGAGAUUCUAAAGAAUAUCCAUCCCAACCGAGACAUGUCAAGUCAUCAGACGGAAAUACAAAAUCUUCAGGAAGUUGUUCUAUGCAAUUGUGGGAGAGGAUAAGCAAUCUAAGUCUAUUCAUCCUUUUGAAAGCUUUGCAUGUAAACUGUAUCUGUUCUGAUGUGUCCAUAUGAAAGAAUAUCCCUUCAAUUUUUUCAGUCCCCUAGAUAAUAAGAGUAUAAAAUUAGAAAAGCACGAUACAUGUAAAUCCUUACUAAGGUGAUAUAGAUGAAUAUAUAUAUAUAUAUAUCUUACCGUGUUUCUUUUCAAUACUCGAUAAAUAUCUGUAUGUCUCCAUAAUCUGCUCCUCUCUCCUGGCUCAUUAGGACAUUCUUCAUCAACAAUGCCCUUGCCCAUUUGGGCUAACAAAUCAUGCAUAUCUAUUGUAUUGUCCUCUAAAAUGGUUAUGAAACAUCUAUCAACGAGAACAUUUAUUCCACUUUCCGCUUCGCAUCCGGAACCAUCCAAUAUUCUUGAAACUGCUUCCACAUCACCUCCUUGAAAGAAACAUGCAAUGUCGAGAAAUAUCAUCUUUUGUGUAUAAUCCAAUCCAUCAAAACUUAUUUUAAGCACUUUUACAAUUUCCAUGUUAGGCACCUUUCCCAACUUCCGCAAUUCGCUUUUCCAAUCUGAUAGUCUCUUUCCAAAUAAUAGAGAACCCAAAACUUUAAGUGCUAAUGGAAGACCAUCAGCAUAUCGUACUACUUGAUGAGAGAGAUCUCCAUAACCUUCCUUCAGAUGAUGUUGUUUAAAGGCAUAAAGACAAAAAAGUUGAAGAGCUUCGUGAAAAUUUAAUUUCUCAACUUCAUACAUUUUCAUUUCAUGCCUAGUUAGCAAAUCUUUUUUCCUUGUAGUAAUGAUGAUUCUACUUCCUGGACCAAACCAAUUAUGCUUUCCAAUCAAGUGUUCUAAUUGUGUCAGCUCAUCUACAUCAUCCAGAAAAACAAGAACCCUUUUCGAGGAAAGCUUGUCCCUUAUUUCUUUGAUACCCUCAUGAACAUUCCUUAAAACUAUUUUCCUCGUUGUCCCUAGAAUAUCAUUAAGAAGUUGUUGUUGUAACUUAAGAAGACCACCAGAAUUUUCUGUGGAUUCUUUUCUGACAUCUGUGAGUAAGCUUACACUUUCGAAUUGAUUUGAGAUUCGGUUAUAAAGAGCAUUGAUGAUGGUGGUCUUGCCGAUACCACCAAGCCCAUAAACCCCGACCAUGCGAACAUCAUUCAACCCAAUCUCCAACAAUGAUAUUAGUCUUUCCAAACGAUAAUCCAUUCCGACAAUGUUCUCGGUAACAGCUAAAGUCUUAGGGAAGCUUCUAGGGACGUUCUCAAUAAUUUUAUCAAUAAGCUCUGUUUCAUACCUGCGAAUUGCAAAGCAUAAUGGGACAUGUGUACUGGCGCAUUAGGAUGAGUUGCAAAAAAUAAUAAAUUAUAUGAAAUAAAUUUAAUGAUGCCUAGUUUUCCAACUAUAACUUAGCAGGGCUAAAAGGAAUUUAAAUUAAAAUAAAAUAAACCACAUCUAUCAAACUACUCAUGAGUACAGUUUCAUUAUUCAAUAUAUAUGAUAGAAAUAAGAGAAGAAAAUGCAAAAUAUGAAUUGCAUUAUCAAAAGUGGAAAAAAAAACACUAAAAUAUUUUGUGUGUUAGCUUAUACUAUUCAAUCUUUUGAAAGGUUCAAAAUAAAGUUGAGUUGUCUAGAACAUUACUACCCUAUUUUGAUAAGGGAUUCCAUCAUAGGAUCAACUGCGCAUCCAAGCUUUUUAAUCUAAUAAUUUUACUACUGAUUAGAUGGUCAAGUUUAAAAUUUUAAUGAACAGAUCUUUAUUUUAUAAAUAAUAAAAAUAAAUAAAAAAUUAUAAAAGUUUAAAACUCACUUUAGCUUUAAGCGGUUAGUCAAAUAUCUCAUACUAAACAAGUUAGAUAUUUUUUAUAUCAGCAGAAAGAAAAAAGGACAGUGCUUCAAAUGACAAAUGAAGAGAAAUUACAAUUACCUGUCCUUCGCAUCAUAUCCGGCUAGAUUGCUUGCUUGCCUCAGGGCAAUCUUCCAUUUCCUUAUCUUUUCCUUUCUCUCCUCAUCUGCAUUCUUCUCAUGAUGGGUAAAUGCUUCUCCGUAAAUCUCAGUUUGGUUCCGCAGUUCAGACGGAUCUACAUGAUAGAAAAUUGGGAUAACUACCAUUUGUUCCCUUUCCUCUUUGCAUUUCAUGAUCUUGACAAGCUCUUCCAGACACCAUUUGGAAUGAGCAUAGGUUUUUGAGAAGACAAUAAUGGCACUCCUUGAUUCUUCAAUAGCUUUUAAGAGCUCUGGUGCAAUCUCUUCUCCCCUUGGAAGCUCUUCAUCAUCUCUGAAGGUAUGAAUAUUGUUACGAAUCAAAGCCGAGUAGAGGUGAUCGGUAAAGCUUUUGCGAGUAUCUUCACCUCUGAAACUCAAAAACACAUCGUAGCUCCACUGAGAGCGAGAAGUGAAAGAAGAAGAGGAUCUCUGGAUGCUAGGGGAGGCCAUGGUUGAACAGAAAUUGGAGGAAAAAUAAGGGCCUUCGGGUAUUCAGUGACUUAAUUCCCCUAGCCUUAAUGUGAAGUUUGGAUGUUGGUGGUGGGAUGUGCUUUUUCUUUCUCAAUUAUUUCUCCUUAGCUGUAUCCCUCUAGCUUUGAACUUUCACUUUUGUCCCUUUUGGCAGUCAACAAUGGCCGGCACUCUUCUCUCUGCAAUUUCCAAUUAAUUUCUAAAAUGUAAAAAAUAAAAAAUGAUCAAAUCCAUGUGGUCUUUACUUAGGUCAUAAGAUCGUGUGAACACACAUUAAAUUAAAGUUAUUCAAUUAAGUUUUGUCUUUUCCAUAAUUAGCAAUAUUACGGUAGAAAAUAAAGGUUUAUUAAGUUGAUAUGUCAAGUAAAGCUAACAACUUUGGUAUUAUAAGCUUGAUUUUUGUAGAUGGAAAAAUAUAAUGAGUCAUAUGACAAAAAAUAAAGAAAAUUUUGAUCUUGAAGAAUAGAAAGAAGCACAAAACCUUCAUGAAAGUUUAGGGAAGAAAGACCAUGCUCAAAACUCCAAAUUUAAAUUCUCACGGACUUUUCACAUUUUGCAGCUGGCUUUAUUAUUAAUAGAAGCACAUAAAUAAAUAUUGUAAUUAAAUCCCACUAAUUUAUAGGUCAUAAUGGUAUAUAUCGGUCAUCACAGUAAUUGAGUGGGAAGGUGGGUACCUGUAAAAAGAAUAGACCAAACCAAUCACCCUAAAGUACCUUUAUCAUAAAAGUCAUUGAGGUCCUAAUGGUAAUAAUGGUGGAUAUCUUUGGAAAGAGAAAACAAUCCUAAAUUUCAAAAGAACGUCUGUUUCUUGGCAAUUGUAUCCCCGACAGCCUUAUCUUUUUUUACUUUAUAUCUUUUUAUUAUUAUUAUCGUGAGGAUGGUUAAAGAUGAUAUUAGAUAUGUAAUCUUUCUAUGGUUUAAAAAUGAAAAAUGUGAGUGUUAAGUUGGCAUUUUUACCAUUUAGAAAAUACUUGAUUUUAAGAUCAUUAAUAGGAAGAAAUAAAGAGUUCCAAAAAAUAAAGAAGCUUUUAUUGACUAAUCUAGGCAACCCCUUUCUUGGCUUUUAAUUGUAUCUACUUUGUCGAAAAUCUCAGUCAUUCCUCCUUGUCUUCCUUUUGUUAUUCCUAAGUUCCAACUCUUUUUUUUUUUUUUUAAAUAAUAAUAUUAGUUUUAUGUUUUAAUGAAAUGGGUUGCAAAUUUGAAGAAAACAUAUUCUUGUGUAUUUAUUGACUAUGACCCUUUCUUCACAAAGGUUAACGUUAUUUACAUUCUCAAACUAAUCUUUGAUGAGUUUGAGUUUUUCUUUACUAACAAAACUUCUACCAUAUCUUUCUUGUAGGAACAAAGUCAAAUGACCAUAUUUUGAGACUUAUAUGAAUGGUCUCAACCAUCCAAUCCAAAUACCUACUCAACCCACAACUUCACUCCCACCAAACAACCUUUCGACUAUUAACAUUAUACUAAGAUUUCUUACCUUUGCUAUUCAAAUUAUCGUAAUAAUGUACAUCUUCUAUUUUAUAUUUUUAAUACAUUCCAUUUAAAUUUAACUUCUUACAUCCUUUAACACCUUAUUGUGCAUUUGUGGUUAUUUUUCUAAGCUGUUUUUUAACUUUCAUUGGUGGUUCAUUGUAAUUAUGUUGGUUACUGGGUUUUUUUAUUCUAUUUUAUGCAAGAGACAUUUUGAAAGGAUUAGGUGCCUUCCAAUCUUGAUUUUAGUGAUUUUUAAAUCUUAGUUUAGGACUUUGUUUUUGAUUGAUUUAUAACAUAUUUAGGUUUGUUUAGAAUUUUAAAACUUUAAUUGCAUAAAAUAGAUUCAAGAUUUGAAUUAAUUAAUAAUUGAUUUCAUUCUCCUUUAAAAUGUAGAAUAUGAUAAACGACUUGAUAGCAAAUUCAAACAAAUCUUUAUCCAAAUGAGAAUUUAUGUAAUCUAAUCAUUUUAUUAAAUAUCACCUAGUAAAUUAUAAAAAUAAAGAUAUUAAUCACAUUUGUUAAUAUGUUUUUUUUAAAUUGACAAAUUAUGAUGAAAUUAUAAUCUUUUCAAUAUUUUAUUAAUUAUUAAUUAAAACAUCACUAUAAUUAUUCAAUCCAUGGAAUAUAAAAUGAGUUAUUUUUAGUAAUAAUAAUAAUAAUGAUAAUAAUGAUAAUAGUGAUAAUAAUAAUAAUAAUAACUAAUCAUAUUUGAAUAACAUUUCAUCAAUUAUAUAUCAAAAUAAAGUUGUAUGUUUAUCAUAACCUAUGUUUUAAAACAAAAUAAUAAAAGUUAUAUUUCCCUUUAAAUGUAUUUACAUAUCUACCUCCAUAGUCCAUGGUAUUAAAAUAAUCUAAUAAAACACAGUAUCCCAUAACCGGGCAACAGCACAGCUGCUCCUAGCUUUAGCCCCUAGCAGCUGCAAUCAGCUUUUCCACUCUCUGUUACAGUCCAGCUUUGGCCGCCCAAGACGUACAUCUUUAAAAGUUGAUUUUAUUUUUUUUAAUUGAAUGUUUUUUUUUUUUUGUAACUCUUCUCGAUUAAUAAAUAAUAAUAAUAAUAAUAAUAAUAAUAAUAAUAAUUGGAUUUGGUUUUUAAAGUUGAGUAUUUUCUUUAACUAAUUGAUAUUAUAAAUAUAUAAAUAAUUUCUACAUUCACAUUUUAUAAAAAAUAAAAAUGUUUCAUUUUGAAAAUUUUAUGCAUUAUUUUAAAAUUUUCAAAUAAAGGAUUAUUUGUAAAUAUUUCUAAAUAUGUUUGAUUUCAAUAAUUGAUAAAUUAUAUAAUCAAAAUAUUAUGAAUUGGUAAAUAUCAAUUAUUGGAUUUUAUGAAGAUAAAAUUUAUGAUAUCAAAUAGUAAUGCAUUAUAUUUAUAAAUAGAUGUAUUUUUUCUAUUUUAAAUGUAAUUAACAAUAUAAAAAAUUAAUUAAUAAUGAUAUAUUUAUGAUAAUUUUUGUUUAAAAACAUUUAUAAUUUUAUUUAAAAUUAAAUUUCAUUUUAUAUUUAAUAAUUAUAUAAAAGAUAAAAAAAAUUUAAAAGUAAAUCAAACUAAUUUAUUUAUAAAAAAUUAUUAAUUUUCACUAUUUUACUUAUUUUACAUAUAUAUGUAUUGGGACUGAAAUCUGUUCUCCAUUCUCUCAUUCUUUCCUCCAUUUCUCUUUCGUUCCUAUUCUCUGUUUCCUUUCUCCUUGUCUUCAUUUCUCUUCUAACAUCCAAACUUUUAUUCAUGACGGUUAAACUAUUUCUCUUUUCUAAGAUCAAAACAUAACUCACUGAGGUUAAAAUCCAGAUUGUGAUUGUUAUAAAAAUUCCUAGUUAGGGUUUUAGUUUUAGUUUUAAUUUUUUUGUUCUUUUUUAUUUUUUGCAUUCUUGGUCUUUUGUGUUAUUGUUUAUGUUUUAUUUGGUUUAUGGGAAAUCCUAGAAUUUAUGAAAGUUUUGGCUUUGAAAUAUCCAAAAAAUAUUGAAAUAGAAAUGACCAAAAAAAAAAAAAAAAUUGUUGAAUAAUGUUGAGUUUUUGGUUGAAUUUUUGUUUGACCGAUUUUUUUAUUUUCCAUUUUCUGAUUUGCCCUCGUAGAGUAAAGAAUUUUCCUUCAUAGUGAAGAGAUGAGAACACUCAAGAACAUUGAUUGAAAAUACGAAAAACAUCUUAUUUUUUUUCUUUUUAGAACAUUGGCAAAAACACGGAAAACAACAUUUUUUUGUUUUUUGAAAACCAGACUUUAGAAAACACGAAGAAUACAUGGGAACAAAAAACACUCUCUUAUCAAACACAUUUUGUGUGUUUUUGUUCUCAAAAACAAAAAACUGUUUUUGAAAACAUUCACCAAACAUGCCCUAUUUUUUGAGGUAAUUCUUUUUAUUCUUUUUCUUUGCGGGGGAGGGGGAGGAAAUUUUGGCGAGCUGUUAGAAAAGGGGAUCUUGUGGCAGUUGGAGUUUAGGUUGCCUCAUGUUCUCUCUCCCUCUCUUUUUAUAUUUUAGUUUUUUUGCAAUAACUUGAACUCAUUUCCUUUGAGAAUUUCAUGUUCAUUUUCCCACACUUUGUUUUUGUUCCUAAAUUUAAUCUUGUGUUUAUGUCUAUCAAUUAGUUAUUUAGGUUGAGGAAAGGGGGCCGGGCCUUAGGUCUUCCCUUUUACCCUUGAAAUGAUCCUCUCACUUUGGGUGAUUAUUGAUUUAACUAGCUUAUAAUUUGGCCGUCUUUAUUUUUUAUUGAAAUCAUCAUACCUUGAUGUUUGGAAAUUGAAGAUUCAGGGCCCUUUUGAUGGACUGUCUAGUGGAGUGUGUGGGCAUAGGAAUGAAUUAACGGAGACGUGAAAGCUUUGAUCAGUCCAUGAAAUACAAAUGAAAGGUUAUCACCAAAAAUUAAGCAUGCGUGCAUUGAUAAUAGACAAGUAAAUGAGAGAAAAUGAACUUCAAAUCUUACUUGACAACGAUACUACUAUAAUGGGAUAUUCCUCAACAUAGUGGUUAUUACUUAAUUUGGUAUCAAUAACUAUGCUAAAACCUUGCCCAUUACUGAAAAUGGACAGGGAAUAAGCAAAAAUAUUAUAAUAUGUCUGUAAUUGAUUCCUUUCAUCAUAGUAACCCAUUGGCCAGAUUGGCUUAGUUAACUAAAUGAAAACCCGAUUUCUUAUAUUUCGAAUGAACCAAAAAGGAUACAGUAGUAAACAGCUAUGGAACCAAUAUGUAUGAGGAUAAAAAACAACAACAAUUUUGAUUGAAACUAAUCUUGAAAUAAUCAAUGGCUAAGUACAUCAGGUUGUGUUUAUAAAGUCCUAGUUCAUAAGCACUAAAUUCUAAUGCUAACACUCUCUCCAAGUGCUUUCAGUCUGCUGCUUCAAUACAAGUACUCUAUAUGUGCGCUUGAUAGUAACUUGCGCUUGAUAAUAACUUCUCGUGUCCUAUAUAUUUAUACCCGAUCAAGGGCUGCCAUUUUAUUAGAUUGUUGAGUAAUGACGCUGCUUGUUGAAGGAUUGUGAGACAGAACAAUCUCAUACCCAUCAUCACAUGACUGCAUCCCCUCGGCCAUGAGUUGCCAAACCAAGCCUCCACCAAUUCCUCCACUUCUUGCAAAGUUGUAGAUGUUGGUAUAAACAACAUUCAAAAAUGAAUCCCUUUUAUUUAUAAUUUUAAUUCUAUUGUACGAAGGAAUUAAGAAAAAACUUUUAUUCUAAAAAAAUAUAAAUUUUAACCUAAAAUAAUUUAGUAUAUACUUUAUCAAGUGUAAAAUUUUAAUGAACAGAUUUUUAUUUUAUAAAAAAUAAAAAUAAAUAAAAAAAUUAUAAAAGUUUAAAACUCACUUAGCUUUAAGUGGCUAGUCAAAUAUCUCAUGCUAAACAAAUUAAAUAAUUUUUAUAUGAGCAGAUAGAGAAAAGGACAGUACUUCAAAUGAAAAAUGAAGAGAAGUUACAAUUACUUGUUCUUCGUGUUAAGGAUAAUUAGCCUUUCCAUUACAAUUUACCAUAUGUAUCAUAUUUGACCCUUGAUUACAUGCUAUUCCUUUGUAAUCAGUUUGAUAUUAUUUCCUACUUUCCAUUUCUUUUAUAAUCAGUUUGAUAUUAUUUGAUUUGUAAUAUUCUAUAAAUGAUUAUAAAUAGAAAACUCUCACCACCUUCUCAAGUGUGGUGGUUUGACAAAUAUUCUUACUUUGUAUCAUAUCCGGCUAGAUUGCCUGCUUCCCUCAUGGCAGUCCUCCAUUUCCUUAUCUUUUCCUUUCUCUCCUCAUCUGCAUUUUCCUCAUGAUCGGUAAAUGCUUCUCCACAAAUCCCAGUUUGGUUCCGCACUUCAGACGGAUCCACAUGAUAGAAAAUUGGGAUAACCGUUUGUUUCCUUUCCUCUUUGCAUUGCAUGAUCUUGACAAGCUCUUCCAGACACCAUUUGGAAUGAGCAUAGGUUUUUGAGAAAACAAUAAUUGCAAUCCUUGAUUCUUCAAUAGCUUUUUAAGAGCUCUGGUGCAAUCUCUCCUCCCCUUGGGUGUUCUUCAUCAUCUCUGAAGGUAUUAAUAUUGUUACGAAUCAAAGCCGAGUAGAGGUGAUCAGUAAAGCUUCUGCGAGUAUCUUCACCUCUAAAACUCAAAAACACAUCGUAGCUCCACUGAGAGUGAGAAGUGGAAGAAGAAGAGGGUCUCUGGAUGCUAAGGGAGGCCAUGGUUGAACAGAAAUCGGAGGAAAAAUAAAACAUAUAAAAUUAUCAAGUCCAUGGGGUAUUUAAUUAGGCCAUAAGAGAUCGUGUGAACUCACACAUACAUUAAAUUAAAGUUAUUGAAUUAAUUUUUGUCUUUUCUAUAAUGAGCAAUAAAUAUUCCUGUAGAAAAUAAAGGUUUAUUAAGUUGAUAGGUGAGGGAAAGCUAUAUAACAACUUCGGUAUUAUAAGCUUGAUUUUUUAAAAAUAAAAAAUAUAAUAAGUCAUAUGACACAUAAAAGUUCAUUUUUUUUAAAAUCAAGUCAAACAUUUUUAUCUUAUUAUAAUUUCUUAUUAUUAUAAUAAAUAAAAUAAUUUUUUAAAUAUAUUUUCCUAUUAAGAUAUAUUAUUCCUAACCACAAUCGAAUUUUUAUAAAAGAGCAAUUAGUUUCUUAUAUGAAUGUUUUAUUUAAUCAAGAUAAACAUGGAAAGAAAUUGUUAUCACAUGUCCUAUAUUGAGAAAAAUUAUAUAUAAAUUGGAAAUAAUUUUAAAAAUAAUAAAAUCUAAAAGUUGUUUCACUAUUUUCUAAAAUUAAUUUUAAUUUCUUAUAAUUUUGCUAUUUUUUUGUUGAUUUUUUAAUAAUUAUUUUAAUUAUAUAUCUAUAUAUAUAUAUAUAUAUAUAUAUAUAUAUAUAUAUAUAUCUAUAUAUAUAUAUAUAUAUAUAUAUAUAUAUAUAUAUAUAUAUAUAUAUAUGUGUGUGUAUAUGUAUACAUACAUAUUAAAAAAUGUUACUCAUUUAAGUGGUUUCAAAUGAUUUAUUUAUUUGCAUGAAAAAAACAUGAAUUGAUCAUCUUUUGAGAUGUAGUAAGAGUCGUUUGGUUUAGGUCACAGUGGUAAUGAGUUGGAAGGGUCUAGUACCUUUUGAAAGAACAAAAGGAGCAACAACCCUAAAAUUCAAAAGUGUUGGAAUAUUAAACAAUGUCUUGGUCAAAAAGGGAAAGCGCGUUGGAUCAUAUAUUGAAAAUAAUGUCUUGUUAACAAAAAAUAAUGUCUUGGUAAAAAUAGAAAACAUAUAGGAACAUUGAAUAAGACAAUACCAUAUGGUUAGGAAAGGUUAUUCUCUAAUCUUUUAUCCUUAUUGACUCAUACACUUGUUGAACCUCCUUAACAAUAGAAAGAAAGUUCAUUCUUAUGAAUCCUCAAAAUGAAUCAAAGAGAUAAAUUUCAAUUUUGAAGUAAACAUAAUUAUUUUUCUAUUUUUGUUAAAAAAUUGACAAUACUUAAUUUAUCAUGUAAGAAUCAAAGAAUAAUAGCAACUAUUCAUACAAUCGGUCUCAUUUUGUUGUAACAAAACUUAUGAUUAUUUUUCUUCCAUGUAUAUGAGGUUACUAUAAAUUCAUUUCCCACUUGUCAUGUGAUUCAAAUAGAACCUACUAGAUGAAAUUUCUCUCAACAUAUUUCCGCAUCACAAUUUUUCUUUCAUUUUUUAUUUUAUUUUGAAUUUGCAUUAAAUAAAUUUCAACCAUAGAUACGCACUAACAAUAUUUAAAUAAAGAUGAUAAUGUAUUUAAAAUUUUAAUAAAAACUGAGUUGAAUUUUUCAACUUACGUUUGAUUUCCUUCUGUUCACCUAAUGUUGGCAUUAAAAUACAAAAAAAAAAGUCAUUGUCUUCGGGAUUUUUUCUUGUGAGCUUAUCCUCAAACUUUCUUAAAAAACUAAGUUGAUUAUUGUUGUGCUCACUUAAUGUUUGCAUUAAAAUACUAGAAACUUAUUCUUGUGAGCUUAUCCUUGCACCUUCUUCGAAAAAUAUAAGAUUGAUUCUUAUUGAUAGGAAGAUAAGAACAAAAACUUCUAAUAAAUUAUAUUUUGGUAUAUUGAUAAUUUAAUGGGAAAAAACGUUAAAUUUUAUAAAUGUAAAAAGAUGAUAUAGUUGGAUGACGCAUUUAUACAAACAUAUGAAAAGAACAUUUAUAGUCAAUAAAUGAAAACCAUGUAAAUAUUCAAAAGGCUAAAAUCACAAUUGAUUGGAGCAAAAAAAUUUAGCUCAUCCUAUAUUUAUUUUUUAUCAUCAUAUUCUUAUCGAGCUUCUUAGGCAUCAAAUAUAAAAAUUCUCUAUUUAAAAUCAAAAUAAAAUAAAUAAGAUCUUGUCAACUACAAUUUUAAUUCAACUAUUUUUGUUGCUAACUAGUUCCUUGAUUUUUGGUACUUCGAUUUCUCAAACAACACAAAAUUUCAUUUCAAGGAAGACUCAUUAACAACAUGAAAUUCAAAAUUACAUAUGCAACAACCCAACCCCAAGCUUAAGUAAAUUUGUAAUUUUAUUAAUUAAGAAAAUAAAAACUUUGGGCUAUUUAAAUAUAAUUGGAUUUUAAUUUUGAGUUUGGGUUCAAGUUAAAAAAAAAUUAAUGAGCCAAAUAAAUUAAUUGGGCAUUUAUAUUCAAACAAUUAAUCUUUAGUAUUAAGAUUUAAUUGAAUUGAAAAAAAAAUAGAAAUAAGAUAAUAAAGGGAGUAAAAUAGUCAUUUCUCAUUAGAAACCUAGGUAUGAAUAUUCACUCUUCUUUACAAAAGUCUUUUUGUAUAGAGAGCAAAUGUAGGGUUUGAAAUCAAUCUUUGAAUGUAAGCACGUAUAGAUUUAAUAUUUACUUUCAUUUUUAAUUUUCAUGGGAAUUAUUAAAUAUGAUCAAAUUUUAUGAAAAAAUUAAAUAACAUNNAUUCUAAUUAAUUAUAAAGUCACUACAUUAAAAGUCUNNNNNNNNNNNNNNNNNNNNNNNNNNNNNNNNNNNNNNNNNNNNNNNNNNNNNNNNNNNNNNNNNNNNNNNNNNNNNNNNNNNNNNNNNNNNNNAAUCAAAAAGUAUAAGUUACAAAUUUCAAAGGGUGUUUAUGAGUGGAUCAAUUUUUGGUCUCAAUUAAAAAAGCUAAUUGAAAAUAAUAUAAAUAUAAUAUGUUUUUAUUUUAUUUAUUUAUGGUGAGGAUUAUAAAAUAAAUUGUUAUUUUUUAAUUUUAAAUAAAGUAAACAAAUAAGAUAAAAUAGAAAUUAAAAUCAAAAGAAAAAAAAUUAAAAAUCAAACAAUAUAAAAUAUUGAAAGUGAUUGAAUAAAAAAGAAAAAGUUUACAACUCAAAUAAGAUCAAUCUAGAAAAUACAUUACAUAUUAAAAUAUACGCAUAAAAUGCAUUUCAUACUGUUAGAUGGUAAAAGUCCAAGUAAAAAAUCGUAGGUUGAUGACCUGAAUUGCAUAGGUUGCUUUCAGACCAUUGGGACUUGUUAGGGUUCAAAGUCAAAAAUAGGACUAAUAAUAUUUAGUAAUAUCAUCUCAAGCCUAUUCCAAAAUAUGGCAACAUGGUAAAAUUAAAAAUUAACAUAAUGCUUAAUAAUAAUAAUAAUAAAAAACCUUAUUGGUUUUUUUUUUUAAAAAAAUCACUAGAUAUUGUAUAAUUUUUCUAAAAUGAAUGAGAAAAGUUAUAAUUAUGAAUCUCUUGAAGAAAAACCUUUCAAUUGCAAUCGCACUCCCUUAAAAAAAAAAAAAAAAACUUAAACAUAAAAGGGUUAAAUAUAUAAUAUGAGUAAAUUCGUUAAUCAUCACAUAAAAAACAAUUUUUCCAGACCCCCUCGAUCAACCCCAUGAGCUAACCCAAGCAACUCAAUGUUGACAUCCUAAGCUAAAUGGUAUUAUCUGAUUAAUUAUUUUACAAAAUAUACAUAUGUUAUAUCUUAAAAUUGGUUACUAAAUUAUAUUACAGUUAUCAAAUAUAUUACCAUAUAUAAAAUACAACUUAAUAAAUCUUAAGCAUAAUACAAAGCACAAUAACAAGAUAUGUUAAUUUAAGUUAUUAAGAGCUUAUUUAGUUGUGUGAUUUAAAAAUAGUUUUUUGUUUUUAAAAAACAAAAAUUAUCUUUAAAAUUUUCUAACACUAUUUACCGUUGCUUUUUGGAAACACUUUUUUAAAACAAAGUAAAAUAAAGAACAAUUUUUAAAAAACAAGUUGAAGUUGUUUUUACCAGUUUUUAAAAAACAAAAAAUAUAUAAACUCAUUUCACUAUGUUUUUUGAAACUUGUUUUUAAAUUAAAGAAUAAAAAAUAAUUUUUCAAAAUAAGUUUCAAAAUAUCAUCUAUACACAUUCUUUUUGAAUGAUUAAGAAUCGAGAUUUCUAACCAGUCGGUUAUUAUUAUUUUUUUUUUAUAAAAAAUUGAAAUUUACUUUAUCAUUUAUUGUAUGAAUAUCAUAUGGAUUUAAAAAGAAUUUCACACUUAGACAUGUACCUCUCAGAACAUUUGAAGUGAAGAUGUUCUUGUCUUCUUCAAUUUGAAGGCUCAUUAUGACUUUGAGAUUCACAUUCCUUUAAUUGACAUGAAAUGUUUGACUUGCCUUGACUAAUAAGGACCUUCAUGGCUUACCUGAUAGAGGUUGGGCCUUUACCGUUAUCCACUCAGCAAUGAUGUAUUUUCUGCACUGAGUUAUUUAAUAAAAAUGGUUUUUGAGUAAAACAGAUUUGGAUUUUGACCUAUGGAGGCCUAUGGACUUUCAAAACAGGGGUUCACUAGGGAAAAAAAAAACAGAGAAGAAAAAGAAGAAAAAUGAGAUCAUUGGAAGAAUUUUCAGCCCCUUUCAAUCACUUAGCCAUAUAAUAGAAACUAAGAAGAAGAGAAAGGAUCGUAGCUCACAAAAAGCUUGAGAUAAAUGUUUAGCAUCUUCUGCAGCAUAUCCAUCCAACAAAUUUGCAAAGAAGCUCCAACCAGUCGUGCAUAUGAUCCUCUUCAUCAUCUUGGGCAUCAACAACAUUACUGUUAAUAAUCUGUGUCGUUGUAUCCAUGGGAGAAUCGCUAUGCUCAGUGCACUGUGUCCAGUCAUAGCUUGUUUGUGCAUUAGAAUUAGUAUCUUCUGCUGCUGAUCUGGUAUCACAACUUCUCUGCUCAUCACUAUACUCCAUCAUUGUCUGAUGGUCGCGCUUGGUGGCUUCUGUGUUGUCACAGCUUCUCUGACAAUCAGUACUGGUAUCUUCUGGGAUGUUGCUGUUGAUAACAUCACGUGUAUAUAUAAGAUAGUACCCACACUCUUUCACUUCGACUGGUGCAUCCAAGCUAUGAAAUGAAGCCUUCAAACGUCUCCAUUCGUUUGACCAAUACUGCUUGUCAAUAGCAACCUUGGGAUAAUAAGUCACACACAUUUGACUUGAUUCAUCGCAAAUUGGGCAGCAAUAAAACUGGACAUCAUCCACGUGACAGCAUUCAGAUUGAUCACCACAGAUACUGAGUUCGCAAUUCAACUCAUCACAAGCCAUAGAAAUAAAAAUAGAGUAUAAAGCAAAUCCUAAGAAGUCAUCUUUUCUGUACCAAUCCAUAGGAAGCUCUAUUGUUAUUUGAGAUCCUUUUUUUGGCUGGCUUAUCCACUCUGGAAUUCCAUUAUUUCCCAAAAUAACAACUCUGAUUGCCUUGUUCCAAUAGGAGUCGCAUUCAAAUUCCUGCACAGAAGUACAGUGUUAAUACUCUGUUCAUAAGGAAAAAGGGCUGAAUGUUAUGAAAAUCAUACCUCAAUCAUUGAUUUGAAGCAUUUGAACAGAGAAAAACCAAGUUCACUUGAUGGACUUGAUGAAGUUUCCAAGCAUGUGCAACUGUGGACAUCUAAAUAUCGUAAACUUGGCCGAAGCUCUGGAACUUGUCGACGCCCCUGGCAGUGACUCAAUUGAAGGACUCUCAGUUUAGACAGUUGAAUGAUGCCUGCAAGUAUGCUACUAAAACAGUCCAUGCUUAGAUUUAGACCUGAAGCACGCAAAUCCUCUAAACAUUGCAAACUCCUCAGGUUCUCAGGAAAUUUCUCAAGUUUUGUACAGAAACUGACAUCUAGAGUUUUGAGAGAACUCAAAUUACAAAUGCUUUCUGGAAGACUCACAAGGUUGGUGCAAUCUGAAAGAUUCAAAUAUUGAAGCCCUCUUAAAUAUUGAAUUGAUGCUGGUAGUUCUUCUAUAGCAGUUCCAUCUAAAUGAAGCACUCUUAAAUUUUCCACAUCCUCAACGAUUUCCGGAAAGCUCCUUAAUCGUGAACAGCCUGAGCAGAAGAGAGUUGUAAGGGAUUUCAACUCACAUAUGCUACUGGGAAGAUGCUCAAGGUUUUUGCAUUCCCGCAAACAUAAGCUAUCAAGUUCUAAGGGACACUCAAUAGUGGGUAGUUCAUUGAUGGCAUUUCCCUUUAAACAAAGCUUUCGUCGGGAUUGCACAUCCCCUUGACAUUCCCGGCAAACGGUGGAUAUCAUUGCUUUACCAUGGUUCUGUUCAUGAUCAUGGGCAUAUAUAAGAUGGAUCCCACACUCUUCUACUUUCACUGCUUUACCUCUCAAGUAGCCACAAAAUGAAGCCGUCAACUCCCUGCAUUUAUUUGAGUGGUACUUCUUCUCAAUCAAAAGCUUAGGAUAAUAAAUCAUCCACAUUUGUGGUACAACAUAGCAUUGAAAUGAGGGAAAAAACUGGAGUUCAUCCACAAACUGAAUUUCACGACCACGCAAAGUCAAACCAUACUCGAAGUAAGUUGCAUCAUUAUCCAGUGUCUCCUCAGAUUCAUUAUCAAGUGGAUAAUAGACACAGUACAAAACAAAACCCAACAAGUCGUCAUUUUUAUACCAAUUUUGAGGAAGCUUUGCUACUACUUCAGCUCCCUUUUUGUGAUGGCUUAUCCAAUUUGGAAUUCCACUACCGUCUGAAAUAAGAUUUACUUGGGCAAAAGAUUUUUCUGUAGGAUAAAUCUCGCAUUCCAAAUCCUGCAGAAAAUUUAAUUAACACGUAAAUCCCCAUGUCUCCACAAAAAAAGUUGUGUUCUAUGAAUAUCAUACCUGAAUCAAUGAUUUGAAGCAGUUGAAUAGAGAAGACCAGAGUAGACCUGAAGAAGUUUCCAGCCGUUUGCACCCAUGUACAUCUAAGACACGCAAACUGGAUGGAAGCGCUGGAAUUUGUCGAAGCUCUUCACAGUAACCCAAAUCAAGGAGUCUCAGCCUAGAAAGUUGAUUGAUCCCAGCAGGUAUGCUCCUAAAAGGAUUCCCGAUUAGAAGUAAUUCUUGCAGAGAUGAUAGCUGGCAAAAUUCAGUGGGGAUUCCUCCUUCAUCUAUACAGCAGACAGAUAGAUCUAACACUUGCAAGGAGUACAAGCCGCAAAUAUCACUCAGGACUACUCCUUGCAUUAGCCCUGAGCAAGUUAGAUUUAACACCUUUAAGGAGCAUAAACCUGACAAAGAAAGCAAUUGGCAACAUCUUGAAUUUAAGCCCCUAGCACAGAGACGCUUCAAGCUUUGCAGCCUCCCCAGGUUUUGUGGCAAUUUGUGGAGUUCGAAACAGAAAUUGACAUUGAGAUCUUCAAGAAAGCGUAAAUUACAAAUGCUUUCUGGAAGAGUCACAAGGUUUUUGCAACUUUCCAGAUUCAAAACCUGAAGCCUAUUCAAAUGUUCGAUUGAAGAUGGUAGCUCUUUUAUAGCCGUUCCGUUCAAGUGAAGCUGCCAUAAGUUUUCCAUAUUCUCCAAGAUUUCUGGGAAGUACUGUAAUUGUGAACAGUCAGAGCAAAAGAGAGAUUUUAGGGAUUUGAACUCCCAAAUGCUUGUUGGUAGACUCUCAAGGUUUUUGCACUCUCGCAAACACAAGGUAUCAAAUUCAGAGGCACACUCAAUGGGUAGUAGGUUGAUUGUCUGACCCUUUAAACAAAGCUUUCGGUGUUCCACGUUCCUCUGACAUUCCAAGCAGCUAGCAUCCACAUCCUCA